Molecule: long non-coding RNA, 93670 nt
Filed under: Triticum aestivum (bread wheat)
Lineage: Eukaryota; Viridiplantae; Streptophyta; Magnoliopsida; Poales; Poaceae
Description: long non-coding RNA (TAES_LNC027427)
Source: RNAcentral
AAUCUAUAUGCAUCUCCGUUCAAAUGUAAAAGCUGCUGGUUAGACAUGACACAAUCAUCAGAUGUGAAUAAUGGUUCAAUAUGUCCUUUAUUGUGAGCCCCACUUACAUAACAUCAGCAUCUACAGAAUCACUUGCAUGUUUGACAAUAAUAUGCGAUGGUGCAGUAAAAGCUCGUUCUGUUCAGGACGAAAGCAUGACAGAUAAUGGCGACAUAACCAAAAUGACUUGAAUCGAUGAGUAAUGACUAUUCGAGCAUUGAAGUGGAAGAGGUCUUUCACAGUCUUGAUUUGAGCUCAGCAGCAACAGCGUCAAUGAACUCUUCAGUGUUCAGGUAAUCGCUUCUUGUAACUCUGAAAACGUUAGAGCACAAUGAGAUAUCAGAUUAUCAAUUAUGAAUUCAGGGUAAUAAUAGAGAAAAAUACAGUAGAGGGAAAGCUGAGCAGCAUAACAUACUUUGAGGAUCCAUGGACAAGGAGUGCAAGGUCCUUGGUCAUCUUCCCAGACUCCACAGUUCCGACGCACGCUUCCUCAAGUUUCUGUGCAAAUUCAAGAAGUCUAGCAUUCUCGUCUAGCUUUGCCCUGCAGUGUGGACAUGGGAGAAUCAGCUAAAAAGCAAAGUCCACUAGAGUAAUAAUUAUAGGCACCAAUGUACUUGUCUUAAUUACUAUUUUGGUCACACCGGAAAAAGGUAUGCUGAACAAAGAGGAAAUUACCCUCUAUACAUGGUUAUCACAAAGGGUUGCACACUUGCACCGGUAGAGAUAUAGAAGUACUAGGUGUACCUGUGUGCAAGUCCUCUUGUCCAAGCAAAGAUUGAAGCAAUGCUGUUUGUGCUGGUUUCACCACCUUUCUGGUGAACACGGAAAUGGCGGGUAACUGUGCCAUGGGCAGCUUCAGCUUCGAUGGUUUUACCAUCAGGGCACAUCUAUAAAUAUCAAAAGGAAUUAGCACAACCUAACAAAUAUUCUCAAUAUAUAUGUAGAAGUACUGACAUGGAUAUGACCAAAGUAAAGGCAUUUCACACUAGAGAUAACACCCAAGAUUUAGUCAAGAUUCAAGAACAUUAGUAAGGAGAAAAUACAUACCAAUACUGACGUCAUCAAGCCCAAAGAGCCAAAACCUGCACAUACACUUCAGCAUUGGUUAUUGAGCACGGGACAAAAGAUAAAUUUUCUGAAUAUUUUAUGCAGAGACUCAAAAGUUACAGUGUUGUGACCUUGAGCUAAGAAAUCACUCUGCACAUCUCCGUCAUAGUUCUUGCAAGCCCAAACAUAGCCUCCUUCGCUCUUAAGUGCAUAGGCAACCAUGUCAUCAAUGAGACGAUGUUCAUACCUACCAAAAGCAACUCAUGACAUACUUUGACAAAAGAUUCCAAAAGAGCUCAAAGCAAGAAUGAUUCAAAACGUACCAUAUUCCAGCAGCCUCAUAUUUGGAUUUCCAGCCAGCUUCAUAGAUCUCCUGGAAAAUGUCCUUGAACCUACACAAUAAAAGUAUAUUUAGCCUGAUCUAAUUGUUUCGGAACAGGCCUUAACUAAUACUCCCUCCGUUCCUAAAUAGCAGUCUUUUUAGACAUUCCAAUAGAGACUACAUACAGGGCAAAAUGAGUGAUUCUACACUCUAAGCUAUGUCUAUAUACAUCCGUAUGUAGUCCCUAUUAGAAUCUCUAGAAAGACUUAUAUUUAGGAACGGAGGGAGUAUUUAAGUGUAGCUAUGAACUAUACCUGCCAUCAUAUUUCUUAAGGAUUGUGUUUUUUGUGCUAAGGUACAAUGGCCAUUUCUUCUCAUAAGCGAUUGCCAUAGAAGCUUCAGCAAAACCUCGAAUUGACUGUACACAAUAAUUAAUUAAUUAGAUGUCAGGAUUUUACUCCAAAAUGCAAAUAUUGUUUGUAAUUGCAGAAAUUGCAGAAACCAAUCCAGGCAUAGCAGUACCUCAUCUGUGUUGUACAUAGCCAUGGCGACUCCUCCAGCACCAGUGAAGUUAAAAACCUCAAGGUCAACCGUCUCGUCUUUUCCCUCUGCCAGUAGACCAAAGAAACAAAAAGGCAAAGAAUAUCAGUGUUUGCUAGCACCAGUUCUCUGAACAAACAAUACAAUCAUACGUGAAAAUAUAGAACUACAAAGACUUCAUUCUUUCAUACUUAAUUUUAAGUGGAGUGAUUAUGCAACCGUACCGAACACUAGUCUGAGUUUGCCAGGUCCCUUGAGAACUGCAUCAGUUGCUCUGUACUGAUCACCGAAAGCAUGCCUUCCAAUGCAGAUGGGCUUAGUCCAUCCUGAUUACACCAAAGAAACAGUUUAGCAAGGAAAUUUUGCAUUUCAUAAUGUGUUCACGUUAGAAAAAAAGUAUGCACUCCCUCCGAUCCAUAUUAUUUGUCACUGCUUUAGUAGUACGAAGUUGUACGAAAGCAGGGCAGGUAAUAUGAAUCGGAGGGAGUAGUAGUUUUAAUCCUCCUUACCUGGAACAAGCUUUGGGACAUUCUUGCAUAUAAUUGGCUCUCUGAACACGGUGCCUGCAGGUAACAAGUGUAAAGAGAAAUGUCAACAACCUAACUACGUCCAUUUUUUUAGCGAAAACCUAAUAUGUCCAUUAUAUUGAAAUACAGCAGGAGCUUACCGUUUAUAAUGUUCCUAAUUGUGCCAUUUGGGCUCCUCCACAUUUGUUUUAGGUUGAACUCCUUAACCCGAUCUUCAUCUGCCAUGGUGAAGUAACCAGAUAUUAGAGAGAAAAUAUCAUCAAAUAGUGCUAGUGCUUCAACAAUACGAAGAACAAAUAAUUGAGCUGCAUAAGCUUGAGUGAAAUAUACCUGGAGUAAUAGUUGCACAUUUAAUAGCCACAUUGUACCUGAAAAUAACAUUGGAUUAGAACAGCACUAUAGGACAACAAAGUCAUAAGAAUAUGCUAAAGUUAUAUAUGGUCAAAUACUUCUGACAAAACUAGCUAGUUUCAAAGAUAUGAAAAUGAUACAACUAAUCAACAAGAUUAGUGAAAAGAUAUCUCCCUUGCUGUUAAUAAUAUUUGAAUAAUUAAGAACAUCAAUCAUAGUACUCAAAAUUCGUAGGGAAAUAUACAGCAACAGAACUACUAAUGAUUAAAAAACAGGACAAACAAAUUGCAGGCUACAUAAAUUUCUUGAAAUGGUGUGGUCACAGCAGUCAUAUUUUUACUUGAACCCAAGCAUAAUAUCAGCACAAACUCAAAUUAUUCAAAACUCCUUACUUGAGAGUAGCCUCUGCAGCCUCCACUGUAACCUUGUCAUCAGUUGCAUCGCGGUGUAGAACUCCCAAGUCAAAGUACUUAAUGUCCAAGUCCAAAAAUGGGAAGAUAAGCUGAAACAAACGAAAAAUCAGCCUGGCAGCAUAUGGAAAACAAGAACCACACACACACAAUGGCCCAAGCGGACAGAUUUGUCAGAGCUGUUGCUUAUUGAUUACCUUGUCCUUGAUAGACUGCCAGAAUACUCUGGUCAUCUCAUCGCCUAUAGGUUAAAAAACAAGAUAUCAGCAUGACAGUGGACUAACAAAUCAAUUGAUUACAUAAGAUAAAAAAAAUAGAAAUAUUACUAUUAUUUUGUGAACAAAUUUAUUGCUUACACUGAAAGUUCGACAUCAUUUUUUUUUCUAAAAAAGCUAGCUACCCAAUUCAACAUGCGAUGCAGACAUGAAGCACUGGCUACGAUUGGACCCAAAGCGCGAAGCAAUCGUAUCAAAAAACACUUUAAGGUUAUGGUUUCUGAAUAUAGAUUUCAAAAACGAGAUCCAGUAGUUACACGUGAGACAGAACUAUUUCACCAGCAGAGUGCGUCCAACCCUGCACCUUCCCACUGCCAAUAGACAACCAUGAUCGUACCCAAGGUGUCAUGCAUGUGCAAUUAUCUCGCCAUCUACGUUCUAAAUCCGAUCUCUGGCACCACGGCGGCGAUACAACUACGGAGAUAGAUCAGAGACACCUGAGCCCAGCAGUUAUUAGAGAUAAAAACGGGAGCAGAACGACAGCUAGAUCUCUCAGAUCUCGCGGCAUCGGCCCGACCAGAAUACAAAAUUCAGCACAGGCAUCGUUUAUAUCGGCAAGGGAACGGCGGAGAUAGAUCUGCCGGGGGAGUGGGAGUGGGAGUGGGAGGGGGGUCUGACCGUCCAUCUCGACGAUGGGGUUGGCGACCUUGAUCUUCUCGAACGCCAUGGCGGCCGCGGCGGACGCUGAUUGCCUCGGAGGUCGGGAGCGGAUCGGGGCAGGUUGGUGGGGGAGGCGGCGGCUGUGGUGGCACGGGGAGGUGAGAGAACGGAGUGAGUAACUUUGCCAGCGCAUUUAAAGACCAGGCCGGAGGGGGCGAGUGGGGCCCGUCUGCGGUAGGGAUAUUUUAGAAAAACAUUUAAAUCUGCCUCACUCCGGCCGAUAGGAUCGGAUCAGACUGCGCGUGGGGAUGGGGGUGGGGUGUUUGGACUUUGGAUGGUGCGUGCGGGUGUUGGGACUUUGGGACCUCCGUGGCCAAGGAGUUUUUGGCUUGCAAGUGUUUGAAGAGUCCGAGUUUUUUUUAGCACUGCUAUGCACACAACAUUGUGUGCAUGAUGUCAACCUGGUGGAAGAGCUCAUUGAUCAGGAGAAUGGUGAUUGCGAUAGAGUGAAAGUUGAGGCAAAUUUUGUGCCACCUCAUACAGAUGAUCAGGAGAAUGGUGAUUGGGAUAGAGUGAAAAUUGAGGCAAAUUUUGUGCCACCUGAUACAGAGGCGAUAUGUAGAGUUACUGUGGGGCAUAUGCCGGAGGACUUCUCGGCCUAGAAGCAUGAUAAAUUGGGAAAUUUCUCUGUUCGGUCUGCAUACAAAGCUCUAUUGCAGUUGAAGAGACAAAAUGAGAGUGCAUCCACCUCCAUAACUGCUCCUAUUAGUCAUUGGCAGAAGUUGUGGAAAAUCCCAAUGCCGCCUAAAGUUUGUAAUUUCUGAGGGAGGGUUACUCACAAAUUUGUGCCAUGUCGUUCGGGUCUGCAGAAGCGUCAUAUUGAGAAGAUAUCAUUUUGCGAGGAUUGCGGAGUGGAGAAACAUGCAUUGUUCUCUUGUACAUGGGCCAAGGUUUUUGGUCUGAACUAAAGCGUUUCCUUCCGGUCAGAAUUCAUGUUCUUCAUCUAGACUCUUGAGCUAUUGAUAUUGUUAACAACAAGGAAGUUCCAGAAUCACUUGCUGCCAUUAUCUUAGUUGGGUGCUGGACAGUCUGGAUAGAAUGGAACAAUAGGAGACAUGGGGAACGAUGUCGUUCCAUUCAGGCUUUUGUCAAAUGGGGAAUUGAUACUAUUCAUGAUCUUGCUACAUUGGAAGGAGUGAAGAAGCACCGAAUGCCGAGAGAGAAUACGAGCUGGUACCGCCAGAGGAAAGCUUUAUCAAGGUGAAUGUUGAUGCCAGCUAUUUAGGAAACUUGGCUCAUGGAGGCACAGGAGUGGUGAUUCGAAACCACAAUGGUGAGUUAAUCCGAGCUCGGCUAUAUGGUGCCGGUACGCGCAAAAUGCAAGGUUCAUGGAAGCCUUGGCGGUUCGGGAUGGUAUCCAUUUAGCAAUGGAUCUUGGCUUCCGCAAGGUUAUCCUCGAGAAUGAUGCGUAGGAGGUUGUCCGGAUGAUCAAUGUUGCAGCUUUUGAGAGGGCAGAUAUUGCUUCCAUUUGUUAUGAGGUCCAGGAGGUGAGCUCCGGUUUUGAUUCCUUCGUUCUCGUGCAUGUAAACUGGGAAGCAAACAUAGUUGUGCAUAGAUGCGCCAGGCAGGCUAGUGAAGAUCGUAGAAGAUGUUUAUGGGUUAACUAUGUACCCUCUUUUCUUCUAGGUUAAAUUCAACCUCUCUGUAAUUCUCCUGUUUAAGUAGUAAAGCAUGUGUUUCGUAAAAAAAAUGAUUCCUGCACGACACCAUAUAGUAGUCCGUUCAUGCAUGUAUCAAAGUGCGGCAUACGCUUGGUUGACCAUAGUGCAGACAUGCAUUGUCCGCACAACAAUUUUCAUUUUUUACCGUAAUUCGAAGAGUUCGAGUUUCUUCGAUAACAAGUAAAAAAUGCUAACGAUAUUCAAUGAACAUUCGCUAUGUAUGGGUUUGCGAACGUUUUUCACGGUAUUUUAUGUUGCGGGAACAUGGCAAAUUUCUUUAAGCGAACACGGCAAAUUUCAAGCAAAUUCCUUUUGUUUGCAUAAUCGGCCAUGCGUUUUUGAAGAAAUUCUCGUGUGCGUUUGAAGAACUUGCCAUGAAAAACGUUCGCAAAUGCCAUGCUCCCCAAGAAAAAAUAGAGUUUAAUUUUUGUUCUUGUUAUCUUGAGGCUUUAGGUUUGAUGAGUGUGUGGCUCAGUCCAUUUUUAACCGGACCUUAUGUUUCCCUUUUGUCCGACGCAUAGGCUGGACAAGGCCCGGACACAAAAACGUUCUUCAAUCGGUCCCUCGACUUCCAGCCCGAAAGUAUGGGUUGUCCAGCAUUCUUCAAAUCCAGCCCAAAUUUGGGACAAUUUAGGAUCGCUCCUAUGCGUUUAUCAUGUCGAGCUCAUGGUCUGAACCCAUAAAAAAAUCUAGCGGUCUGUCGCACAGCUCAUCAGUUUGCCCACCCGCAUUCAUGGUAUGGUGCAGCAUGUCACCCUUGCCGAGCUCGCCAUCGACCCCACCCUCAUCGCGAAGAACCGUGCCAUCCCUGGGUCCAUCUAGUCCAAGCGUAUGGUGACAACAUACCGCUGCGAGAUUCGCCUAUGUGACGUAAAGCGAGAGCAAGUCUUUACGGUGGACCCCCGACAACAAGGAGAUGCCCGAUAUUCACCUCGCCAUCGACGACCAAGAGGCCCAUAGCUGCGACAAAAGGGUCAUGGAGCUCUUCAACGAGGAGUAGCGGAGUUUGUAGUUUGUUUAAUACUUCAAUUGCAAUUUUGCUUAUGUAUGUAGUUUGUAGUUCCUUUUUAUACCUCCAUGUAUAAACUACGUAAAUCUAUGGUGCAUGUUUUCAUACAGACUGAAGGUUUGGAAAAAACGGAGUGGUUGCCUUGGCGGAUAAAUGUGGAUCGGCCGACUCCUGUCUAAGGACACAUAUACAUAGACAUAUAAUCGUAAAAGGCUUUAGCCUCGCUUUAUAUAUAAAGCAAUACGAUCGAAUUGAUACAAAGUGACGAAGGAACCCUCUUACAAAGCAGAUCAAAGAGAAACAUAAGAACAUGAGUAGCCAGACCCCAACAAGAAGCGCCCAAGACUAAUAACUACAUGAGCAACCACGCCUCUAGAAGAAACCAUCGAACAUCGUGCAACAAACACACUAAGUUGUCACCAGAGAGGGCCAUCUGCCCUCUCGCUUCGGGCCACGGAGCGCCGAUCCUGCGAGUGGGCAACGAGGAUUAACAACGAUGUCAAUGAAGUCAAAAGAUAGGAUGCAACUGAGACCAUCCUGCACCAGAGCCGAAAGGACUUCGAGCUAGGAUCAAAGCUUGCCCGUCGAUGACAACGCGCCAUGACCAGAUAGAACUUGAACUCCACGACGCCUCCCCUAGGAGGGUGACGAUGCAAGGUGACCCCAUCACCAAGACCAAAGGUAUGAUCAAGGAUUUACACUCGCGGGGAGAGGGGCCUCAACGAUGCCACCAACAGGGACAUGACACCCACAAACAUCGUUGCCGACAACGCCAGAGCCCGGAAAGUUGAGCUUUCACCCAAAGGCUCAUCCACACCACAUCAAGGUACCAUGGUCAUCGUGUGCGCGGAUACAUCUGCUACAUCUUGAGCUUGCGUUGGUUUUCCUUGAAGAGGAAAGGGUGAUGCAGCAAUAGUAGCGUAAAUAUUUCCCUUAGUUUUUGAGAACCAAGGUAUCAAUCCAGUAGGAGGCUCUCAAAAGUCCCACACACCUACACAAACAAACAAGAACUCGCAACCAACGCAAUAAAGGGGUUGUCAAUCCCUUCACGGUCACUUGCGAAAGUGAGAUCUGGUAGAGAUAAUAUGAUAAGAUAAAUAUAUUUUUGGUAUUUUAUGAUAUAGAUUGGAAAAGUAAAGAUGCAAAUAAAAGUGGAUUGAAAGCUUAUAUGAUAAAAGAUAGACCCGGGGGCCAUAGGUUUCACUAGUGGCUUCUCUCAAAAUAGCAUAAGUAUUACGGUGGGUGAACAAAUUACUGUUGAGCAAUUGAUAAAAAAGCGAAUAAUUAUGAGAUUAUCUAGGCAUGAUUAUGUAUAUAGGCAUCACGUCCGUGACAAGUAGACCGACUCCUGCCUGCAUCUACUACUAUUACUCCACACAUCGACCGCUAUCCAGCAUGUAUCUAGAGUAUUAAGUUCAUAAAGAACAGAGUAACGCAUUAAGAAAGAUGACAUGAUGUAGAGGGAUAAACUCAUGCAAUAUGAUAUAAACCCCAUCUUUUUAUCCUCGAUGGCAACAAUACAAUACAUGCCUUGCCGCCCCUGCUGUCACUGGAAAAGGACACCGCAAGAUUGAACUCAAAGCUAAGCACUUCUCCCAUUGCAAGAAAGAUCAAUCUAGUAGGCCAAACCAAACUGAUAAUUCGAAGAGGCUUGCAAAGAUAACUUAAUCACACAUAAAAGAAUUCAGAGGAGAUUCAAAUAUUUCUCAUAGAUAAACUUGAUCAUAAACCCACAAUUCAUCGGAUCUCGACAAACACAUCGCAAAAAGAGUUACAUCAAAAAGAUCUCCAAGAAGAUCAAGGAGAACAUGGUAUUGAGAUCCAAUGAGAGAGAAGAAGCCAUCUAGCUAAUAACUAUGGACCCGAAGGUUUGUGGUAAACUACUCACAACUCAUCGGAGAGGCUAUGGUGUUGAUGUAGAAGCCCUCCAUGGUUGAUUCCCCCUCCGGCGGAGCGCCGGCGAAGGCUCCAAGAUGGGAUCUCACGGAUACAGAAGGUUACGAUGGUGGAAAUAUUUUUUCGUGGUCGGCUCUGAUGUUCUCGGGGUACGUGGGUAUAUAUAGGAGGAAGAAGUAGGUAGGUGGACGCCCGAGGAGCCCACGAGAUAGGGGGGCACACCCAGUAGGGGGGCGCGCCCUGUCGUGGGAACGACUCCGACAGUAAGAGAGGGGUAGGAUAACGGAGCAUGAUCUAUCGAGAUACAUAUGGGUGACACGGUGGUUUUACCGAGUUCGGGCCUCUCACGGUGGAGAUAACAACCCUACGUCUCGUGCUCCGGAGAGGCUUUGUUUUAUCUGAGUAUAUAUCCAGAGAUUACAAUGUGUGUGUGAGAGAGAGGAACGGAUCCCCAUGCCUGAGCUAAGUCCUGAGACUAAUGGUGAAGAGAGAGAGAGGUGGAAGAAAAGAACCCCCUAAGUCUAGUGGUGGGGGUGGCUUAUAUAGAGUGCGCCACCCCUCACCUCCUAUGUUACAAAGUGGAGUAUCAAUGCCAUAAUACCUGGCCACUACAAAACCGUCAUGCUGACUAUUGGUCUUCGCAUAUCCGAGUGAGUUACCCGGCCGAGUGGAAUGAGCUCGUCGAGUGGAGUGUCGUGCUCCGACUGGUUGUUGCCGUCCGAGUGACUUUCAAGUUGUGGUACAUCUGGACGGCGAUCUGGCCCAGGGACCCAGUACAAAGUGUACGGUGUCCAUGGGUAGGGUCUUUAGGUCAGGCCUGUUACCCUACCCCCAAUACAUGUCCUCGUCAUUAGCCCCCGAAUCGGUCGAGGUUGAGCGGGUCGAGUCGAGGCGAGUUCCCAGAUAAGUGCCUUGACGGAUUCCAGUCUGCAUGGUGCCCGAGUGAAAUGAGCUCAAACGGGUCCGCGGAGGAGCGUUGAACUCACCUUAUAGCAAUUUUUUGAGUGAUUUGGAGCUGGUCCUGCAUCGAGUAACUGGUUACUCGGAAUUUCUUCAUGCUUGGAACGUUUCUUUUUUUUGUUGUUUGGCCGUCACUCGGACCGGGCGGACCGUUCCGAGUGGAUACCAUUCCAGUGGGGGCACGCUGAGUGCACCCACUGGGUGUAGUCCCCGAGACUAUCGUCGACUGCGGGCAGUCGGCGGGAGUCUUAGAGCCUGUCUUUUUUGUUGUUGUUUGGCCAUCACUCGGACCGGUUGAACCAUUCCGAGUGGAUACCAACAAUCGGCGGGAGUCUUAGAGCCUAUCUUUUUUGUUGUUGUUUGUCACUUGGACUAGUUAGGCCGUACCGAGUGGAGAUUACUCCAGUGGGGGCACGCUGAGUGCACCCACUGGGUGUAGUCCCCGAGACCACCAUCGACCACGGGCAGUCGGUGGGGGUCUGAGAGAACUAAAAAUCUUCUUAGCUGGUACUGAUCGAACUUGUUCUUCUCUGACUCGGAGGUCGAGUGAUUCUGGAGCUGGUUUUGCAUCGAGCAAAAUGUUUCUUUCUGAGUUCUCUUCUAGUGGGGGCACGCUGAGUGCACCCACUGGGUGUAGUCCCCGAGCCUCUGUCGGACUAGAUGAGCCUGGCAGAGGGUUUAAGUCUCCUGGUAAACCUCCACGCAGUCGAUACGGUAAAUAUCUUUUUAGUCUGGAAUUGAGUCAAUCCUGAAAUUGAGUCAAUCGGAUGCAUCUUCAGGCACUUGACGUGGUAAAUAAGCUCAGCCUGGAGCUGAGUCAGUCGGACUGAUCUUUGUGCACUCGGCACAGUAAAUAAAUUCAGCCUGGAACUCGGUCAAGCAGGUGAAUCUUCGUGCUCUCGGCACGGUGAAUGAAUUCGGCUUUGAAGCUGCCGACAGUAGAAAAAAGGCGGACACUCCAGGGAGUAAUCGUUCCAGUAGUACUUCUUAUAUUGACCGUUAGAUUUUGCGUGAAAGGGGUAUUUGCAAGAGUAUAUUGUAUCCAUAGAGGAGCUUCGUUUUCACCCUUUUGCAUGAAAGGGGUAUUUGUGUGAGUGGACGUGCUUCACUUAUAGAUCUUCGGCGAACCGAGCAUGUAUGGUCAGAAGAAUAUUCCUGAUGUGAUCAAUAGGUUGACCAAAUGGGCGUAACCCCUGAGGGUGACAUGGCCAACUAUCGUGCGUAGCCCCCGAGUGAUGCUCGAAGGAGGUAAGCUUGCUACAGAGUGCGAUAUGAGGUUUGACCAUAUGAGUAACUUAGUCGUUCCCGUGCUGGGGGUGUAGAGGUAAAGACAUGUCCAACUGAUGGUGACGCGCGAGGCGGCAGAGGGGCGAUGAUGUGUACAACAAAGUGACGAUGCGCGGGGCGGUCGAGUGGUGAAGACGUGCGCAAUCAAGUGGAGACGCGCAGAGCGGUCGAGUGGUGAUGAAGUGACCAACCGAGUGGUGACGCGCGGGGCAGUCGAGUGGUGAUGAGGUGACCAACUGAGUGGCGACGCCCGGGGCGGCCGAGUGGUNNNNNNNNNNNNNNNNNNNNNNNNNNNNNNNNNNNNNNNNNNNNNNNNNNNNNNNNNNNNNNNNNNNNNNNNNNNNNNNNNNNNNNNNNNNNNNNNNNNNNNNNNNNNNNNNNNNNNNNNNNNNNNNNNNNNNNNNNNNNNNNNNNNNNNNNNNNNNNNNNNNNNNNNNNNNNNNNNNNNNNNNNNNNNNNNNNNNNNNNNNNNNNNNNNNNNNNNNNNNNNNNNNNNNNNNNNNNNNNNNNNNNNNNNNNNNNNNNNNNNNNNNNNNNNNNNNNNNNNNNNNNNNNNNNNNNNNNNNNNNNNNNNNNNNNNNNNNNNNNNNNNNNNNNNNNNNNNNNNNNNNNNNNNNNNNNNNNNNNNNNNNNNNNNNNNNNNNNNNNNNNNNNNNNNNNNNNNNNNNNNNNNNNNNNNNNNNNNNNNNNNNNNNNNNNNNNNNNNNNNNNNNNNNNNNNNNNNNNNNNNNNNNNNNNNNNNNNNNNNNNNNNNNNNNNNNNNNNNNNNNNNNNNNNNNNNNNNNNNNNNNNNNNNNNNNNNNNNNNNNNNNNNNNNNNNNNNNNNNNNNNNNNNNNNNNNNNNNNNNNNNNNNNNNNNNNNNNNNNNNNNNNNNNNNNNNNNNNNNNNNNNNNNNNNNNNNNNNNNNNNGUUAUGAGGUGACCAACCGAUGGUGACGCACGGGGCGGCCGAGUGGUGAUGAGGUGACCAACCGAGUGGCGACGCGCGGGGCGGCCCAGUGGUUAUGAGGUGACCAACCUGAUGACGACGCACGGGGCGGCCGAGUGGUGUUUUUAAACUUAGGCGAGUACUAGACUGCAGCUAAGCCCUCCGAGUGGGAGGGUUGCUCUCCACUCGGUAGAAUUUUCAGACUUAGGCGAGUACUGGACUGCAGCUAAGCCCUCCGAGUGGGAGGGUUGCUCUCCACUCGGUAGGAUUUUCAAACUUAGGCAAGUACUGAACUGCAGCUAAGUCCCCGAGUGGGAGGGUUGCUCUCCACUCGGUAGGAUUUUUUGAAACUUAGGCGAGUACUGGACUGCAGCUAAGCCCCCGAGUGGGAGGGUUGCUCUCCACUCGGCAGGAUUUUUUGAAACUUAGGCGAGUACUGGACUGCAGCUAAGCCCCCGAGUGGGAGGGUUGAUCUCCACUCGGUAGGAUUUUUUGAAACUUAGGCGAGACGGAUUCGUAACUAAGUCACCCACUGGGGGAUUUAGAGCAUAUAAAAAAGAAUAACAACCAUUUAUGAGAUUGUAAAAACUGUGUCGCGGGGUGACCGAGUGGUGAUGAGGUGACCAACCGAUUGGCGACGCGCGGGACGGCCGAGUGGUGAUGAGGUGACCAACCAAGUGGCGACGCGCGGGGCGGCCGAGUGAUGAAGAUGCUUGCCACGGAGUGACGAUGCAGGGGGCGUCCGAGUGAAGUAGAUGCGUCCCACGAAAUGAUGAGGCGCGGGGCAUCCGAGUGAAGUAGACGCGUCCCGCGGAGUGGCGACGCGUGGGGCGUCCGAGUGAAGUAGACGCGUCCCGUGGAGUGGCGACGUGCAGGGCGUCCGAUUGAUGAAAAUGUGUGCAACUAAGCGUUGGCAUGCAGGCGACCGAGUGGCAAUGAUCCCGUUUGGUCCGAGCGAACUAGUCACGUCCGAGUGGUCAUGCCGACCGAAGGGAGUUGUUGCCGAGUGGAUGAUGCCGGAGGGAGAAGCUGUUGAGCAUGGCGGCAUGAUCAACUCCUGGUCCACACACCGUGGCGGGUUUGUGCCUCCAGCGCGGGAAACGCUGUCGUGUGUGGGGACCGAGCCAGCUUCCGGUUGCGGCGGUGUGGUGUUGACUCCAGUGUACAGGCUAUCACAGAGCGCUUGGCACCGGACGAAGGAACUGCCGGGGCAUCGUGCCGGAGACCGUUGGUCGCCGGGAUUCGCCCAUGCUUGCCGCUUCACAUGCCGUUGCGUGCAUUGAUGGAGUUCACCACGUCCAAAACCUGUACACGCAUGCAAAAGACUUAAUUAGCGAUAAUUAAGCAAGAGUUAAGGCUGGUAUUGCAUGCGAUGGAAUUUUUGGUCAUUUAUCUCCUGCAAGCGGUUUAUUGCCACGUCGUGGGAGGUCCACUGCCCAUUCAAGUCCAGCGAUCUGGACCCGGCAAGGCUGGUGGAGAUGACCUGUAGUCAAUUGCCCAUGUCCAGAGUCUGCAUGCAAGAGGUGUUAGUGUUAAUUAGGCACGAGGCUGUUAAUGCAUGCAAGGGAAGUUUCCCUUUCCCACGUCCAUUUAUCCCCUGCAUGCAGGAAAUAAAUGGGAAGGAAUUAAGGUUAGAGGGAGAGUUAAAGGCAGGGCACAGAGCUCCCUGGUCAGCCAUGAUGCACAGCGGCGGCGGCUUUGGCGUGGACCCAGCACGAGGUGAGGCGGCCCGUGAGAAAUCCAAGUGCGGGACGGUGUUGUCCUGCGAGGCCGCGUGCGGGCGGAGCUAUGCUGGGCCUGAGGCUCCCCGCGGAGGUCACCGUCGAGCUGCCGGCCCCAUUGUCACCGCCGAGCUGCCGCGGAGGCGCGGCCGCAUCUGCCGAGGACGAAGCUCUGCUUGCCGGCUCAUGCGCUUCAUCGCUCGGGGAGUCGGCCGGUCGAUUGGGACUACCGAGCCCGCGCAGAAGCUGCGGCCAAGCCACCAAUCGGAAGGAGGAGCGGCGCGCUGCUAGGCGCGGCGAUCCGUCGGGGCGAUGGAGGGAGAUGUCGAAGAGCGGAACCGCCGUGUGUCCGCGUCGCCGUCGUGCAGCUUAUGCUCUGGCUACGUUAGGUCCGCGCGAGAUGACCACCUAAACCGGCGUCCAUUACUCUUUGAUUCUUGUACAUGCUUGAAAUCGAUCGGCAUGACGUCCUAUGAAGAUGCAUCUUUUCUCCUCCUUUUUUGAUGCUUCUGUUACUCGCUGCUGAGAUGAACAGUAUGAACAAUAAGAAUAGAAAAUAAACAUAGAUGAAUAAAAUAAAAAACCAUCUGCAUCGCGGCUCGAUAGACGCCAUGCCCCACGGUGGGAGCCAACUGUCAUGGGAAUGACUCCGACAGUAAGAGAGGGGUAGGAUAACAGAGCAUGAUCUAUCGAGAUGCAUAUGGGUGACACGGUGGUUUUAGCGAGUUCGGGCCUCUCACGGUGGAGAUAACAACCCUACGUCUCGUGCUCCGGAGAGGCUUUGUUUUAUCUGAGUAUAUAUCCAGAGAUUACAAUGUGUGUGUGAGAGAGAGGAACGGAUCCCCAUGCCUGAGCUAAGUCCUGAGACUAAUGGUGAAGAGAGAGAGAGGUGGAAGAAAAGAACCCCCUAAGUCUAGUGGUGGGGGUGGCUUAUAUAGAGUGCGCCACCCCUCACCUCCUAUGUUACAAAGUGGAGUAUCAAUGCCAUAAUACCUGGCCACUACAAAACCGUCAUGCUGACUAUUGGUCUUCGCAUAUCCGAGUGAGUUACCCGGCCGAGUGGAAUGAGCUCGUCGAGUGGAGUGUCGUGCUCCGACUGGUUGUUGUCGUCCGAGUGACUUUCAAGUUGCGGUACGUCUGGACGGCGAUCUGGCCCAGGGACCCAGUACAAAGUGUACGGUGUCCAUGGGUAGGGUCUUUAGGUCAGGCCUGUUACCCCUACCCCAAAUACAUGUCCUCGUCACGCCCCCUCCACCCUUGUGGCUUCCUCGAUUACUUCUUGACUUGCACUCCAAGUCCUCUGGAUCACGUUUGUUCCAAAAAGAUCGCCCUCGAAGGUUUCAUUCCAUUUGGACUCUGUCUGAUAUUCUUUUCUUCAAAACACUGAAAUAGGCAAAAAAAACAGCAAUACGGGCUGGGCCUCCGGUUAGUAGGUUAGUCCCAAAAAUGAUAUAAAAGUGUAAAGUAAAGCCCAUAAACAUCCAAAACGGGUAAUAUAAUAGCAUGGAACAAUAAAAAAAUUAUAGAUACAUUGGAGACGUAUCAAGCAUCCCCAAGCUUAAUUCCUGCUCGUCCUCGGGUAGGUAAAUGAUAAAAACAGAAUUUUUGAUGUGGAAUGCUACCUAGCAUAAUUCUCAAUAUAAUUUUCUUUAUUGUGGCAUGAUUGUUCAGAUCCAAAUGAUUCAAGAUAAAAGCUUAUAAAACAUAAAUAAUAAUAAUACUCGAAGCGUACUAACAAAUAAUCAUGUCUUAUCAAAAUAGCAUAGCCAAAGAAAGCUUAUCCCUACAAAAUCAUAUAGUUAGGCCAUGUUUCAUUUUCAUUACACAAAAUACUCCCAUCAUGCACAACCCCAGUUUCAGCCAAGCAAUUGGUUCAUACUUUUUAACGCGCUUCAGCUUUUUCAACUCUUACGCAAUACAUGAGCGCAAGCCAUGGACAUAGCACUAUAGUGGUAUAUGGUGGUGGUUGUGAGGACAAAAAGGGAGAAGAUAGUAUCACAUCAACUAGCGUAUCAACGGUCUAUGGAGAUGCCCAUCAAUAGAUAUCAAUGUGAGUGAGUAGGGAUUGCCAUGCAACGGAUGCACUAGAGCUAUAAAUGUAUGAAAGCUCAACAAAAGAAACUAAGUGGGUGUGCAUCCAAGUCGCUUGCUCACGAAGACCUAGGGCAUUUUGAGGAAGCCCAUCAUUGGAAUAUACAAGCCAAGUUCUAUAAUGAAAAAAUCCCACUAGUAUAUGAAAAUGAUAACACAAGAGACUCUCUAUCAUGAAGAUCAUGGUGCUAUUUUGAAGCACAAGUGUGGAAAAGAGAUAGUAGCAUUGUCCCUUCUCUCUUUUUCUCUCAUUUUUUAUUUUUUUAUUUAGCCUUUAUCUUUUUUUAUUUGGCAUUUCCCCUUUUUUUAUUUGGUGGGCUCUUUGGCCUCUUUUUUUCUUUCUUUUUUUAAAAGUCUGAAGUCUCAUCCCGACUUGUUGGGGAAUCAUAGUCUUCAUCAUCCUUUCCUCACUUGGGACAAUGCUCUAAUAAUGAAGAUCAUCACACUUUUAUUAAUUUACAACUCGAGAAUUACAACUCAACACUUAGAACAAAAUAUGACUCUAUAUGAAUGUCUCUGGCGGUGUACCGGGAUAUGCAAUGAAUUAAGAGUGACAUGUAUGAAAAUUAUGAUGGUGGCCCUGCCACAAAUACGAUGUCAACUACAUGAUCAUGCAAAGAGCAAUAUGACAAUGAUGGAGUGUGUCAUAAUAACGGAACGGUGGAAAGUUGCAUGGCAAUAUAUCUCAGAAUGGCUAUGGAAAUGCCAUAAUAGGUAGGUAUGGUGGCUGUUUUUUCGAGAGUACGCCAAAGGCGUACCUUAGCUUUAUAGAAGGCAGAGAAUAUUCACAAGAGAUUACAAAGCGAAGGUCGCAACAAACUUGUGCCUAAGCCUCAUCACACUCCACUCUUGAACCUAACGCGAUUACUCAAUAAAUUGUUGAACUCCUAUAGUUCCUGCCAUAGCCCAUAGCUUUAGUUCUUGGAAUAUAAUCUCAGUCAUUCCCCAUUCAUUGAGAAUCCUAGCUCCACCAACACCCUGCCAUUCCUUUGCUUCCAGAGACACCAACAUAUGAGAGCUAUGAGCAUGUCAAAUCCUUUCCGCUUAGACUUGACAACUUGCUUCCUCCCCGUGGCCCACCAAUCCUCCAACCUUGCGUGCUGCGUAGGUAGCAUUGCCAAGUUGAUCCUUGCCCUGGAGAAACACUGGUACCAAACUUGCCUUGCGAACACGCAUUGUAGAAGAAUAUGAUCAACAGUAUCCUCCUCUUGAUCGCACAGGUAGCAAGGAGAAGUCCUAUCUUGUAGCCCAUGCCUGAAUCUCCUGUCCGAAGUCCACAACCUGUAUUGCACUGCUAGCCACAUGUAGAUCUUGCAUGCUAGUGGUGCUUCAUUCUUUCGGAUGGCAGAGGAUAACUGAAAUUUGAUUCCUCCUUCACAUAGCAUCCUAUAUGCCGAAACAACAGAAUAGUCCCCUUGUGUUGUCCAUGCCCAGACUGGUUUAUCCUCAAUGUCAGUUGUGAGGUGCACCUCCAUCAGAACUUCCUACAGAUUAAUGAACUGCGCCAUUCCAUCAGUGUCCAUGUCGCCCACGAUAUCAUUAGUCCAAGCGUGCGAGGCUAAGCCCUCUUGAACAGAUCUCCUGUUGGCUACUUGAGUCCUCACCUUGUUUGCAACCAGAGGGGCGAUUUUCUCAAUCCUAUAUCCUCUGAUCCACCUAUCUUUCCAGAACAACAUCCUUUUCCCAUCUCCUAUCUGCCACUGAACUAGGCUCGCAAACGUCUCCAUGGCUCUCAUGUUCGUUUUCAAUUGCAGUCCCUACCAAGGUCUAGCUGCGUCAGUUCUUCGGAGCCAUUCCCAUCUCAGUCUAAUGGCAAUGCCUUGUUUUUGCAGAUCUAUCACACCUAAACCACCAAGGUAUUUAGGCCGGCAUACUCGUCUCCAAGAAACUACACAUUUGCCUCCCUGGAUAUCCUCUGUGCCUGCCCAAAAAAUGCCCUGCAGCCUCUAUCGAUCCUGUCCAAUGCCCAUUUGGGUGCUUCAGCAACAAUAAGGUGAUGUGUGGCCCGGGCUCUCAUAACCUGAUUCACCAAAAUGAGUCGACCUGGCCUCGUGACCAUCCCUCGCUGCCAACCAGGCAGAAUUUUCAGAGCGGCGUCAACCAUGGGUUGCCACUCCGAACGAGUCAGUUGCUUGAUGCUGAGUUGGAGUCCCAGAUAUUUGCAAGGAAAAUGCCCAAUUUUCCAUGGAAGAGCACUUUGGAUCAGCUCCUCAUCGUCCUCAUCUCCUCUAAUCAGGAUGGCAGAAGAUUUUUGCGAAAUUUACCCUCAGACCAGACGCCUUGCCAAAUAUGCCAAGAAUUUCUUUCACAAAUAAGAUGUCAGUAGCUGUCGGCUUAAUGAACAUCACUACAUCAUCCGCAUAUAAGGAGAGCCUCUACAUUGGCCCACAUCCAUUUAUUUUUCUCAAAACCUGCUCCUCAUGUGCUUUCUUCAUGAUUGCGGUGAGCACAUGUUAGGGAACAUAGUAAUUUCAAAAUUUUCCUACGCACACGCAAGAUCAUGGUGAUGCAUAGCAACGAGAGGGGAGAGUGUUGUCCACAUACCCUCGUAGACCGAUAGCGGAAGCAUUAGAACAACGCGGUUGAUGUAGUCGUACAUCUUCACGAUCCGACCGAUCCAAGUACUGAACGUACGGCACCUCCGAGUUCAGCACACAUUCAGCUCGAUGACAAUCCCCGGACUCCGAUCCAGCAGGGCGUCGGGGAUGAGUUCCGUCAGCACGACAGCCUGGUGACGAUGAUGAUGUUCUACUGACGCAGGGCUUCACCUAAGCACCGCUAUGAUAUGACCGAGGUGGAAUAUGAUGGAGGGGGGCACCGCACACGGCUAAGGAACGAUCACAAAGAUCAACUUGUGUGUCUAGAGGUGCCCCCCUACCCCCGUAUAUAAAGGAGCAAGGAGGGAGGCCGACCGACCCUAGGGGGCGCGCCAAGGAGGGGGGAGUCCACCUCCUAGUGGGAGUAGGACUCCCCUUUCCUAGUCCAACUAGGAAGGAGGAAGGGGGGAGGAAAGAGAGGGAGAGGGAGAGGGAAAGAGGGGCCGCGCCCCCCUUCCCUAGUCCAAUUCGGACUCCCCAUGGGGGGGCGCCACCUCCUGGGCUACUGCCCUCUCUCUCCCCUCAGGCCCACUAAGGCCCAAUACUUCCCCGGGGGUUCCGGUAACCCCUCCGGCACUCCGGUUUUCUCCGAAAUCACCCGGAACACUUCUGGUGUCCGAAUAUAGUCGUCCAAUAUAUCAAUCUUUAUGUCUCAACCAUUUCGAGACUCCUCGUCAUGUCCGUGAUCACAUCCGGGACUCCAAACAACCUUCGGUACAUCAAAACUUAUAAACUCAUAAAAAAACUAUCAUCGUAACGUUAAGCGUGCGGACCCUACGGGUUCGAGAACUAUGUAGACAUGACCUAGAACUGUUUCCGGUCAAUAACCAAUAGCGGAACCUGGAUGCUCAUAUUGGCUCCUACAUAUUCUACGAAGAUCUUUAUCGGUCAAACCGCAUAACAACAUACGUUGUUCCCUUUGUCAUCGGUAUGUUACUUGCCCGAGAUUCGAUUGUUGGUAUCCAAUACCUAGUUCAAUCUCGUUACCGACAAGUCUCUUUACUCGUUGCGUAAUGCAUCAUUUCGUAACUAACUCAUUAGCUACAUUGCUUGCAAGGCUUAUAGUGAUGUGCAUUACCGAGAGGGCCCAGAGAUACCUCUCCGACAAUCGGAGUGACAAAACCUAAUCUCAAAAUACGCCAACUCAACAUGUACCUUCGGAGACACCUGUAGAGCUCCUUUAUAAUCACCCAGUUACUUGUGACGUUUGGUAGCACACAAAGUGUUCUUCCGGUAAACGGGAGUUGCAUAAUCUCAUAGUUGUGGGAACUUUGUAUAAGUCAUGAAGAAAGCAAUAGCAACAUACUAAACGAUCAAGUGCUAGGCUAACGGAAUGGGUCAAGUCAAUCACAUCAUUCUCCUAAUGAUGUGAUCCCAUUAAUGAAAUGACAACACAUGUCUAUGGUUAGGAAACAUAACCAUCAUUGAUUAUUGAGCUAGUCAAGUAGAGGCAUACUAGUGACAUUAAGUUUGUCUAUGUAUUCACACAUGUAUCAUGUUUCCAGUUAAUACAAUUCUAGCAUGAAUAAUAAACAUUUAUCAUGAUAUUAGGAAAUAAAUAAUAACUUUAUUAUUGCCUCUAGGGCAUAUUUCCUUCAGUCUCCCACUUGCACUAGAGUCAAUAAUCUAGAUUACACAGUAAUGAUUCUAACACCCAUGGAGUCUUGGUGUUGAUCAUGUUUUGCUUGUGGAAGAGGCUUAGUCAACGGGUCUGCAACAUUCAGAUCCAUAUGUAUCUUGCAAAUCUCUAUGUCUCCCACCUGGACUUGGUCCCGGAUGGAAUUGAAGCGUCUCUUGAUGUGCUUGGUCCUCCUGUGAAAUCUGGAUUCCUUUGCCAAGGCAAUUGCACCAGUAUUGUCACAGAAGAUCUUCAUUGGUCCCGCACUAGGUAUGACACCUAGAUCGGAAAUGAACUCCUUCAUCCAGACUCCUUCAUUUGCUGCUUCCGAAGCAGCUAUGUACUUCACUUUGCAUGUAGAUCCUGCCACGACGCUUUGUUUAGAACUGCACCAACUUACAGCUCCACCAUUUAAUAAAAACACGUAUCCGGUUUGCGAUUUAGAUUCGUCCGGAUCAGUGUCAAAGCUUGCAUCGACGUAACCAUUUACGACUAGUUCUUUGUCACCUCCAUAAACGAGAAACAUAUCCUUAGUCCUUUUCAGGUAUUUCAGGAUGUUCUUGACCGCUGUCCAGUGAUCCACUCCUGGAUCACUUUGGUACCUACCUGCCAAGCUUAUUGCUAAGCAUACGUCAGGUCUGGUACACAGCAUUGCAUACAUGAUAGAGCCUAUGGCUGAAGCAUAGGGAACAUCUUUCAUUUUCUCUCUAUCUUCUGCGGUGGUCGGGCAUUGAGUCUGACUCAACUUCACACCUUGUAAUACAGGCAAGAACCCUUUCUUUGCCUGAUCCAUUUUGAAAUUUUUCAAAACUUUAUCAAGGUAUGUGCUUUGUGAAAGUCCAAUUAAGCGUCUUGAUCUAUCUCUAUAGAUCUUGAUUCCCAAUAUGUAAGCAGCUUCACCGAGGUCUUUCAUUGAAAAACUUUUAUUCAAGUAUCCCUUUAUGCUAUCCAGAAAUUCUAUAUCAUUUCCAGUUAACAAUAUGUCAUCUACAUAUAAUAUCAGAAAUGCUACAGAGCUCCCACUCACUUUCUUGUAAAUACAGGCUUCUCCAAAAGUUUGUAUAAAACCAUAUGCUUUGAUCACACUAUCAAAGCGUUUAUUCCAACUCCGAGAUGCUUGCACCGGUCCAUAAAUGGAUCGCUGGAGUUUGCACACUUUGUUUGCACCUUUUGGAUCAACAAAACCUUCCGGUUGCAUCAUAUACAACUCUUCUUCCAGAAAUCCAUUCAGGAAUGCAGUUUUGACAUCCAUUUGCCAAAUUUCAUAAUCAUAAAAUGCGGCAAUUGCUAACAUGAUUCGGACAGACUUAAGCAUCGCUACGGGUGAGAAAGUCUCAUCGUAGUCAACCCCUUGAACUUGUCGAAAACGUUUUGCAACAGGUCGAGCUUUGUAGACAGUUACAUUACCAUCAGCGUCAGUCUUCUUCUUGAAGAUCCAUUUAUUCUCAAUGGCUUGCCGAUCAUCGGGCAAGUCAACCAAAGUCCAUACUUUGUUCUCAUACAUGGAUCCUAUCUCAGAUUUCAUGGCUUCAAACCAUUUUGCGGAAUCUGGGCUCAUCAUCGCUUCCUCAUAGUUCGUAGGUUCGCCAUGGUCAAGUAACAUGACUUCCAGAAUAGGAUUACCGUACCACUCUGGUGCGGAUCUUACUUUGGUAGAUCUACAAGGUUCAGUAGAAACUUGAUCUGAAGUUUCAUGAUCAAUAUCAUUAGCUUCCUCACUAAUUGGUCUAGUCGUCACAGGAACCGGUUCUUGUGAUGAACUACUUUCCAAUAAGGGAGCAGGUACAAUUACCUCAUCAAGUUCUACUUUCCUCCCACUCACUUCUUUUGAGAGAAACUCCUUCUCUAAAAAGGAUCCGAAUUUAGCAACAAAAAUCUUGCCCUCAGAUCUGUGAUAGAAGGUGUACCCAAUAGUAUCUUUUGGGUAUCCUAUGAAGACACAUUUCUCCGAUUUGGGUUCGAGCUUAUCUGGUUGAAGUUUCUUCAUUUAAGCAUCGCAGCCCCAAACUUUAAAAAACGACAACUUUGGUUUCUUGCCAAACCACAGUUCAUAAGGCGUCAUCUCAACGGAUUUUGAUGGUGCCCUAUUUAAUGUGAAUGCAGCCGUCUCUAAAGCAUAACCCCAAAACGAUAGCGUAAAUCAGUAAGAGACAUCAUAGAUCGCACCAUAUCCAGUAAAGUACGAUUACGAUGUUCGGACACACCAUUUUGUUGUGGUGUUCCGGGUGGCGUGAGUUGUGAAACUAUUCCACAUUGUUUCAAAUGUAAACCAAACUCAUAACUCAAAUAUUCUCCUCCACGAUCAGAUCGUAGAAAUUUUAUUUUCUUGUUAAGAUGAUUUUCCACUUCACUAUGAAAUUCUUUGAACUUUUCAAAUGUUUCAGACUUGUGUUUCAUCAAGUAGAUAUACCCAUAUCUGCUCAAAUCAUCUGUGAAGGUGAGAAAAUAACGAUACCCACCACGAGCCUCAAUAUUCAUUGGACCACAUACAUCAGUAUGUAUGAUUUCCAACAAAUCAGUUGCUCGCUCCAUAGUUCCGGAGAACGGCAUUUUAGUCAUCUUGCCCAUGAGGCACGGUUCGCAAGUACCAAGUGAUUCAUAAUCAAGUGAUUCCAAAAGUCCAUCAGUAUGGAGUUUCUUCAUGCGCUUUACACCGAUAUGACCUAAACGGCAGUGCCACAAAUAAGUUGCACUAUCAUUAUCAACUCUGCAUCUUUUGGCUUCAACAUUAUGAAUAUGUGUAUCACUACUAUCGAGAUUUAAUAAAAAUAGACCACUCUUCAAGGGUGCAUGACCAUAAAAGAUAUUACUCAUAUAAAUAGAACAACCAUUAUUCUCUGAUUUAAAUGAAUAACUGUCUCGCAUCAAACAAGAUCCAGAUAUAAUGUUCAUGCUCAACGCUGGCACCAAAUAACAAUUAUUUAGGUCUAAAACUAAUCCCGAUGGUAGAUGUAGAGGUAGCGUGCCGACCGCAAUCACAUCGACUUUGGAACCAUUUCCCACGCGCAUCAUCACCUCGUCCUUGUUGGAAAUAUGCCCUAGAGGCAAUAAUAAAAUGGUUAUUAUUAUAUUUCUUUGUUCAUGAUAAUUUUCUGUUAUUCAUGCUAUAAUUGUGUUAUCCCGAAAUCGUAAUACAUGUGUGAAUACAUAGACCACAACAUGUCCCUAGUAAGCCUCUAGUUGACUAGCUUGAUCAACAGAUAGUCAUGGUUUCCUGACUAUGGACAUUGGAUGUCAUUGAUAACGGGAUCACAUCAUUAGGAGAAUGAUGUGAUGGACAAGACCCAAUCCUAAGCAUAGCUCAAAGAUCGUGUAGUUCGUUUAGCUAGAGCUUUUCCAAAUGUCAAGUAUCAUUUCCUUAGACCAUGAGAUUGUGCAACUCCCAGAUACCGUAGGAGUGCUUUGGGUGUGCCAAAUGUCACAACGUAACUGGGUGACUAUAAAGGUGCACUACGGAUAUCUCCGAAAGUGUCUGUUGGGUUGGCAUGAAUCAAGACUGGGAUUUGUCACUCCGUAUGAGGGAGAGGUAUCUCUGGGCCCACUCGGUAAUGCAUCAUCAUAAUGAGCUCAAUGUGACCAAGUGUCUGGUCACGGGAUAAUGCAUUAUGGUACGAGUAAAGUGACUUGCCAGUAACGAGAUUAAAUGAGGUAUUGGGAUACCGACGAUCGAGUCUCGGGCAAGUAACGUACCGAUUGACAAAGGGAAUUGUAUACGGGAUUGAUUGAAUCCUUGACAUCAUGGUUCAUCCGAUGAGAUCAUCGAGGAGCAUGUGGGAGCCAACAUGGGUAUCCAGAUCCCGCUGUUGGUUAUUGACCGGAGAGGCGUCUCGGUCAUGUCUGCAUGUCUCCCGAACCCGUAGGGUCUACACACUUAAGGUUCGGUGACGCUAGGGUUGUAGAGAUAUUAGUAUGCAGUAACCCGAAAGUUGUUCGGAGUCCCGGAUGAGAUCCCGGACGUCACGAGGAGUUCCGGAAUGGUCCAGAGGUGAAGAAUUUAGAGGAAGUGCAGUUUCGGCCAUCGGGAAAGUUUCGGGGGUCACCGGUAUUGUACCGGGACCACCGGAAGGGUCCCGGGGGUCCAUCGUGUGGGGCCACCUAUCCCGAAGGGCCCCGUGGGCUGAAGUGGGGAGGGGAACUAGCUCCUGGUGGGCUGGUGCGCCCCCCUUGGCCCCCCUUGUGCCUAGGGUUGGAAACCCUAGGGUGGGGGGCGCCUCCACUUGCCUUGGGGGGCAAGCCACCUCCCUGGCCGCCGCCCCCCCCCCUUGGAGAUGGCAUCUCCUAGGGCUGGAGCCCCCCCUUAGGGGGCCUAUAUAAAGAGGGGGGAGGGAGGGCAGCCGCACCCAUGCUCUUGGCGCCUCCCUCUCCCAUUGCUACACCUCUCCCUCUCGUAGAUGCUCGGCGAAGCUCUGCCGAGAUCACUGCUGCAUCCACCACCACGUCGUCGUGCUGCUGGAUCUCCGUCAACCUCUCCUUUCCCCUUGCUGGAUCAAGAAGGAGGAGAUGUCUUCCUCAACCAUACGUGUGUUGAACGCGGAGGUGUUGUCCGUUCAGCACUAGGAUCAUCGGUGAUUUGGAUCACGACGAGUACGACUCCCUCAAGCCCGUUCUCUUGAACGCUUCCGCUCGUGAUCUACAAGGGUAUGUAGAUGCACUCCUUUCUCUUGUUGCUGGAUGAACUCCUAGAUUGAUCUUGGUGAAUGUAGGAAAUUUUUUAUUUUAUGCAACAUUCCCCAACAGUGGCAUCAUGAGCUAGGUCUAUGCGUAGUUCUCUUUGCACGAGUAGAACACAAAUUUGUUGUGGGCAUAGAUGUUGUCAACUUUCUUGCCACUACUAGUCUUAUUUUGCUUCAGCGGUAUUGUGGGAUGAAGCGGCCCGGACCGACCUUACACAUACGCUUACGUGAGACAGGUUCCACCGACUGACAUGCACUAGUUGCAUAAGGUGGCUAGCGGGUGUCUAUCUCUCCCACUUUAGUUGGAGUGGAUUCGAUGAAAAGGGUCCUUAUGAAGGGUAAAUAGAAGUUGGCAAAUCAUGUUGUGGCUUUCACGUAGGUAAGAAAACGUUCUUGCUAGAACCCUAUUGUAGCCACGUAAAACAUGCAACAACAAAUAGAGGACGUCUAACUUGUUUUUGCAGCAUAUGAUUUGUGAUGUGAUAUGGCCAAAAGUUGUGAUGAAUGAUGAAUGAUAUAUAUGUGAUGUAUGAGAUCAUGUUCUUGUAAUAGGAAUCACGACUUGCAUGUCGAUGAGUAUGACAACCGGCAGGAGCCAUAGGAGUUGUCUUUAUUUUUUGUAUGACCUGCGUGUCAUUGAGAAAUGCCAUGUAAAUUACUUUACUUUAUUGCUAAACGCGUUAGCCAUAGUAGUAGAAGUAAUAAUUGGCGAGCAACUUCAUGGAGACACGAUGAUGGAGAUCAUGAUGAUGGAGAUCAUGGUGUCAUGUCGGUGACGAAGAUGAUCAUGGAGCCCCGAAGAUGGAGAUCAAAGGAGCUAUAUGAUAUUGGCCAUAUCAUGUCACUAUUUGAUUGCAUGUGAUGUUUAUCAUGUUUUUCAUCUUGUUUACUAAGAACGACGGUAGUAAAUAAGAUGAUCCCUCAUAAUAAUUUCAAGAAAGUGUUCCCCCUAACUGUGCACCGUUGCGAAGGUUCGUUGUUUCGAAGCACCACGUGAUGAUCGGGUGUGAUAGAUCCUAACGUUCGAAUACAACGGGUGUAAGCCAGAUUUACACACGCAAUACACUUAGGUUGACUUGACGAGCCUAGCAUGUACAGACAUGGCCUCGGAACACGGAAGACCGAAAGGUCGAACAUGAGUCGUAUAGAAGAUACGAUCAACAUGGAGAUGUUCAUCGAUGAUGACUAGUCCGUCUCACGUGAUGAUCGGACACGGGCUAGUCGAGUCGGAUCAUGUAUAACUUAGAUGACUAGAGGGAUGUCUAAUCUGAGUGGGAGUUCAUUGAAUAAUUUGAUUAGGUGAACUUAAUUAUCAUGAACUUAGUCUAAAAUCUUUACAAUAUGUCUUGUAGAUCAAAUGGCCCACGUUACCCUCAACUUCAACGCGUUCCUAGAGAAAACCAAGCUGAAAGAUGAUGGCAGCAACUAUACGGACUGGGUCCGGAACCUGAGGAUCAUCCUCAUAGCUGCCAAGAAAGAUUAUGUCCUAGAAGCACCGCUAGGUGAAGCACCAAUCCCAGAGAACCAAGACGUUAUGAACGCUUGGCAGUCUCGUGCUGAUGAUUACUCCCUCGUUCAGUGCGGCAUGCUUUACAACUUAGAACCGGGGCUCCAAAAGCGUUUUGAGCAACACGGAGCAUAUGAGAUGUUCGAAGAGCUGAAAAUGGUUUUCCAAGCUCAUGCCCGGGUCGAGAGGUAUGAAGUCUCCGACAAGUUCUUUAGCUGUAAGAUGGAGGAAAAUAGUUCUGUCAGUGAGCACAUACUCAAGAUGUCUGGGUUGCACAACCGCUUGACUCAGCUGGGAGUUAAUCUCCCGGAUGACGCGGUCAUUGACAGAAUCCUUCAGUUGCUUCCACCGAGCUACAAGAGCUUUGUGAUGAACUUCAAUAUGCAGGGGAUGGAAAAGACCAUUCCUGAGGUAUAUUCAAUGCUGAAAUCAGCGGAGGUGGAGAUCAAAAAGGAACAUCAAGUGUUGAUGGUGAAUAAAACCACUAAGUUCAAGAAAGGCAAGGGUAAGAAGAACUUCAAGAAGGACGGCAAGGGAGUUGCCGCGCCCGGUAAGCCAGUUGCCGGGAAGAAGUCAAACAAUGGACCCAAGCCUGAAACUGAGUGCUUUUAUUGCAAGGGAAGUGGUCACUAGAAGCGGAACUGCCCCAAGUACUUAGUGGACAAGAAGGCCGGCAAAACCAAAGGUAUAUGUGAUAUACAUGUAAUUGAUGUGUACCUUACCAGUACUCGUAGUAGCUCUUGGGUAUUUGAUACCGGUGCCGUUGCUCAUAUUUGUAACUCAAAGCAGGAGCUGCGGAAUAAGCGGAGACUGGCGAAGGACGAGGUGACGAUGCGCGUCGGGAAUGGUUCCAAGGUCGAUGUGAUCGCCGUCGGCACGCUACCUCUACAUUUACCUACGAGAUUAGUUUUAAACCUCAAUAAUUGUUAUUUAGUACCAGUUUUGAGCAUGAACAUUGUAUCAGGAUCUCGUUUAAUUCGAGAUGGCUACUCAUUUAAAUCCGAGAAUAAUGGUUGUUCUAUUUAUAUGAGAGAUAUGUUUUAUGGUCAUGCCCCGCUGGUGAAUUGUUUAUUCUUAAUGAAUCUCGAGCGUAAUGUUACACAUAUUCAUAGUAUGAAUACCAAAAGAUGUAAAGUUGAUAACGAUAGUCCCACAUACUUGUGGCACUGCCGCCUUGGUCACAUUGGUGUCAAGCGCAUGAAGAAGCUCCAUGCUGAUGGACUUUUAGAGUCUCUAGAUUAUGAAUCGUUUGACACAUGCGAACCAUGCCUCAUGAGCAAAAUGACCAAGACUCCGUUCUCCGGAACAAUGGAGCGAGCAACCAACUUAUUGGAAAUCAUACAUACUGAUGUGUGCGGUCCAAUGAGCGUUGAGGCUCACGGAGGAUAUCGUUAUGUUCUCACUCUCACUGAUGACUUGAGUAGAUAUGGGUAUGUCUACUUGAUGAAACACAAGUCUGAGACCUUUGAAAAGUUCAAGGAAUUUCAGAAUGAGGUAGAGAAUCAACGUGACCAAAAGAUAAAGUUCUUACGAUCAGAUCGUGGGGGAGAAUAUUUAAGUCACGAAUUUGGUACGCACUUAAGGAAAUAUGGAAUCGUUUCACAACUCACGCCGCCUGGAACACCUCAGCGUAACGGUGUAUCCGAACGUCGUAAUCACACUCUAUUGGAUAUGGUGCGAUCUAUGAUGUCACUUACUGAUUUACCGCUAUCAUUUUGGGGAUACGCUCUAGAGACAGCUACAUUCACUUUAAAUAGGGCACCGUCUAAAUCCGUUGAGAUGACACCGUAUGAAUUAUGGUUUGGGAAGAAACCUAAGUUGUCGUUUCUAAAAGUUUGGGGAUGUGAUGCUUAUGUCAAGAAACUUCAACCUGAGAAGCUCGAACCCAAGUCAGAAAAAUGCGUCUUCAUAGGAUACCAUAAGGAAACCAUUGGGUAUACUUUCUACUUAAGAUCCGAGGGCAAGAUCUUUGUUGCCAAGAACGGGUCCUUUCUGGAGAAAGAGUUUCUCUCAAAAGAAUUAAGUGGGAGGAAACUAGAGCUUGAUGAAGUACUACCUCUUGAAACGGUAAGUAGCGCAACUCAGGAAGAUGUUCCUGUGGUGCCUGCACCGACAAGAGAGGAGGUUAAUGAUGAUGAUCAAGAUACUUCGGAUCAAGCUCCUACUGAACUUCGAAGGUCCACAAGGACACGUUCCGCACCAGAGUGGUACGGCAACCCUGUCUUGGAAAUCAUGUUGUUAGACAACGGUGAACCUUCGAACUAUGAAGAAGCGAUGGCGGGCCCAGAUUCCAACAAAUGGCUUGAAGCCAUGCAAUCCAAGAUAGGAUCCAUGUAUGAAAACGAAGUAUGGACUUUGACAGACUUGCCCGAUGAUCAGCGAGCGAUAGAAAACAAAUGGAUCUUUAAGAAGAAGACGGACGCGGAUGGUAAUGUUACCAUCUAUAAAGCUCGACUUGUCGCUAAGGGUUAUCGACAAGUUCAAGGGGUUGACUAUGAUGAGACAUUCUCUCCCGUAGCGGAGCUAAAGUCUGUACGAAUCAUGUUAGCAAUUGCCGCAUUCUAUGAUUAUGAGAUAUGGCAAAUGGACGUCAAAACGACAUUCCUUAACGGCCAUCUUAAGGAAGAACUGUAUAUGAUGCAGCCGGAAGGUUUUGUCGACCCUGAGAAUGCUAACAAGGUAUGCAAGCUCCAGCGAUCCAUUUAUGGGUUGGUGCAAGCAUCUCGGAGUUGGAACAUUCGCUUUGAUGAGAUGAUCAAAGCGUUUGGGUUUAUGCAGACUUAUGGAGAAGCAUGCGUUUACAAGAAAGUGAGUGGGAGCUCUGUAGCAUUUCUCAUAUUAUAUGUAGAUGACAUACUUUUGAUGGGAAUUGAUAUAUAACUUUUGGACAGCAUUAAGGCCUACUUGAAUAAGUGUUUUUCAAUGAAGGACCUUGGAGAAGCUGCUUACAUAUUAGGCAUCAAGAUCUAUAGGGAUAGAUCGAGACGCCUCAUAGGUCUUUCACAAAGCACAUACCUUGAUAAGAUAUUGAAGAAGUUCAAUAUGGAUCAGUCCAAGAAAGGGUUCUUGCCUGUACUGCAAGGUGUGAGAUUGAGCUCGGCUCAAUGCCCUACCACGGCAGAAGAUAAAGAAGAGAUGAGUGUCAUCCCCUAUGCCUCAGCCAUAGGGUCUAUUAUGUAUGCCAUGCUGUGUACCAGACCUGAUGUAAACCUUGUCGUAAGUUUGGUAGGAAGGUACCAAAGUAAUCCCGGCAAGGAACACUGGACAGCGGUCAAGAACAUCCUAAAGUACCUGAAAAGGACUAAGGAUAUGUUUCUCGUUUAUGGAGGUGACGAAGAGCUCGUCAUAAAGGUUACAUAGACUCUAGCUUCGACACAGAUCUGGAUGACUCUAAGUCACAGACCGGAUACAUGUAUAUUUUGAAUGGUGGGGCAGUAAGCUGGUGCAGUUGCAAGCAAAGCGUCGUGGCGAGAUCUACAUGUGAAGCAGAGUACAUGGCAGCCUCGGAGGCAGCGCAUGAAGCAAUCUGGGUGAAGGAGUUCAACACCGACCUAGGAGUCUUCUGUGACAACACUAGAGCUAUUGCACUUGCCAAGGAGCCCAGGUUUCACAAGAAGACCACGCACAUCAAGCGUCGCUUCAACUCCAUACGUGAAAAUGUUCAAGAUGGAGACAUAGAUAUUUGUAAAGUACAUACGGAUCUGAAUGUAGCAGAUCCGUUGACUAAACCUCUCCCUAGAGCAAAACAUGAUCAACACCAGAACGCUAUGGGUGUUCGAUUCAUCACAAUGUAACUAGAAUAUUGACUCUAGUGCAAGUGGGAGACUGUUGGAAAUAUGCCCUAGAGGCAAUAAUAAAAUGGUUAUUAUUAUAUUUCUUUGUUCAUGAUAAUUGUCUGUUAUUCAUGCUAUAACUGUGUUAUCCGGAAAUCAUAAUACACGUGUGAAUACAUAGACCACAACAUGUCCCUAGUAAGCCUCUAGUUGACUAGCUCGUUGAUCAACAGAUAGUCAUGGUUUCCUGACUAUGGACAUUGGAUGUCAUUGAUAAUGGGAUCACGUCAUUAGGAGAAUGAUGUGAUGGACAAGACCCAAUCCUAAGCAUAGCUCAAAGAUCGUGUAGUUCGUUUAGCUAGAGCUUUUCCAAAUGUCAAGUAUCAUUUCCUUAGACCAUGAGAUUGUGCAACUCCCGGAUACCGUAGGAGUGCUUUGGGUGUGCCAAACGUCACAACGUAACUGGGUGACUAUAAAGGUGCACUGCGGGUAUCUCCGAAAGUGUCUGUUGGGUUGGCAUGAAUCGAGACUGGGAUUUGUCACUCCGUAUGACGGAGAGGUAUCUCUGGGCCCACUCGGUAAUGCAUAAUCAUAAUGAGCUCAAUGUGACCAAGUGUCUGGUCACGGGAUCAUGCAUUACGGUACAAGUAAAGUGACUUGCCGGUAACGAGAUUAAAUGAGGUAUUGGGAUACAGACGAUCGAGUCUCGGGCAAGUAACAUACCGAUUGACAAAGGGAAUUGUAUACGGGAUUGAUUGAAUCCUCGACAUCGUGGUUCAUCCGAUGAGAUCAUCGAGUAGCAUGUGGGAGCCAACAUGGGUAUCCAGAUCCCGUUGUUGGUUAUUGACCGGAGAGGCGUCUCGGUCAUGUCUGCAUGUCUCCCGAACCCGUAGGGUCUACACACUUAAGGUUUGGUGAUGCUAGGGUUGUAGAGAUAUUAGUAUGCGGUAACCCGAAAGUUGUUCGGAGUCCCAGAUGAGAUCCCGGACGUCACGAGGAGUUCCGAAAUGGUCCGGAGGUGAAGAAUUUUAUAUAGGAAGUGCAGUUUCGGCCAUCGGGAAAGUUUCGGGGGUCACCGGUAUUGUACCGGGACCACCGGAAGGGUCCCGGGGGUCCACCGGGUGGGGCCACCUAUCCCGGAGGGCCUCGUGGGCUGAAGUGGGGAGGGGAACCAUCCCCUGGUGGGCUGGUAUGCCCCCCCUUGGGCCCCCCCUGCGCCUAGGGUUGGAAACCCUAGGGUGGGGGGCGCCUCCACUUGCCUUGGGGGGCAAGCCACCCCCCUGGCCGCCGCCCCCCCCUUGGAGAUGGCAUCUCCUAGGGACGACGCCCCCCCUUAGGGGGCCUAUAUAAAGAGGGGGGAGGGAGGGCAGCCGCACCCAUGCUCUUGGCGCCUCCCUCUCCCAUUGCUACACCUCUCCCUCUCGUAGAAGCUCGGCGAAGCUCUACCGAGAUCACUGCUGCAUCCACCACCACGCCGUUGUGAUGCUGGAUCUCUGUCAACCUCUCCUUUCCCCUUGCUGGAUCAAGAAGGAGGAGACGUCUUCCUCAACCGUACGUGUGUUGAACGCGGAGGUGUUGUCCGUUCAGCACUAGGAUCAUCGGUGAUUUGGAUCACGACGAGUACGACUCCCUCAACCCCGUUCUCUUGAACGCUUCCGCUCGUGAUCUACAAGGGUAUGUAGAUGCACUCCUUUCUCUCGUUGCUGGAUGAACUCCUAGAUUGAUCUUGGUGAAUGUAGGAAAUUUUUUAUUUUAUGCAACGUUCCCCAACAGUCCUUAGCCAAUCUUCGCUUAAUUCGUAGUCCCUGUUUCGAGUUGCAAAUAUUAGCAACAGAACCAGUAUCAAAUACCCAGGUGCUACUGCGAGCAUUAGUAAGGUACACAUCAAUAACAUGUAUAUCACAUAUACCUUUGUUCACUUUGCCAUCCUUCUUAUCCGCCAAAUACUUGGGGCAGUUCCGCUUCCAGUGUCCAGUCUGCUUGCAGUAGAAGCACUCAGUCUCAGGCUUAGGUCCAGACUUGGGUUUCUUCUCUUGAGCAGCAACUUGUUUGGUGUUCUUUUUGAAGUUCCCCUUCUUCUUCCCUUUGCCCUUUUUCUUGAAACUGGUUGUCUUAUUGACCAUCAACACUUGAUGCUCCUUCUUGAUUUCUACCUCCGCAGCCUUUAGCAUUGCGAAGAGCUCGAGAAUAGUCUUGUCCAUCCCUUGCAUAUUAUAGUUCAUCACGAAGCUCUUGUAGCUUGGUGGCAGUGAUUGAAGAAUUUUGUCAAUGACACUAUCAUCAGGAAGAUUAACUCCCAGUUGAAUCAAGUGAUUAUUAUACCCAGACAUUUUAAGUAUGUGUUCACUGACAGAACUAUUCUCCUCCAUCUUAAAGCUAUAGAACUUAGUGGAGACUUCAUAUCUCUCAAUCCGGGCAUUUGCUUGAAAUAUUAACUUCAACUCCUGGAACAUCUCAUAUGCUCCAUGACGUUCAAAACGUCGUUGAAGACCCGGUUCUAAACCGUAAAGCAUGGCACACUGAACUAUCGAGUAGUCAUCAGCUUUACUCUGCCAGACGUUCUUAACGUCGUCAGUUGCAUCUGCAGCAGGCCUGGCACCCAGCAGUGCUUCCAGGACGUAAUUCUUCUGUGCAGCAAUGAGGAUAAUCCUCAGGUUACGGACCCAGUCCAUGUAAUUUCUACCAUCAUCUUUCAACUUAGCUUUCUCAAGGAACGCAUUAAAAUUCAACGGAACAAUAGCACGAGCCAUCUAUCUACAACAAACAUAGGCAAGCAAUACUAAGUUCAUGAUAAAUUUAAGUUCAAUUAAUCAUAUUACUUAAGAACUCCCACUUAGACAGACAUCUCUCAAGUCAUCUAAGUGAUUACGUGAUCCAAACCAACUAAAUCAUGUCCGAUCAUCACGUGAGAUGGAGUAGUUUCAAUGGUGAACAUCACUAUGUUGAUCAUAUCUACUAUAUGAUUCACGUUCGACCUUUCGGUCUCCGUGUUCCGAGGCCAUAUCUGUAUAUGCUAGGCUCGUCAAGUUUAACCUGAAUAUUCCGCGUGUGCAACUGUUUUGCACCCGUUGUAUUUGAACGUAGAGCCUAUCACACCCGAUCAUCACAUGGUGUCUCAGCACGAAGAACUUUCACAACGGUGCAUACUCAGGGAGAACACUUCUUGAUAAUUUAGUGAGAGAUCAUCUUAAAAUGCUACCGUCAAUCAAAGCAAGAUAAGAUGCAUAAAGGAUAAACAUCACAUGCAAUCAAUAUAAGUGAUAUGAUAUGGCCAUCAUCAUCUUGUGCUUGUGAUCUCCAUCUCCGAAGCACCAUCAUGAUCACCAUCAUCACCGGCGCGACACCUUGAGCUCCAUCGUAGCAUCGUUGUCGUUACGCCAUCUAUUGCUUCUACGACUAUUGCUACCGCUUAGUGAUAAAGUAAAGCAAUUACAGGGCGUUUGCAUUUCAUACAAUAAAGCGACAACCAUAUGGCUCCUUCCAGUUGCCGAUAACUUCGGUUACAAAACAUGAUCAUCUCAUACAAUAAAAUAUAGCAUCACGUCUUGACCAUAUCACAUCACAACAUGCCCUGCAAAAACAAGUUAGACGUCCUCUACUUUGUUGUUGCAAGUUUUACGUGGCUGCUACGGGCUGAGCAAGAACUGUUCUUACCUACGCAUCAAAACCACAACGAUAGUUCGUCAAGUUAGUGCUGUUUUAACCUUCGCAAGGACCGGGCGUAGCCACACUCGGUUCAACUAAAGUUGGAGAAACAGACACCCGCUAGUCACCUGUGUGCAAAGCACGUCGGUAAAACCAGUCUCGCGUAAGCGUACGCGUAAUGUCGGUCCGGGCCGCUUCAUCCAACAAUACCGUUGAACCAAAGUAUGACAUGCUGGUAAGCAGUAUGACUUGUAUCGCCCACAACUCAUUUGUGUUCUACUCGUGCAUAUAACAUCAAUGCAUAAAACCUAGGCUCUGAUGCCACUGUUGGGGAACGUAGUAAUUUGAAAAAUUUCCUACGCACACGCAAGAUCAUGGUGAUGCAUAGCAACGAGAGGGGAGAGUGUUGUCCACGUACCCUCAUAGACCGAUAGCGGAAGCGUUAGAACAACGCGGUUGAUUUAGUCGUACGUCUUCACGAUCCGACCGAUCCAAGUACCAAACGUAUGGCACCUCCGAGUUCAGCACACGUUCAGCUCGAUGACAAUCCCCGGACUCCGAUCCAGCAGGGUGUUGGGGAUGACUUCCGUCAGCACGACGGCAUGGUGACGAUGAUGAUGUUCUACCGACGCAGGGCUUCGCCUAAGCACCGCUACGAUAUGACCGAGGUGGAAUGUGGUGGAGGGGGGCACCGCACACGGCUAAGGAACGAUCACGAAGAUCAACUUGUGUGUCUAGAGAUGCCCCCUGCCCCCGUAUAUAAAGGAGCAAGGGGGGAGGCCGGCCGGCCCUAGGGGGCGCACCAAGGAGGGGGGAGUCCACCUCCUAGUGGGAGUAGGACUCCCCUUUCCUAGCCCAACUAGGAAGGAGGAAGGGGGAAGGAAAGAGAGGGAGAGGGAGAGGGAUAGAGGGGCCGCGCCCCCUCCCCUAGUCCAAUUCGGACUCCCCAUGGGGGGGCGCCACCUCCUGGGCUGCUGUCCUCUCUCUCCCCUCAGGCCCACUAAGGCCCAAUACUUCCCCGAGGGGUUCCGGUAACCCCUCCGGCACUCCGGUUUUCUCCGAAAUCACCCGGAACACUUCCGGUGUCCGAAUAUAGUCGUCCAAUAUAUCAAUCUUUAUGUCUCAACCAUUUCGAGACUCCUCAUCAUGUCCGUGAUCACAUCCGGGACUCCAAACAACCUUCGGUACAUCAAAACUUAUAAACUCAUAAAAAAACUGUCAUCGUAACGUUAAGCGUGCGGACCCUACGGGUUCGAGAACUAUGUAGACAUGACCUAGAACUGUUUCCGGUCAAUAACCAAUAGCGGAACCUGGAUGCUCAUAUUAGCUCCUACAUAUUCUACGAAGAUCUUUAUCGGUCAAACCGCAUAACAACAUACGUUGUUCCCUUUGUCAUCGGUAUGUUACUUGCCCGAGAUUCGAUCGUCGGUAUCCAAUACCUAGUUCAAUCUUGUUACUGGCAAGUCUCUUUACUCGUUACGUAAUGCAUCAUUCCGUAACUAACUCAUUAGCUACAUUGCUUGCAAGGCUCAUAGUGAUGUGCAUUACCGAGAGGGCCCAGAGAUACCUCUCCGACAAUCGGAGUGACAAAACCUAAUCUCGAAAUACGCCAACUCAACAUGUACCUUCGGAGACACAUGUAGAGCUCUUUUAUAAUCACCAAGUUACGUUGUGACGUUUGGUAGCACACAAAGUGUUCUUCCGGUAAACGGGAGUUGCAUAAUCUCAUAGUUGUAGGAACUUUGUAUAAGUCAUGAAGAAAGCAAUAACAACAUACUAAACGAUCAAGUGCCAGGCUAACGGAAUGGGUCAAGUCAAUCACAUCAUUCUCCUAAUGAUGUGAUCCCAUUAAUCAAAUGACAACACAUGUCUAUGGUUAGGAAACAUAACCAUCAUUGAUUAAUGAGCUAGUCAAGUAGAGGCAUACUAGUGACAUUAAGUUUGUCUAUGUAUUCACACAUGUAUCAUGUUUCCGGUUAAUACAAUUCUAGCAUGAAUAAUAAACAUUUAUCAUGAUAUGAGGAAAUAAAUAAUAACUUUUUUAUUGCCUCUAGGGCAUAUUUCCUUCAGCACAUCCAUUGCAAUGACGAAUAGUAGUGGGGAAAGAGAGUCACCUUGUCGCAGUCCACAAACGUGCAUGAAUUUCUUGCCAGCACUUCCAUUCACCACUACUCGAGAGCUAGCAGAGGACAGCAGCGUUGUGAGCCAAGAUAGCCAAACUUCCGAGAACCCUUUUGGCCUUAGCACCUCAAACAAGAACGACCAAGACAAAGAAUCAAACGCUCGCGAGAUGUCCAAUUUGAGCAGAACUCCCUUCGCCUUCCUUUGGUGUAAUCUUCUUGCCAUUUGACUAACAAGUAGAAAGUUAUCAUGCAAUGCUCUUCCUUUUAUAAAUGCUGACUGAUUUAUGUGGACCAACUCCCCCAUGCGUGGCCUCAUCCUAGUGGUCAUUAGCUUUGACGCCAUCUUCGGCAGACUGUGGACCAGGCUAAUUGGUCUGAAGUCUUGAAUAUGGCAAGCCUCCGGGGAUUUUGGUAUUAAAGUGAUAAGCGCCUGAUUAAGCCUUCCAAAACCCCUCCCAUUGUUCAGGAAUAAUUUGUGGAGGGCCGCGAUAACAUCCCUCUUCACAGUAUCCCAAGCUAUCUGGAAGAAAAUUCCAAUGUAUCCAUCCGGUCCUGGAGCUCGAUCCGAAGGGAGUUCCUUAACUACUGCCCAGAUUUCCUCCUCACUGAAUGGGCGAUCAAGCUCCGAUAGAUCCAUAGGCUGUAUGUCCAGCGUUUCCAGAUUUAAUGAGUGCUCCCUUGCAGUAUCCCUCCCAAGAAGCUCCUGAUAUGUCGUAUAGAAGGCCUCCUCUUUGCCUACUUGAUCAGCAAUAACUUGGCCCUCUACAGAAAUUGCCGGUAUGAAAUUCUUUGCCCUCCUGCCAUUAGCUAUCAUGUGGAACAAUUGCGUGUUCGCAUCCCCCUCUCCAAGCCAUCGAACCCUAGAUCUUUGCCUCGCAAUCGUUGUUUCCAGGGAAGCCAACCCUAGCACCAUAUGCUUUAAAGUCUUUCUGAGCCACCGUGCCUCCUCGGAGAGUAAUCUCUGUUCAUGCGCCACAUCAAAACGAAGAAUGACCGCAUUGGCUACUGCAAUCUGCAUCUUUAUGUUGCCCACUUUCUUUUGUCCCCAUGCCGUGAGAUGGCGUGCAUGAUACUGCCAUGGUGGCUGUUUUGAGGAAGGUAAAUAAUGGGUGCAUGAUACCGGCGAAAGUUGCGCGGCAUAAUAGAGGCUAGCAAAGUGGAAGGGUGAGUGUGCGUAUAUCCAUGGACUCACAUUAGUCAUAAAGAACUCAUAUACUUAUUGCAAAAGUCUACUUGCCCUCGAAGCAAAGUACUACUACGCAUGCUCCUAGGGGAAGGGUUGGUAGGAGUUAACCAUCGCGCGAUCCCGACCUCCACUCAUAAGGAAGACAAUUAAAAGAGCACCUCAUGCAACAAAUUUGUCACACAACUUUUACCAUAUGUGCAUGCUACGGGACUUGCCAACUUCAACACAAGUAUUUCUCAAUUUCGUAAUUACCCACUAGCAUGACUCUAAUAUCACCACCUUUAUAUCUCAAAACAAUUAUCAAGCAUCAAAUUGAUCCUAGUUUUUAAUGCACUUUCUAUGAUAGUUUUUAUUAUACCCAACUUGGAUGCCCAUCAUUCUAGGACCAAAUUCAUAACCAUAGCAAAUACCAUGCUGUUCUAAAAGACUCUCAAAAUAAUAUAAGUGAAGCAUGAGAGAUCAACAAUUUUCUUCAGAAUUAAGCCACCGCCGUGCUCUAAAAGAUAUAAGUGAAGUACUAGAGCAAAUACUAUCUAGCUCAAAAGAUAUAAGUGAAGCACAUAUAGUAUUCUAAUAAAUUCUAAUCAAGUGGGCUUCUCCCCAAAAGGUGUGUACAGCAAGGAUGAUUGUGAAAAACUAAAAAUCAAAUACUAAUAUCAUACAAGACGCUCCAAGCAAAACACAUAUCAUGUGGCGAAUAAAAUAUAGCUCCAAGUAAAGUUAUCGAUAAACAAAGACGAAAGAGGGGAUGCCUUCUGGGGGCAUCCCAAGCUUUGGCUUUUGGCUAUUCUUGAAUAUCUUGGGGUGCAAUGGGCAUCCCCAAGAUUAGGCUCUUGCCACUCCUUAUUCCAUAGUCCAUCAAAUCUUUACCCAAAACUUGAAAACUUCACAACACAAAACUCAACAGGAAAUCUCAUAAGCUCCGUUAGUGAAAGAAAGAAAAACCACCACAUAAGGUACUUUAAUGAACUCAUUAUUUAUUCAUAUUGGUGUUAAACCUACUGUAUUUCAAGUUCUCUAUGGUUCAUACCACUUAAUACUAGCCAUACAUGCAUCAAAAUAAGCAAUCAACACACGAAAGGCAAAAUCUAUCAAAAACAGAACAGUUUGUAGCAAUCUGUAACUCUCGAAUACUUAUGGAACUCUACAAAUCCUAUGAAAAUAGGAAGUCCUGGGCCAUUUGUCUAUUGAUCUACAUCAAAAAGAAUCAACGCAAAAUCGCGUUUUCGUGAAUUACUAAAAUUAUUUUCGUGCGCGCAAAGUUUCUGUUUUUCAGCAGAAUCAAAUUAACUAAUACCAUAGGUUAUCCUAUAGGUUCUACUUGGCACAAACACUAAUUAAAACAUAAAAACACAUCUAAACAAAAGGUAGAUGCAAAAAUUAUUACUAAACAGAAACAAAAACAAAAAACACAAAUAAAAUUGGGUUGCCUCCCAACUAGCUCUAUCGUUUAACGCCCUUAGCUAGGCAUAAAAGCAAGGAUAGAUCUAAGUAGUGCCAUCUUUGGCACUCAAUUCAUAAGUAGCUCGCAUGAUAGAUUCAUAAGGUAAUUUAACUUUCUUUCUUGGAAAGUGCUCCAUGCCUUUCCUUAAUGGAAAUUGGAAUCUAAUAUUCUCUUCCUUCAUAUCAAUAAUCGCACCAAUCAUUUUAAGGAAAGGUCUACCAAGAAUAAUAAGACAAGAAAGAUUGCAAUCUAUAUCAAGAACGAUAAAAUCUACGAGCACCAAAUUUCUAUUUGCAACAAUGAGAACAUCAUUGAUCCUUCCCAUUGGCUUUUUAAUGGUGGAAUCCGCAAGGUGCAAAUUUAAAGAGCAAUCAUCAAGAUCAUGGAAAUCUAGAAUAUCACAUAAAGUUUUCGGAAUCAUGGAAACACUAGCACCCAAAUCACAUAAAGCAUAACACUCACGAUCUUUAAUUUUAAUCUUUAUAGUAGGUUCCCCACUCAUCAUAAAGUUUUCUAGGUAUAGAAACUUCCAAAUUAAGUUUUUCAGCAAAAGAUUGCAUCAAGGCAUCAACAAUAUGUUUGGUAAAAGCUUUAUUUUGACUAUAAGCAUGAGGGGAAUUCACAACGGAUUGCAACAAGGAAAUACAAUCUUCUAAAGAGCAAUUAUCAUAAUUAAAUUCCUUGAAAUCCAAGAGAGUGGGUUCAAUGCUAUUUAAAGUCUUGACCUCUCCAAUCCCACUUUUAUCAAAUUUAGCAUCCAGAUCUAAAAACUCCGAAUCAUUGGGAUGCCUUUUAACUAAAGUUGACUCAUCUCCAGUCCCAUCAUAUUAAGAUUCAUAUUGCAAAACAAAGAUCUAAUAGGGGACACAUCAAUAACUUUAAGAUCUUCAUCAUUAUUUUCAUGGAAACUAGAAGAACACGCUUUUAUAAAGCCAUCUUUCUUAGCAUGCAAUCUAGCGGUUCUUUCUUUGCACUCAUCAAUGGAAGUUCUCAUAGCUUUGAUAGACUCAUUGAUAUCAUGCUUGGGAGGAGUAGAUCUAAGUUUCAAAGAAUCAACAUCAAGCGAGAGUCUAUCAACGUUCCUAGCCAAAUCAUCAACUUUGAGCAAUUUUUCUUCAAGCAAGGCUUUUUUUUGAGAGAUCAUAAAUUCUUUAACAUUAUUCUCAAAAUCAGAGGGCAUCUUAUUAAAAUUACCAUAAGAAUUAUUUUAGGAAUUUCCAUAUUUAUUAGAGGAAUUGCUAGGGAACGGUCUAGGAUUAAAGUUUUCGCUAUAAGCAUUGUUACCAAAAUUAUUCCUACCAACAAAAUUCACAUCCAUAGAUUCAUUAUUAUUCUCAAUCAAAGUAGACAAAGGCAUAUCAUUGGGAUCAAUAGGAGCACUCUUAGUGGCAAAAAAAUUCAUAAGUUCAUCCAUCUUUCCACUCAAAACAUUAAUUUCUUCUAUAGCAUGCACUUUUUUACUAGUAGAUAUUUCGGUGUGCCAUUGAGAAUAAUUAGCCAUAAUAUUAUCGAGUUUUGUAGCUUCUCCUAAGUUGAUUUCCAUAAAUGUGCCUCCCGCGGCCGAAUCUAAAAGAUUUCUAGAAGCAAAAUUCAAUCCGGCAUAAAAAAUUUGUAUGAUCAUCCAUAAAUUCAAACCAUGAGUAGGGCAAUUGCGAAUCAUCAAUUUCAUUCUUUCCCAAGAUUGGGCAACAUGCUCAUGAUCAAGUUUCUUAAAAUUCAUAAUAUCGUUCCUAAGAGUGAUGAUCUUAGCAGGAGGAAAAUACUUAGAGAUAAAAGCAUCUUUGCACUUGUUCCAUGAAUCAAUACUAUUCUUAGGCAAAUACGAAAACCAAAAUUUAGCAUGAUCUCCAAGUGAAAACGGAAAUAACUUCAAUUUAACAAUAUCAUUUUCCAUAUCUUUUUUCUUUUGCAUCUCACACAAAUCAACAAAGUUGUUUAGAUGGGUAGAGGCAUCUUCACUAGGAAGGCCGGAGAAUUGAUCUUUCAUAACAAGAUUCAGCAAAGCAGUAUUGAUUUCACAAGACUCAACAUCAUUAAGAGGAGCAAUCGGAGUACUAAGGAAAUCAUUAUUAUUGGUAUUGGAUAAAUCACACAAUUUGGUAUUAUCUUGCGCCAUCGCGACAAGUAAUCCAACACACAAGCAAACAAAAAGGCAAACGAAAGAGAGAGGAGAUCAGGAAAGAGAGGGCGAAUAAAACGGCAAAGGUGAAGUGGGGGAGAGGAAAACGAGAGGCAAAUGGCAAUUAAUGUAAAUGCGAGGGAGAUGAGUUUGUGAUGGGUACUUGGUAUGUCUUGACUUGAGCAAAGACCUCCCCGACAACGGCGCCAGAAAUCCUUCUUGCUACGUCUUGAGCUUGCGUUGGUUUUCCUUGAAGAGGAAAGGGUGAUGCAGCAAUAGUAGCGUAAGUAUUUCCCUCAGUUUUUGAGAACCAAGGUAUCAAUCUAGUAGGAGGCUCCUCAAAAGUCCCACGCACCUACACUAACAAACAAGAACUCGCAACCAACGCAAUCAAGGGGUUGUCAAUCCCUUCACGGCCACUUGUGAAAGUGAGAUCUGAUAGAGAUAAUAUGAUAAGAUAAAUAUAUUUUUGGUAUUUUAUGAUAUAGAUUGGAAAAGUAAAGAUGCAAAUAAAAGUAGAUUGAAAGCUUAUAUGAUAAAAGAUAGACCCGAGGGCCAUAGGUUUCACUAGUGGCUUCUCUCAAGAUAGCAUAAGUACUUACGGUGGGUGAACAAAUUACUGUCGAGCAAUUGAUAGAAAAGCGAAUAAUUAUGAGAUUAUCUAGGCAUGAUCAUGUAUAUAGGAAUCACGUCCGUGACAAGUAGACCGACUCCUGCCUGCAUCUACUACUAUUACUCCACACAUCGACCUCUACCCAGCAUGUAUCUAGAGUAUUAAGUUCAUAAAGAACAGAGUACCGCAUUAAGAAAGAUGACAUGAUGUAGAGGGAUAAACUCAUGCAAUAUGAUAUAAACCCCAUCUUUUUAUCCUCGAUGGCAACAAUACAAUACAUGCCUUGCUGCCCCUACUGUCACUGGGAAAGGACACCGUAAGAUUGAACCCAAAGCUAAGCACUUCUCCCAUUGCAAGAAAGAUCAAUCUAGUAGGCCAAACCAAACUGAUAAUUCGAAGAGACUUGCAAAGAUAACUUAAUCACACAUAAAAGAAUUCAGAGGAGAUUCAAAUAUUUCUCAUAGAUAAACUUGAUCAUAAACCCACAAUUCAUCGGAUCUCGACAAACACACCGCAAAAAGAGUUACAUCAAAUAGAUCUCCAAGAAGAUCAAGGAGAACAUUGUAUUGAGAUCCGAAGAGAGAGAAAAAGCCAUCUAGCUAAUAACUAUGGACCCGAAGGUCUGUGGCAAACUACUCACAACUCAUCGGAGAGGCUAUGGUGUUGAUGUAGAAGCCCUCCAUGGUUGAUUCCCCCUCCGACAGAGCGCCGGCGAAGGCUCCAAGAUGGGAUCUCGCGGAUACAGAAUGUUACGGUGGUGGAAAUAGUUUUUCGUGGUCGCCUCUGAUGUUCUCGGGGUACGUGGGUAUAUAUAGGAGGAAGAAGUAGGUCGGUGGACGCUCGAGGGCCCACGAGAUAGGGGGGCGCACCUAGUAGGGGGGCGCGCCCUCCACCCUCGUGGCUUCCUCGAUUGCUUCUUGACUUGCACUCCAAGUCCUCUGGAUCACGUUUGUUCCAAAAAGAUCGCCCCCGAAGGUUUCAUUCCGUUUGGACUCCGUUUGAUAUUCCUUUCCUUCAAAACACUGAAAUAGGCAAAAAAACAGCAAAACGGGCUGGGCCUCCGGUUAGUAGGUUAGUCCCAAAAAUGAUAUAAAAGCGUAAAGUAAAGCCCAUAAACAUCCAAAACGGGUAAUAUAAUAGCAUGGAACAAUAAAAAAUUAUAGAUACGUUGGAGACGUAUCAACAUCCAUAUUGCAUCAUUGUUUCUUACUGUAAUUCAUCUUAAAGUAUUGUCUUUUCUCUCUUAAAAUGCAAGUUAUAACAAAAGAGGGGGAACUGGAAUUCAGAACCUAAAAUAGCAACAGAAGAGAAAGCAAUUAUCCGGAGCUCGAAACCAACCGCAGAUUUUUCAAGAAUUAUUUCGGAGUAUAUGAGGAAUAUUCGAGAAAAGAAGUACCAUAGGGGGCCCAUAGGGUAAACGCAUGGACAGAUGGUGCGGUCUACCCCUCCUAGUCGUGCCCCUUGUCCAUGUGGGCCUCGGGAGGCUUGUGUCCCGAUGCCCUUUGAGCCAUAAAUUCCCAUUUACCCUAGAAAAAUAACAAACAUUUCUGGACUUUCCGCCGUCGCCCGAGAGGCGGAACAGAGGUAGAGCACUUUUACUCUCCCGCGGAGCGAUUCUGCUAGGGAAACUUCCCUACGGGAGCGGAAAUCGAAAGCUUCAUCAUCACCAACACUCUGUUCAUCAUGGGGAUCAUCAUCUUCAUCAACAUCAUCUCAUCUCCUAACUCUAGUUUAUCCUUUGUAUUCAAUCUUUGUAUCAAACCUCAGAUUGGUGCCUAGGGGUGCUAGUAGCGUUAAUUACACCUUGUCGUUGAUGCCUGUUGGUUUAACUGGUGGAAGAUUAUUAUCUGAAGAUUAUUAAUCAUAUAUUUAUACCCAUUGUUCAUGAUCAAUAUGAUGAGUUGUGAGUAGUUUCUUUAGAUUUUGAGGAAAUGGGAGAAGUAUUAUUGCUAGUAAUCAUGUGAAGUUGAUCGUUGUUUAAUUUUUUUGAUAUUAUCUUUUGUUUUCUUCCUCUACUGGUGUUAUGUGAACAUUGUUUACAUGACACUUCACCAUCUUUGGGCCUAGGGGAAGGCAUUGUGAAGUUAGUUUGUAGAUGAUGGGUUGCGAGAGUGAUAGAGACCUAAACCCCGCUUAUGAAUUAUUCCAUAAGGGGCUGGUUAGAUUUGGAUCCAGUUGUUUAAUGUCAUGGUUAGAUUUAUCUUAACUACUUCUCUUGUAGUUGUGGAUUCUUGCAUGGAGAGUAUAAUCACAAGUAGGUAUUUGUUCAAGUUAGGACAGUAAAUUAGCCCUGGUCCACCCACAUAACACUUAUCAAGGCAAUGAACAUAAUCGAUGAAGGUGAAAGUAACUUGGCGAUAUUCCCAUAUGUCCUCAAGAGCGUUUUAAUCACUAUAAAAAGUGCCACCGACUUGUCCUUAUAGUACAAUUAAGGAUUAAGGCACUUGCUCCACUUUGCUAUCUUGUUACUUGUUAUCUUACUACAAAUUACCUUGUUAUCAAACCAUGUAUCAGAGCUAUAUCUUACAACACUUGAAGUGAAAUUCUUGCUGAAAACUGCCUAUCAAUUCCUUCUGCUCCUCAUUGGAUUUGGCACUUCUACUCAUCGAGAGGACUAUGAUUGAUCCCCUGUAUCUGUGGGUCAUCACCCACCAUCACCAAAUCAAGCCUCCAGAUCAUGAUCAGAAAGACGCCACUACUGAAGCACCGCCAUCACGAGGAUUCCCCGCCACAACCUUUCGCACCAUUCACACAGAUAUGGAGAGAAGCCACCACCGCAAUGUCGCUUGCCGCAGAGAGGAACGUGUAGUCCACCUUCUAGGGCUGGCGCGCAAGGGCUCAAAUCCUCAGACCACCAUCCGUUGCACAUCGACAUCGGAACAAACCACUGGAGGGGAUGGAAAGACGCCUCAUUUCACAUCUAGAGGACCACCGGCCAUCCCCGCCAUGCCUCACCAAGCCCCCAAAUCAAAUCUGCCGGAGCCGUCGGGCGGCCACCCGCCAGCUCAUGCAAUGCAACACUAGCACUGACAAGCCACUUCGAUCAACGCUCAAGCCACCUUGUGCCCUUGACAGGGGAAGCUCUACAACAAGGGAAAGAGAAACCGUGACUCAGAAUGGAGGAAUUCCACCAAAAGGGACCAAAGGCGCUGGCAUUCACCAGAUCCGAGACAAGUGGUAUUAGAUUCGCCAGCCAGCCAGCGACGUGCUCGAAGUAUGGGAUCUAGCGGGGCUACGCCACACGCUGCAGAACCAUCCCGCACACCAUAGUCAAGGCGCGACGAGGCAUGGUGAGCCGGUCGGAUCCCGCCAACCGUGGCACAAGCUGAGCUUCGGGAAGCAAGUCGCGACGAGAGGAGAAAGGGAGGGUAGUGUGUCGGGCCCAAGCGAGGUGCGAGCACCCAUCGCCGCUAACCACCACCUGCGGCUUUGCCUUGGCAAUGUCGAUCGACGGUGGCGACACGACUUGUGGAGAGGAGGAUAGAGGAGUGGCGACAGGAGCGCCACCUGAGUUGCCCAUGGGGACGACGCAGAGCACCUAGGGCCUCCGCUCGAAUCAACACAUCGACAUAUAAGGGGUCAAAAUAGUUCAUUGUGGCUCGAGAUACACUUAUCAUUUGGAUAUGUCAUGUGAACUAAAGCGCGUGAAAGUCUCCAACUCGCCUUCAUCGGGUAUAUUAUCUUGAAAGCAAUUACUAGUGUUUUGGCAGUUUACUAUCGUCGUGUAUCCUCCUUUGGAGGACCAUGCAUAUUUAGCAAAGUACUUGCAUGAGUUUAAGCCUGGAGUAGCAAAGGACUAAAAGGUCAAAAAAACGCGAAAAUCCAUGGAUUAAGUAGCUCAGAUCCUUAGAAAUAUAUUCUUGCAAAUAUUAAAAAACUCUUUCGAUUUCGUUGGGGUGCCGAAAAGUUCUUCCUCCUGCAUCCAUCAGCGGUGCGCCAUGAGUAAUGCCCGUUACCGCCUCUGGGCCUCUGUCUCAACGAAGCAAACUUGUUUAAACCCAAGAGAUUGUAGAAACAACAGGCAUAAAGUCAUUGAUGUAGACUAGAAGACGUCGAUGGUCGUGAUCUGCAUAUCAAGUCGCCACCCCAGAGAAGAAAACAACAUAUAGAGCCUAUAUAGAAUGUCCAAGUUCCGACCAGACGAAGUCGGAGAGCACAAACCUCACAAGCUCUUUGACGAGGCCAAGACUGACCAACCUUUAUCAGUCAAAACUGGAGUCAAAGGACCAAGACGUACAACAACGUCGUCCGCUCCGCAAGACAAUGUGAUCAGUGUCAGAGCUUGGGGGGGGGCAAAAGGGCCCAUUGGCCUCCUACUCUAGAAAACUUUGAAGUGUACCUCUAUUAUAUUGGGCUUGAAUAUCAAAGAUUUCUCAGAGUUCAUGCAUAACUUAUCUUCUUCGCUCCUCAAUAAUCUUCAUCAAGCUCCACCACUGAGCGCGAUCAAGACAAACCCUCAAAAUAAGACGCCAGACUCGAAGAACUAGAUUAAUCUUUCACAAGCUUCCCGGCGAUAUGAGGAGGCAUCACCGGCACGAAGACGAUGGGGAGACCUUAUUCCACGUCGACGGCGACACCAUCGUCUUGACAUCGCCAAAUGGAGACCUACCUGAUGCACCAUUAAAGAAAACUAUGUCUCUCAUGAGUGAUCGGGGCCUUCCCGUACAUUUCCACCGACAAAGCUAGUGAAGGAGGAGGCCCACCGGCUCUCUCCCUCCCCUACCCCUUGCUGGCUAGGGUAAACUCUCCCCUCCAGACUUCGCCGGCGAGCCCGUAGAUUCACCUCCCCCUCUGCCUGCCACUCCGGCGGCGGCGGGGGGGGGGGUGCCUCUGCUCCGAUUAGUAGUUUAAGUUUGGGUUUUUUAGUCCUCGUAGGUGCGGAGAUCGGGCGGAUGGCGGCGCUUCUUCUUCGAGUUUGUCUUCCGGGUUCCGAUCCUCCUUCGAGUUCGUCUAUUUGGACGUAGUCGACGGAGCUCCGACGUAGAUUCCUGCCGUCUUCUUGAGAUGGUGAGGUUAGGGUUUCUCGUCAUAUGGCAAGAUUUGGUGUUAGGUGUUUCAGAUCUACUCAGGGGUUCAACGACGAUGACUGUGGCUCCAAGGCGCUGGUCCUUAGGGGCACGUUUACAAAGACUUCUUGGCUGUCAUCAACAAGGUCAAACCGGUUUAGGUAUGGGAACGGUAACAACGGCACUUCGGCGGCUCGUUCUGACGCCGGUAGUGGUCGUUCGAUGGUCUCAGAAUCACGAUGUAAUUUUUAUUAUGUUUGAGAUACUUUGUAUUUCCGGUGAACUUGGAUAAUAGGUCUGAAUCAUUUCAAAAAAAAGAGAGGAGGCCGGCGAUUAUCGGUGGAGGAAAAUGACCGCGGAGGACAGUAAAAACAAACUCAAACAAUAUGCCGUGAAUGGGGGAGACUUUGUGAGCUGUGCCUGCGACAUAUUUCCUGCCGGCCAAAGGGCUCGCAGGGGUGUCUUGGUAACUUCAACAUUAGACUAACAUCAGUGCAUCUUUUAGCAUCUCCACCAACUACCAAAAGCGUCACAACGCAACCUAAUCCAAUCAUGCCUUCGCUGUGACCGUUCGGCGAUGCCCGCCGGCAGGUAGGCCUCAAGAAAUCUGUCCCACCUUGUCAGUCACUCAGCAUUUUAUAUGUUAAAAAUAUCGGGUAGAACACAAGCGAACGGAAAUUUCUCACCUACCGCUUCCCACCAGCUGCUCUGACAAGCCUCACCAGCAACGUGCCCAGCGGCUCAGGGCCCGGGAGAACUGCAACACUUGUGCCAGACCCUUUGGCAUGACGCAUAAAAUUCAAGUUCAAAACGGGAGAGACAUACUCUCGGAAAAAAAAACGGGAGAGAUAAAAAAUCAACAGGCCUCCGAUGAAUGACACGGACGAGAGAGAAGAAGACUGGCAGCUUGGAAAAAAUGACAUCAUUAUCACAAUGAACGAUUUUUGGAUUUCUUCUAUCAUGUCAUCGGGAUCAGACUGACCUGAUCCAAUGGUUUAAUUGCCAUACUUUCACGUCUCUUGAGUAUUAUGGUUUGUGCUAGAUUUCAAGAAAAAUCAUGAAAGCGUUGGAGGAAGACGUGUGUUCAUUGAAGCUAUGUCGAAGUCACAAAAAUCCUGGGUCUUUUUCACGAGAAGCAGCUCCAUUUGGCUUACUGGCCCAAUAUAGGACCAAGAGUCAACAGAGUAUUGGCGCUUAAGCAGCACUAGAGGACAUCAUUGUUCGUCUCCGAAUGAUUAUUUGUGCACAUGCUAUGUUUACCCUUUUUAUUGAGUAAUGUUUUUUUUUCUUUUUGCAUAAAGGAUCAUAUUUCUCUACCUAAUCUUUCCUUACUAAUAAAGCAAAUAGUGCUUCUGGUCGUACGUCACUAAAAUUACCCUUGGAGUUGUAAAUAAUUACCCACCAUGCCACCGGUAAGUGGGAAAAAACGGUUCACUUAAAUCGCGGACGGCUUAUGUUUAUUUAGGGUAAGCCCAUAUCAUUCAUAACGCGACGUAGAGUGGCGUGGUGGUAUUAGCCUCACGUCUCCAUACCUGAGACCUGGGUUCGAUUCCUGGUUCUCUCCUUUUCACUUCUUUCUCCUUCUCCUUUUUGUUUUUUCGAGAAAUCUUCUCCUUCUCCAUUCUCUCCUAUUUAGCAGAUGGGCCACAUGAUGUUUCAGUUUUGGCCCAGCCACUUUAUUUUUAUUUUUUCUAUUUUCGGGCACAUUCAAUUUUUUUUAACUCAUAACUUUCAAACCCAAAAUCUAACAUGUCAUAUAUGGAAAUCUCUCAAAAAAUCUUCUCCUUCUCCAUUCUCUCCUAUUUAGCAGAUGGGCCACAUGAUGUUUCAGUUUUGGCCCAGCCACUUUAUUUUUAUUUUUUCUAUUUUCGGGCACAUUCAAUUUUUUUUAACUCAUAACUUUCAAACCCAAAAUCUAACAUGUCAUAUAUGGAAAUCUCUCAAAAAAUCAUGCAGAUUUUAAAUAUGCUAUUAUAUUAAUCAUUUCUAAAAUUUUGUUUACGAUACAACCUUAAUUAAUAUCUUCUUUACAUGUGGUAUUUUGGAAAUGUCGGUUUACCAUUGAUAUUUAUGUUGUUAAAUAAAUUUGAAACAUCUUGAGUAUUCAAAAAUCAUCCAAUCUUAUGCUUUUUGCAAAACACCACUUAUCAUGUUGUUUGUUGUGUGGCAUCGUGAAAGAUUUCAAAGGAUUCGCCGAUGUUGUAAAGUGUGAGCAUGAUGGAUGGAUAUUUUUUUUCCGUUGCAACGCACGGGCAUGUUUUGCUAGUAAUAAUAAAGCAAGUAUUGCUUCUGGUUGUCCGUCUAAAAAUUACCCUCGAAAUUGCUAUAUAUUACCCGCUAUGCCACCCAUAAGUGAAAACAAUUCGGGUUUUUCUUCAAAGUCGCCGUACUAUCGUCACAGUGUCUAUAGCCUAUCUCUCCCAGCCAGAAGACCACGGUUUGAACCCCAGGUUCCACACUUUUCCCCCACUCCUUUUUCUCUCACGCACUUCCUCCCCCCACGUAUGUGUUCAUGGGCCGGUCCGCGGGGCGUGGCGCCCCUACUUUUUUCCAUUUCAUUUUUUGUCUUUUUCUUUUCUUUUUUCUGUUUUUUUCUUCUUUAAAUUAAUUCAGGAUUUACAAAUUUCAAAAAGUUGAUCUUUAGAGAAAAGCAGGCAAACGCAGGGCACAUCAUCGAAGCUUGCAAGCGCGACAUUGAGUAGUGGAGGAUGGCUGGUGCAAAGUGCCCAGAGUUACCCUUCGGGGAGGUGACAUGAGAUUAUCCCCACUAGAUCAUGAGUUCCCAGUUUUCCUAACUCCGGACCAGUUGUAAUUUCCAUUUUUCGGCCUCAGCUCUUGAUCACUUGAUCACCCUUUGUCACUCUUCCUUAUGCUUAAAUCAAUGAAAAGUCGGCAAUGCCUGCCGCUUAAAAAAACAAAUUUCAAAAAGUUGCGACUUUUGAGAAAAAUGUUUGAGAAAUCAUAAAAUGUUUAUGAAUUUAGAAAAAAUUGAAAAAUCAUAAAAUUUCCGUGGUUUCAAAAUUUUUGAAAAAUUAAUAAAAAAAUCACAAUUUGAAAAAAAAUGCCGGGAAAUAAAAUCAUGUUUUCUCGAUUUUGAAAAAAAUGAUCAUGUAUUCAAAACGUAUUCGUGAAUCUAAAAAAAUUUCCAUGAAAUUUUAUAAAAUACUCAAACAAUUCAACUCUUUUGUGAAUUUCAUUUUCCCCUAAUUUUUAAAAAAUCAUCGAUUAAAAAAUGUUCAUGAUUUGAAAACUAUUCAUGUAUUCAAUAAAUGUUUGUCUAAACAAAACAAAUGUUUGUGAAUUUAAAAAAUGACCAUUUAAAAAAAAUGUUUGUCGAUUCAAAAAACCGUUCGCCAUUUUAAAAGUCUUUUAUGUCUUGGUUUUGAUUAGUUUUGGGAAAGUCUUUAUAUGUCUAAGCGUUGGUAGUAGUUCGUGGUAGAUGGGAUUUAUUUUUAAAGUUUUAAAUACACAUUGACAAGUGUGUCGUGCGGUGGCAAGCUCAUUGCCUUGGGAUUUACCAUGACGAAUGCAUUGCGCUCACGUGGACAUCACGUCCAUCAUCAGCGAGGGCCGGAAGAAAGAUAAGUGGCAAACUAAUGAGCCACCGUAUUAAAAUAGAGGACACUCAUACGUCCGGGUAUUGAGUCAUACUUAUUUGGCCAGCAUGUAAUUUUUUUAUCUACCCUUGCAACCGCACGAGCAUGUUUGCUAAUAUUAUAUAAAAUUUCGUCAAGUACAAAGUAUCUCAAACACAAAAUUACAUCAAGAUUCCAAGAACACCAAACGACCACUAAUGCCACCAUAACGGGCCGCCGACGCGCCGUUGUCGCCGCUUUGACCUUGUCGAUGCCAGUUAGAAAGUCUUUGUGCACAUGCCCCUAAGGACCAGUGCUCUAGAGUCGCAGUCGUCGCCGUUGAACCCUUGCGUUGUUCUAAAUCAUUUGACAUCAAACCUCGCCACAUGACGAGAAACCCUAACCUCAUCGCCCCAAGGAGACGCCGGACCUUCGUCGACUAUGUCCAAACAAACAAUUUCGAGGAGGAUCGAAGCCUGGAAGACAAACUCGAAGAAGAAGCGCCACACAUGCGAGAACUAAAAAACCCUAACAUAAACUACUAACUAGAGCAGAGGCACGAGAUUCUCCUCCCAACAAUGGCCACCGGAGUGGCAGGCAGAGGGGAGGCACAUCCACAGACUCGUCGGUGAAGUCUGGAAGUUUGACCUAACCGCCUAGGGUUAGGGGAGGAAACCCUUUUGAGAAAUAUGAACUUACUUGUUGCUAUUGUUGGCUAGCAUACUAUCAAGAAUGUUUAUAUCAUGGAUUUUAGAUAUAACUAGGUGAUUUCCCUGCGCGUUGCUGCGGGAUUUUAAAGAUUGAUUUUUGAUAAAUUAUGUAUGAACGAAAUGACCUAAAUCAAAAGGUAUUAUUUCCCGUAAAUAGUUGUGAGUGAAUAAAAAAUAUGCAUGGGCCUUGUACCAUUGGAGAUGAAACAGUUAAAUCAGGGGUAUGCAUGUGCUACAAAAUAGUUUUAGUGGAUGAUGAUGUGGCCAUUUGGUGAUGUGAAGGGUUGUAUGUUGAGAGAAUUGGAGUUAGUGGGAAUCAACUAUUUAUUUUAGGUAUUAUAGAUUAGAUUUUUAGAAGGCUUUGGAACGCCUUUUUAUAGGAUAGUACUUUUCCAUUGCAAGAAAAAAAUACAUACAAAUAUACACAUAUAUACAUGGGGAUUCCAUGCCCUCAGCAUACAUAUACAACAAAUAGAUCUGAUGCUCAAAUAAAUAUACAACAAAUAGAUAUCAAGAACAAAAUCUCACGAGGUUUGUUAAGAGGUGAAAUGUCACAUAUAUAUUAUUAAUAUUUUAAAAUUAGAGCUCUUAGGCUCUCAAUUCAUUAACUGAGAAAAAUAUUGUUCAGUUAAUUAGCAAAAAACCAGAAAAAACCCGGCACAACACGCCCACAAAGGGCAUCUGGCCGACCUGACUACCCACAAAGAUCCACACACACCAUCGAAGAGUGGAAUGAUGUCAAGGUUCUUAUUAAAUUGUCAUGGCAGCUAAAAUGGAAGUGGCGGUACUAGCAACGGGAAAUUAAAGAUACAAGCUCUAUUAAACAACAUAGAUUAGGUUUAAUGUAUUAUAAGCAUUCAAAAGGUAUUGCACCACGGCUGCAAGCAAAUUAAGUUGUACUUCUCGACAACACAACUAAUAAUACAAUGAUAAUGAAUAUGACUAGCAAAAGGGCUUGUGCAUUGUAACGGAAGAAAAAAUAUAUUGAUUUUCACUUGCCAUGACCACAUUUUGCAGCAUCAUCGAGAUACACUAUCACUCACAAUUUCGUGAAAUCAUGAACAAUUUUUGAAAUCAUGAACACUUUCUUAAUCUCGUGCAUAUAUUUGAAAUUGUGAAUAUUUUUCAAAUUCGUGAACACUUUUACAAUUUUUUGAAUAUUUUUUAAAUUCAUGAACAUUUAUACUAUCUGCAAACAUUUUUCAAAAAAUUGUGAAUUUUUUAAACAAUUUUCUUGAAUCGGUGAACAUUUCUAGAAUCAAUGUUUUUUUGGGAAAUUGGUGGAACAAUUUUUGAAAUUCACAAACAUAUUUUUGAUUUAACAAACAUUUUUUGGAAUGCACGAUCAUUUUGUGAAUCAGCGCACAUUCUAUGAGUGAAUAAAGUAUUUCCUACGUCACAAAUAAUUAUUAGUUUUUAGGACAUUUUUUCAUUCAUGAACAAAUUUUGAAUUAGUGGAAUUUUGUUCAAUUUCAUUAACAUUUUUUAAUAUACAAACUUUUUAAAGUAUCAUGAAUAUAUUUUAUUUUACCACACAUUGUUUUAAAAAAAAUGAACAUUUAUUGAAUAAGUAAACAUUCUUUUACAAAAUUGUGAACUUUUUUGAAUCCGCAAAUAUUUUAUGAUUCAGUAUGUAUUUUAUUUCAAACUUAUCUUUUUUAAUUUCGGAUAUUUUUUGAAAUCCCAAAUUACUUAAAAUAGAAAAAACAAAUACAAAAAACAAAAAAAAUGAAAAUGAAAAUUUUAAUAUUUUAAAAACAUGCCGCACGAACAUGGGCCGGCCCAAACGAAUCGCUGCGGUCUUCUCCCAGCGUGUAGUUUAGGAGGUCCCUACUGCAUGGGCCGUCCCAGGCGAGGGAUUCCCAAAUUAUUUCAAAUAUUAUUUACCACUUAUUGGUGGCAUUGAUGGGUAAUAUUUUACAGUUUCAUGGCGUACCGUCAGAAGCAAUAGCCCCCUUAUUAUUAUUAGAAAAAGGGUCCGUGCAAUGCUAUAGGAGAAAAAAGAUCAUAGUCUUCAAUGACCAUGACCACAUUUUGCUGCAUCACCGACAUACACUAUCAUUCUCAAUUUCAUGGAAUCAUGAACAAUUUUUGUAAUGAUUAACGUUUUUUUAAACACAUGGACAUUUUUCAAAUUCGUGAACAUCUUUGCAAAUUUUUUUAUAUUUUAUAAAAUGAAGGUCAUUUUAUGAAUUCAUGAACAUUUUAUACUAUUUGCCAACGUCGUUUAAAAAUUGUGAAAAACUUUUUAAAACAAUUUUCGUGAAUCGAUGAACAUUUCUAGAAUUGAGGAACAUUUUUUUGGAAAUUUUUGGAACAAUUUUUGAAAUUCACGAACAUUUUUAGAUUUGGCGAACCUUUUGGAUUUAACAAUCCUUUUUUUAAAUGCAUGAUCAUUUCUUGAAUUAGCGGACAUGUUGUGAAUGAAUAAACUUUUUUCUAAGUCACAAACAGUUUUAUUUUUAUUUUUAGGAUAUCUUUCCAUUCAUGAAUAUGUUUUGAAUUUGCAAAAUUUUGUUCAGUUUCAUUAAUAUUUUUUAAUACACAAACUUGUUAAAGAAUCAUGAACAAUUCUUGAUUUUCCAAACAUUUUGUUUCAAAUUUCGUAUAUUUUUUCAACAAGCAAACUUUCUUACAAAAUCACUAACAUUUUUUAAAUACACAAACAUUUUAUGAUUUAUUAAAAAUUUAUUCGAAAUUCAUUUUUUUUUAAUUUUUGGAACAUUUUGGAAGUCCCAAAUUAUUUAAAGUAGGAAAAACGAAAAUAAAUAGGAAAAAGAAGAAAAAUAUAAUUUUAAAAAAUAGGCCGCCCGGAUACGUGCCGGCCCAAACGGACGUGUUGCGUCUUCGGCGAAUCGUAUUUGACACAUACGCGCUCGUUUGCAAACGGUCGCCUGCAGGCUGCGACUAGUUGGGCCCGGGCCUACUUCCCGUUUCUUUCUAGGAAAAAAAAGAGGUUUGCGCGCAGCCGGAGUCAAACUCGCGACCUCUUCCUCAACCUCCAACAACAACAACCACUAUGCCAUCCAGGAACCACUAAUGCACAACCUGUUUUCCUUUUCUUUGUUCCCUACAUUCGCGGGAAUCCUCCGGUUUUGGGAAGCUUUCAGAAGCUUCCCAAACCGGGUUUUCUCCCAGUUCGUUGUCAUUUUCGGGGUGAUCCUCAUUUUGGUUUUCUAUUCUUUUUGUUAUUUUCUAAAUGUGUGUUUUUCUAAGUCGAUGGUUUUCCAUUUUUGUGUUUUUUUACAAAACAACCGAUGACCUUUUUUGUAAUUUUAUGAACUUUUUUUCUAAAUUGAUGAACGUUUUUCAAAAUCGAUGAACUUUUUUUCAAAAUUGAUGAACUUUUUUCAAAUGCGAUGAACUUUUUUCUAAUUUUAUGAACUUUUGUUUGAAAUUGAUGAAGGUUUUUCAAAUUUGAUGAACUUUUUUUAAGUUUGAUGAACACUUUUUAUAAUUCAAUGAACUCUUUUUCAAAUUUGAUGAACCUUUUUUCUAGUUUGAUGAACUUUUUUUCGAAAUUGAUGAACUGUUUUCAAAUGUGAUGAACUUUUUUGCAAAAUUAUGAACUAUUUUCAAAUCCGUUGAAUGUUUUUCAAAUGUGAUGAACUUUUUAAAAAAAUCCAAUGUACUUUUUUCAAAUCCGAUGAACUUUUUUCUAAUUUGUGACUUUUUUCCAAUCUGAUGAACUAUUUUUCAAAAUUAUGAACUUUUUUCAAAUUUCAUCGAAAUAUUUCAUCAAUUUUUUAAAAAGUUCAUAAAAAAUCCAUCGAUUUGAUAAGAGUUCACGAAUUUGAAAAGAAUUCAUCAUAUAAGGAAGAGAAAAAAAGAAAAACUAAAAACGAAUAAGGGAAAAAGGAAAAAAAGGAAAAAGUAAAGAAGAAACCAGAAAAGAGGGGAAAAGAUGUAAGCUAUCAAAUGUGCAUAUCUGGCCGUCUGGUUAGAUCGUUGCAUCCUGGAACAAGAGGUCGCUGGUUUGAUCCUUCUCCCGCGCGCCAUUUUUCUUUCUUUGUUUCCUUUCGGCCGCUCCUUCGUUUUGGGCUGGCCCAAAAGCACGACAGUGUGGGCACCGAAACUCCUAGUUGGCGCCAAAGGCGCUGACUAGGAGCUCCCUGCGUCUUCUCCAGCAUGCAGAGCGCAAUAAAGGAGGUUUCUACUGCAUGGGCCAACUCAGGCGGGGCAUUCCCCUAUGUGAAACGUUUUUUAUUACAUAUAGAUGGCAUUGAUGGGUAUUUUGUAAAUUUGGUGGCAAUUUUAAUGACGUACGCCAGAAGCAAUAACCCCUUUAUUAUUAGAUGUGUAAUAUACAGACUUAACCUUUUAGAUAAUUCAACGCAUAAGUGAGAAUGAACAAGUAAAAAUGAGAUUUUUUUGUUGCAAAAAUUAUCCAAAUCUAUUAUCAAAGUUCACCGAAGUCAAAGCACCUCAAACAUAAUAUUUAUAUCGAGAUUUCGAGACCACCAAACGACCAUUACCGUCGCCAAAAUAAGCCACCGAUGUGUUGUUGUCGUCGCUAUCCUACCAGAGCCGACUUGACCUUGUCGAUGACAACCGGGAAGUCUUCGUGCACAUGCCCUUAAGGACCAGCACCUUGGAGCCACACUGGUCACGUUGAACCCUUGAAUAAUAUGAAGCACCUGAAAUCAAAUCUCGUCAUAUGAGGAUAAACCCUAGCCUCAUCCCAAGAAGACGGGGGGAAUCUACGGUGAAGCUCUGUCGAUUAUAUCUAGAUGGACAACCUCGAGGAGGAUCGAAACCUAGAAGAUAAACUUAAAUAAGACGCGCCUCCAUCCGCCCGAGCACCGCACCUAUGAGGAAUAAAAAGCCCUAACCUAAACUACUAACCAGAGUGCACGCAUCGGGAUUCCGCUCUUUGCCAUGGGCCGCCGAAGCAGCAGACAAAAGGAUGGCAAAUUCAUUGGCUCACUGACGAAGCCUGGAGGGAAGAGUUGCCGUACCCGCCGCCAAGGAAUAGGAAAUGGAAAGAGAAAUCCGGAGCCUAGAAGUGAGAAUUCUUUUGGCAUCCGCAUUAUCACCGCUUUGUGUAUCAUUGGCGGGAUUAUCCUCAACAACGUAGGCCGGAGUUGAGAACAGUUACAAGCUGCAACACUUGAGCGAUGGGCAGGGGCUCUGGCCUCUGAUCACAAGACAACAUUGUGAUGAAGGCUGGGGUCAGGGGCUCCGACCCUUGCUUACAAGGCAGCAUUGUUGUCGCUGGGGGCAUUGAGUGGUGUGACAUCAGUUAGUUGAGCAGCUUCAGCUCUGGCACUAGAAGCUGUGACAAGAGGUCAUCAAACCGUACACCCAGCGGCAAAGAAAACCAUAAUUUGCCAUGGGCAUCUUCGUGCAUCACCGGACUCAUCAUCGGAUGAGAACACCCUUCAACAAAAGCAAGGUUAGUUAAACAAGGUUAUGAUGUGUUGGAAGAUGAACUUUGUAAAUAAAUUGGCUAGUGAACACACCUUCUGAUGAGGACCUGCACAGCUUUACUACUACUACAGAUGAUUUUACUGCCCUGGCAAGUUUUGCAUACUCCUCAAAUUUAUAUUUUUUACUUUUGAGAGACGCUGAAAUGAACCUUAGCUUGGUGUUGUGUCUAAGCUGAAUACCGUUUACAUUCCUACAUAAUUCUUUGUUUAUUUAACGGUUCCUCUUUAAGUGUAGGAUAUCAUAGUUGCAAAGAUUUUUGCGACUUCAGUUAUAUAUCCUUGCGGAUAAUGAUGCUAAGGAGAAAAUUCAAUAUUUUCCAAAUAUGACUAGUAAUGAAAGCCACCAUUCCAGAGAAGCAAAUUAAAGUAAUCCCGAGUUACCGUGUUUCGCAUAACAUUCGUACAUACAGUUCUACCAAAUUUCAGAUCUCACAACCAGGAGCAAAGAUUUUACAAUAUAUGAAAGUUCAACCAACUAGUAAAAAAUAUCCUAAAAUUUAUAAAAGUAACAACACUAUAGAACAAGCAUUAUCAAUGUUUUACUUUUACCUGAUCCGGAUCCUUAGAAGCUCCUCUCCCCUCCGCCGCCCCUCGUGCGGGCGACGGAGGGGCUCCACCCCUAGCUGCCGGGUCACCGCCCCUCCCUCUCCAUCCCCACCGUCGCCGCUGGUGGUAGGCUGAAAGUGCAACUAAUCCCUGGGUGGCUUUGGUAAUUCAUAACAACAUAUAGCUCAUUCAACUAAUACUCUUUCAAGAUCAAUAUUUUAGAAAGUUCAAUGAUUGGUAUGGCAUGGACUAGAGAUGUGGACCCCUCAAGAAUGCUAAGGACUCAUAUUGGCAAAAGCUCAAGACUCAACAUUUUCAUUUUAGUGAUCCAAGAUCACAUUGAGUCUAUAGGAAAGCCAAUACUAUUAGAAGGGGAUGAGGUGUUGCUUAAUGGCUUGCUUGCUCAAAUGCUUAGUGAUAUGCUCCAAAAUCCCUCAACCACUUUCUCAUUUACACAUAUGUCCUAAACCUAAAGUCAAACUCGGCCCCACCAAUUUGAUCUAUCCGGCGCCACCGAGUUCACUUGACAUAGCCAUACCCACAAACCCUAAUCAGUUCGGUCUUACCGAUAGGGAUCUUGGUCUCACCGAGAUGGGAAUGCAAACUCUCUGUUUCCCUUCGUAACGUUUCGGUCUAACCGAAGUGAGCGAUCGGUCCCACCGAGUUGGCAUUGCAAACUCUCUGUUUCCUUUUCGUAACGUUUCGGUCUAACCGAGAUAAGCUAUCGGUCCCAUCGAGUUUGCUUGACCAAGUCUCUGUUUGCUUAUUACUAAAAUCAGUCUCACUGAGUUCAUGUGACCGGUCUCACCAAGAUGAGGUUUUGCCCUAACCCUAGCGCAUCGGUCUCACCAAGUUGAUGUUGUUGGUCCCACCGAAAUGCCUAAAGUUCACAUUUUGAACCAAGUCGGUCUGACCGAGUCUAACCAUUCGGUCCCACCGAGUUUGGAAAUUUGUGUGUAACAGUUAGAUUUUGUGUGGAGGCUAGAUAUACCCCUCCACCCCCUUCUCCAUUUGUGAGAGAGCCAUCAGAAUGUGCCUACACUUCCACUACUCAUUUUCUGAGAGAGAACCACCUGCUCAUGUGUUGAGACCAAGACAUUCCAAUCCAACCACUAGAAUCUUGAUCUCUAGCCUUCUACAAGUUGCUUUCCACUCAAAUCGUCUUUCCACCAUAGCCAAAUUUGUGUGAGAGAGUUGAGUGUUGGCGAGACUAUCAUUUGAAGCAAAAGAGCAAGGAGUUCAUCAUCAACACACCAUCUAUUACCUUUUGGAGAGUGGUGUCUGCUAGAUUGGUUAGGUGUCACUUGGGAGCCUCCGUCAAGAUUGUGGAGUUGAACCAAGGAGUUUGUAAGGACAAGGAGAUCGCCUACUUCGUGAAGAUCUACCCUAGUGAGGCAAGUCCUUCAUGGGUGAUGGACAUGGUGGGAUAGACAAGGUUGCUUCUUCAUGGACCCUUCAUGGGUGGAUCCCUCCAUGGACUCGCGCAACCGUUACCCUUCGUGGGUUGAAGUCUCCAUCAACGUGGAUGUACGAUAGCACCACCUAUCGAACCUCGCCAAAAAUCUCCGUGUCUACAUUGCAUUUUCUCCCUCCAAACUCCUCCCCUUUACCUUCAUAUGCAAUGAUUUACAUUCCGCUGUUAUACUCUUAGAAUUUCAUGUGUAGGUUGAUUGCUUGACUUGUGUUAAGUUGCUAAAAUAUGCCAAGACAUAAAAUUGAGAAAAGGCUAGAUUUUUAUUUGGUCAAGUAGUCUAAUCACCCCCCUCUAGACAUACUUUCGAUCCUACAAGUGGUAUCAGAGCUUUGGUCUCCAUUUGCCUUGAUUUCCAUAGCUUUGGUGAUCAUAGCUUUGGUUUCAUAACCUAGGAGAGUAUGGCGUCUAGCGAGGGAAAUUACCACCGUAGAGGUCCUUACGUUGAUGGUACUAAUUUUGCUAGUUGAAAGCAUAAGAUGAAAAUGCAUAUUCUUGGACAUAACCCCGCCAUUCGGGCUAUUGUGUGCAUUGGUUUGCAAGGUGGAUUCUUUGAUGGGAGAGAACCAAAUCGUGAAGCAACUGCGGAAGAGUUGAAGAUGCUGCAAUACAACGCUCAAGCUUGUGAUAUCCUCUUCAAUGGAUUGUGCCCCGAAGAAUUCAACAAAAUCAGCCAUCUUGAAAAUGCAAAGGAAAUUUGGGAUACUUUGAUUGAUAUGCACGAAGGUACUGAGCCCGUCAGGGAAUCUAAGUUGGAUGUGCUUCAAAGUCAACUUGACAAGUUCAAAAUGAAGGAUGGUGAAGUUCUCACUGAAAUGUACUCUAGGCUUGCUCUCAUCACAAAUGAGAUUGCCGGCUUAGGAAGUGAAGAGAUGACUGACAGAUUCAUCAUCAAGAAGAUCCUAAGAGCCUUGGAUGGGAAAUAUGAUACCGUGUGUACAUUGAUCCAAAUGAUGCCCAAUUACAAAGAUCUCAAGCCAACAGAAGUCAUUGGAAGAAUUGUUUCUCAUGAGAUGUCACUCAAGGAUAAAGAAGAGCUUCACAACAAAUCUAGUGGUGCAUAUAAAGACUCAUGUGAUGCUCCUGCAACAUCAAAGUGAAAAACCAGUCUUCAAUGAGGAAUUGAGAUUAAUGGUGAAGAACUUCAACAAAUUCUACAAGAGUAGAAGCAAAGAAAGAAGCUCCAAGUCAAGAUCCUACCAUGACAAAAGAUCUUCUAGUUGUGAGUGAAAUUGCUACAAUUGUGGAAGACCCAGACACUACUCCAAUGAGUGUACGGCUCCCUACAAAAGAAGAAAAGACUCACCUAAAAGAAGAAGUAGAAGAGAGGAAUCACCUCCAAGAGAUAGAAGGAGUAGAGAUGAUCAUUAUGAACUAAGAACCUCUCGCAGAAGCAAGGAUUCAGAAAGUAGGGACAAGUCAUCAAAGAGCUACACAAAAUGAAGACAUCAAGCUCAUGUUGGUGAAUGGAUAUCCGGUUCUGACUCCGACCACCACUCCGAGAGAAGUUAUCACUCCGACUCCGCAUAUACUUAAGAUGAAGAUGUUGCCGGUCUUGCACUUGUGUCAACCAACUCCUACGACAUAUUUGAAUCACCAAAUAAAGGAAUUGGAAGAUGCUUCAUGGCUAAAGGCCCCAAGGUAUCACACCCCGAGUAUUUUGAUUUCAAUAGUGAUGAAGAUGACUUGCUAGGUGAUGAUGAUUUACUUGUUGAAAAUGCUAGUGAUGAAAACUAUGAUGAAAUUGCUAUUAAUCAUGCUAAUGAAGAUGAAACAAAUGACAAUGAUAAGAAGGAGAUUGAGCGUCUAACUAAAGAACUAAACACUCUUAAGUUAGCUCAUGAAACUACUUUAGAAGAUCAUCGAGAACUUUUAAAAACUCAUGAGAAGCUACGCUUCGAGAAGUUCAACCUAGAGUAAGAACAUGGGUUCUUAAAAGCCAUCAAUGAUGAUCUUCAGAAGAAAAGUUCUUCUUACAUUGCCAAGCGUUUACUCUUGUCUACUUACAUGCCACAAGUAAAAUCUAGCAACAAGAUUAAGAAAGAUUGUUCUUCUAGUAGUAACAAUAACCAUGAUAAAUCCAAUAUUGUUGCUUCUAGUAGUUCUCUUGAUUACACUAAUGAUUCUCUUAGCCAAGUUACACUUGAGCAAGAAAAUGGCUUAUUGAAGGGAAUUAUAGAGAAAGGUGUUUACAAGAGCCUUGUCAGAAGUAAGCAACUUGAGGAAAUUGUACACAAGCAAGGAAGGCACCGAAAGAAUCAAGGUGUUGGUUUUGAAUGAAAGUUCAAUGCCAAUGGAGUUGAGUGGGAAGAAGAUCAAUACCCCAAGACGAAGUUUGUUCCUCAACAAGAGAAGUAUGAUCCUUCUUCCUUCAAGGGGACACAAGCUCAAGAUGAUCUUCCACCACAAGACCACAAGCUAAAAGGCAAGGACAAGCUUCAAGAAGAGAUUGAUACAUUUGAAGAUGCUCCAAAGGCCUUGGUCAAGUGGGUUCCCAAGUCUACCUCAAGUUCUACGUCAUCAAGUACAUCUACAACCCCAAGGAUUCCCGUCAAGAUGAUGUGGAUCCCAAAGAAGAAGAACUAGAGAGUUCUUGAGGGUGACUCCGCCAACAUACUUCACUCAUAUUCAUAUUGGCAAGAACAAGUGUAAUCAACUUCCACAUCUUGCACUAGUUCAAGGAGUCACAAACUCUCUUGAUAGUAAGUCAAGGAACAAGGUAACCUAAUGCUUCCAUGGACAUCAUCAUAUGUGUGUACUUCACUCUAUGUCUACGGAUAUCCUUGUUUGUUCAUUGUGGGACUAACCCAUGUAGGUAUUGAAAGUGCAACUCACUCCAAUGGAUUGCUCCAAAUGAUCCACAUCUUCAACAUCUACAUGAAGUCAUCAUUGACAAACCCAAGGUUAGUUCAUCCCUCUAAAAGGGGAUAGCACAUCUAGGGGGAGCUUUACUCUAAGAAUUGAGCUAAAGCAACUCUAAUGGUGUGAACACAACAUUGCUUUAUGUAAAAGUGGCAACCCCACUUGUGCUUAAACGAUGAGUAUGACCUAUGAUCAUAUGUUCUCAUUUGACUCCUAAGUCAAUAUAUUCAUAUAUAGAUGACCUAGUUAUCGCCAAUUUCUUGAUAGAUGCUAGAGUGUUUGUGCAUGCUUGCCACAUAUUUCAUUUGCAAUCUUAUUGUGUGAGCAUGUUGAUUGCAUAAUUUUAUCCAUUCGAGGACAUCCAUUUGUUGUUUUGAUUGUUUGGUCUUUUCUUUGGCCAAAUGGAUGGACAAGAAUGCCUAAGAACUUCCUCUAGCUAUCUAUGCUUUUCUCGUCUCAAACUCUAUUCAUGUUACAUCACAAAGUUUGAUCAAUUCAGAUUCUAACCCUCUGGGUGAGGAGCACUCAGAGUCACCGAUUCGUCAUAGACUUAAACUUCCAAAACCUCUCUGUGCAUUUCGGUCUGACCGAUUCAUCCUUUUCGAUCGUACCGAGUUCACUGAGUUGAUCUAGGUUUUCAGUCUCGGUGCAACCGAUUAGAACUCUUCAGUCACACCGAGUUAUAGUAACCGCUUGCGAUUCUGCAUCUCGGUGCCACCGAGUUGUUCUAGUUGGUCUCACCGACAGAGUCUGGAUAUAUAUACCAUGAGUCGAAUUUUUGGAAACUUCUCCAAAAACCCUUCGCCUGCGCUAUCCAGCUUUACUGACCCAGGUCUCCGGUCGUCGCCUCUGUUGCCAGCAUCCUCCUGCCGCUGGACUCCGCUGUCGUCAACGGGAUCUCCUCCGCCAUUGUCACCAUAGCGAACUCACCGCCAAGUUAGGGUAUGGGUUCGAUCCUUUGUGCUUUCUAACUCCGAUUCUUAACACAAAUAUAAUGUCAUGAUUCUUGCCACAAUUGAAACUAUUCUAUCCAGUAGGAACUUCCUUUAGAUUAGAUUUGAUUCGAAAAUUUAGGGUUAGGUUUCCGCUAAGCUCAUCUCGGACCGACCGAGUUGUAGAAAUCGGUCCCACCAAUUUGGCCUAGGCCAUUGCACUAUGAUUUUUGGUCUGACUGAAACUUGCAAAUAGGUGUGACCGAGUUUAGAACUUUGUGAAACCCUAGCAAUAUCGGUGUCACCGAACUGUGCCUCGGUGUGGCCGAGUUCACUAGUUUAGACACUGAAAGUUGCUUCGGUGUCACCGAGUUCAGCAAAUUGGUAGCUCUGAAAUGACUUCAGUAGAAAACUAAAACUAAGUUUUUGGCUCAUUUGUUUUGCAAAAGCUCUGCACUUUGUGAUUCUCAUCCACUCUAUCUCAUCUACAUCUAUUCACAGGGUCAGCUUUUAGUUUGUAGCCAUGUCUGACAACAGUGACAGUCAAAAUAUGUCAGAGGAAUAGGUUCAGAUGAGUGAGGGCACUAAUCCCUCUGAGAGCAGUCAAGAUGAUGGGAGCAGAAGCACUCCCAGUAACCUGCCCAAAGCUGCAACUAGGCAGAGGAAGAAGAAGACAUCUGAUUCUGAGGAUGAAGACUUUGUGAUUGAUGAGGAAGUGUCAUCCAAGAGGAAAGGAGACAAGAAGGAAACUAGCACUGCUGCUAAGCCAGGGUCGAAGACAAAAGCUCCUGCUAAAAAAGUUCCUAUGUCCAAAGCCGGAGCCUUAACCCAAGAGACUAUGGUGUUCACUCUUGAACCCAAAGAGGUUGGUGAGGGCAAGAAAAGGAAGGAGAGGGUCAAGAAAACAAUGGCCAGAGUCAUUGGGAGAUCUUCUAUGAUCAGAGACCCAAAAGAAGAUGAAGAGCAAGAGGCACCUCCUGCCAAAUCAUAGAAAUGGAUGGGGGAUGCAAUCAAAUCAGGGGCUGCUCCUUCUAAGCCCAAAUCUUCCCCCAAGCUUGCUGCUUAAGCCCCAAAGAGAUCCACCAGGAACAUAUCUGCUACUGAGAAGAACAAGGCCCCAGUGCCUAAAAUGGAAGAAGACAAAGAUGAGCAAGUGCUCAGAAAGUUGAAGCCGAUACCUUAUCAUGAUGACACUCACCCUGUUGCUGAAAACAUGAAGCUCGGGAAGGAUGCAGGUCUCAGGCUAUGGAGGAAAAAUGACCCAUAUGCCACCAGAAGGAGAAUAGCUGUUGACUACAAGUUCCACACAAAGGAACAUCAAGACUUCUAUGAGAGUGUAAUGCUUGACAAGAAGCCAAUUGUCAAUGAUAUGAGAUGGGUCGACUGGAAGUACAUUGACAACAAUGAAGAUCACUUUCCAAGAGUCCAUAAGAGCUUCAGACUAACAGGUGUUGAUGCUUUUGUUGGCCAAAAGCUAACUAAAUGGAACGAUGAGCUGAUCAUGCAGUUCUACUCCACAACACAUGUUUACCCGGAUGGUAAAAUUGUGUGGAUGACAGAGGGCACCAGGUACCAAUCAAUUGUGGCUGAGUAGGCAAAGCUGAUAAAUGCCCCAGAAGAGCUUGAUGAUGAUACAUAUGUCUAUGCUAAGCCAAGGAAGGGACAUGACUCCAUGGCUCAUAUAUACAAGGAAAUCCCAGCUGCUGCUUUGGACACCCACAAGUUUGGGUCUGUUUAUUAUCUGCUAUUAGGUCUACCAACAAUCAACACUAUUCUCAAACACACCUUGCUGCCCAAGUCUGAAGAUGACAUGAUGAUCAGAGGGCACUCAAUCAAUCCGCAUCAUAUGUUUGAUGUGCCUGAAAAGUUCAAGGUGAUGACACUGAUUGUAGAGACAAUCAAGAGGACUGAUGCAAAUCAGAAGAGAUCAUGUGGUUAUGCUCCACAAAUCCAGAUGCUCAUUAACUCCAAGAUGGGCAAGAGCAUGUAUCUUCUAGAUAAGGAACAUCUUCCUCUGCUGCCAGAGUUUGAAGAUAAUGUGGUUGUCAUGGAUCCAUCCCAUCCCACAUUUGUGCAUGCUCAGGAGAAGAAAGAGAAAGCCAAAGCUGAGAGGGCUGCCAAGAUUCCGAGUGCAGAAGAAGCCUCUCAAGUUUUCCUGAAAUCCAAGCAAGACCAACUGGGCUAUCUCAUCCAAGCAACAUUGAGGAUUGAGAAAGGGCUGGCAACCCUGACUCAGAACCAAGAGAGUCUAGAGAGGAUCUUUGAGACUAAAAUGCAUGACUUAGAUGUGAAGGUCACAGAAAUUCAGUCUACACUAGAGAAGAUCCAAGAAGAUCUUGAAGACAGGGAUGAGGGACCUACUACAAAUGCUUUUCAGCAAGUCCCAAGGGGACCUAGGUCAUCAACUGUGCCAAUUGUGACAGAUCCCAGACCCAUAGUGUCAGCACCUACAGCUACAGCUUCAAUUGCUCCUCUAAUUGCAACUCCACCAGCUCCUCAGACUUCUUCAGAUGCAUUUGUUGCAGGACUCCUCUCCACACCACCUUCGCACUCCGGAGCUCCCGGAGAUCGUGCUUAGAGACGCAUAACACUAUACAUUUUAAAGCUUUUUGGUAACUUGUUGCCAAAGCGGGAGAAAGUGUAUAGAUCAUAGGCUUCGAGAGAGAGAGUGCUUGCUUCUUUUGCCUCUUUUUGCUACUCCAUUUGCUUUCCUUGUGUGGUUGAAACGAUAUUUUAUGCUUGUGUGUGAGAUACUCUUCUGAUUAUAUGUUUGAUCAUGUCAUACUUGAAUGCUUGUGCUUAAUGAUGAUAUUCUUAUCUUAUGUAUGAUCAUUCAUAUCUUAUCUUGGUGAUGAGUGCAUAUUCCAUAUUCUAUCAUUUUGAACGCUCCACCAAGAUGUAUGUGACAUGGAAGAGUGACCCAUAAUCCUAAUUCCUUCUGCAUUUGCAUUCAAAAGCAAAUUUAAAUAAUGUACUUAUUUAGGGGGAGCUCUUGCUUAUCACAUACUUCUCAAAGCGACGAUGUACUUCAUUUAUAUUAUCAUUUGUCAAAGCUUUGAUCUAUAUGUUGUCAUCAAUUACCCAAAAGGGGGAGAUUGAAAGUGCAACCAAUCCCCAGGUGGUUUUGGUAAUUCAUAACAACAUAUAGUUCAUUGAACUAAUACUCUUUCAAGAUCAAUAUUUUAGAAAGUUCAAUGAUUGGUAUGGCAUGGACUAUAAAUGUGGACCCCUCAAAAUGCAAAGGACUCAUAUUGGCAAAAGAUCAAGACUCUACAUUUUCAUUUUAGUGAUCCAAGAUCACAUUGAGUCUAUAGGAAAGCCAAUACUAUUAGAAGGGGAUGAGGUGUUGCUUAAUGGCUUGCUUGCUCAAAAUGCUUAGUGAUAUGCUCCAAAAUCCCUCAACUACUUUCUCAUUUCCACAUAUGUCCUAAACCUAAAGUCAAACUCGGCCCCACCGAUUUGAUCUAUCCAACGCCACCGAGUUCACUUGACAUAGCCAUAUCCACAAACCCUAAUCAGUUCGAUCUUACCGAUAGGGAUCUCGGUCUCACCGAGAUGGGAAUGCAAACUCUCUGUUUCCCUUCAUAACGUUUUGGUCUAACCGAAGUGAGCGAUCGGUCCCACCGAGUUGGCAUUGCAAACUUUGUGUUUCCUUUUCGUAAUGUUUCGGUCUAACCGAGAUAGGCUAUCGGUCCCACCGAGUUUGCCUAACCAAGUCUCUGUUUGCUUAUUACUAAAAUCAGUCUCACCGAGUUCAUGUGAUCGGUCUCACCAGGAUGAGGUUUUGCCCUAACCCUAGCACAUCGGUCUCACCGAGUUGAUGCUGUCGGUCCCACUGAAAUGCCUAACGUUCACAUUUUGAACCAAGUCGGUCUGACCGAGUCUAACCAUUCGGUCCCACCGAGUUUGGGAAUUUGUGUGUAACGGUUAGAUUUUGUGUGGGGGCUAUAUAUACCCGUCCACCCCCUUCUCCAUUUGUGAGAGAGCCACCUGAACGUGCCUACACUUCCACUACUCAUUUUUGAGAGAGAACCACCUACUCAUGUGUUGAGACCAAGACAUUCCAAUCCAACCACUAGAAUCUUGAUCUCUAGCCUUCCCCAAGUUGCUUUCCACUCAAAUCAUCUUUCCACCAUAGCCAAAUCUGUGUGAGAGAGUUGAGUGUUGGGAAGACUAUCAUUUGAAGUACAAGAGCAAGGAGUUCAUCAUCAACACACCAUCUAUUACCUUUUGGAGAGUGGUGUCUGCUAGAUUGGUUAGGUGUCACUUGGGAGCCUCCGUCAAGAUUGUGGAGUUGAACUAAGGAGUUUGUAAGGGCAAGGAGAUCGCCUACUUUGUGAAGAUCUACCCUAGUGAGGCAAGUCCUUCAUGGGUGAUGGCCAUGAUGGGAUAGACAAGGUUGCUUCUUGAAAGCACAAGUGCUCCCUAGGUGGUUUUGGUAAUUAAUGUCAACAUAUCUCUUAUUGGACUAACACUUUUAUCUAGUAUGUUUCAGAUAAGUUCAACAAUGGAGUGGCAUGGACUAAAGGAUGUGGGAACUCCUUCAAGAUGCUAAGGACAAAGGAUUGGCUCAAGCUUCAAGCUCAAGACUCUUCAUUUUACAUUUUAGUGAUCCAAGAUCACAUUGAGUCUAUAGGAAAAGCCAAUACUAUCAAGAAGGGAUGAGGUGUUGCUUAAUGAGUUUCUUGCUCCACAGUGCUUAGUGAUAUGCUCCGAAACCCUCAACUACUUUCCCACUUCCACACAUAUGACCUAAACCUAAAGUCAAACUCGUCCGCACCGAUUCUUUCUAUCCGCCGCCACCGAGUUCAGAUGUCAUAGCCACUGCCACAAACCCUAGGCAAAUUGGUCUCACCGAUAGGGAUCUCGGUCUCACCGAGAUGGGAUUGUAAUCUCUCUGUGUAUGUCCAUUACCAAAAUUGGUUUCACCGAGUUUGAGCAAUCGGUACUACCGAGAUUACAAUGCAAACUUCCUGGUUGACUCAUUACCAAAAUCGGUCCUACCGAGUUUGUGUAAUCGGUCCAACCGAGUUUGCCUGACCAACUCUCUGGUUAGCUAAUUACCAAAAUUGGUCCAACCGAGUUUGUGUAAUCGGUCUCACCGAGAUUACAUUAUGCCCUAACCCUAACCAUAUCGGUCCUACCGAGUUGCAUAUCGGCCCAUCGAAAAUCCUAACGGUCACUAGAUUUACUAAAUCGGUCCGACCGAGUUUGUUGAUUCGGUCCCACCGAGUUUGGUAAAUUGUGUGUAACGUUAGAUUCUGUGUGGAGGCUAUAUAUACCCCUCCACCUCUUCUUCAUUCAUUUUACUCAAAGCAAGAUCCUAUCCUCAACACAUAAGUUUAUUGCUUUGAGUAAGAUGAAUUCUAGUGAUCCUAUGUUUGGUGAUUGUUUAUUUGAGCUUACAAACCUUAUGCGUGCCAAAGGAGAUGUUGGAAUUAUUAGUGAUAUUAUUUCCGAAGCUAUAAAAAUUCAUAAGCAAGACCAUUGUCAAACUCACUCUAACGAAUCACCCUCUCUAGGAUUUGAUCCACCAUAUGACGAUGUUGAACAUGGAUACUAUGAUGAGGAUGAUGAUAGUGACUUCGAUCUUGAUGAUGCAAUGAGACACUUUGGUCUUAUGGCAAAUCUUCAGGGAUAUAUGUUAGGAGGAAAGGAAUGGGUUCUUGAUAGUGGAUGUACCGAUCACAUGACCGGAGAUAAAGACAUGUUUCGUGAGCUUGCUGAAAAUGAUAGUCCUCGAAAGUAUGUCACGUUGGGUGACAACUCAAAGGGUAAGGUGGUUGGCCUCGGUAAGGUGGCCAUAUCACAUGAUAGCUCCAUACAAAAUGUCAUGCUCAUUGAAUCUCUUGGAUACAACUUACUUUCAGUAUCUAGACUUGCUGAUUUCGGUUUCAAUGUACUAUUUACUGAAGUAGAUUGCCAAGUGUUUCGUCGAGACAAUCAUAAAAUGGUCUUUACCGGUAUACGUAGAGGUGAUCUAUACAUUGUUGAUUUCACUAAAAAGGCUCAACCUAAAACUUGCUUCAUUGCUAAAUCCUCAAAAGGUUGGUUAUGGCAUAGACGACUAGGUCACAUUGGUAUGACAAACCUUGACAAGCUUAUUAAAGGAAAUCAUAUCCUUGGUGUUAACGAUGUCAUAUUUGAUAAGGAUAGACUUUGCAGCGCUUGUCAAGCAGGUAAACAGGUUGGAGGGAGGAAUCCCGUGAAGAACAUCAUGACCACAAGGAGGCCGCUCGAGCUACUUCACACGGAUCUUUUUGGUCCCAACUCUUACAAGAGUCUCGGUGGAAAUUCUUUUGGUCUAGUUAUAGUUGAUGAUUUUCAAGAUUUACGUGGGUGUUCUUUCUCGAUGAUAAAUCGCAGGUCCAAAAGAUCUUCAAAAACUUCGCUAGGAAGGCCCAAAAUCAAUUUGAAGUGAAGAUCAAGAAGGUUCGCAGCGACAACGGAACGGAAUUCAAGAACGCAAAUGUGGACACCUUUCUUGACGAAGAAGGGAUUUCACACGAGUUCUCGGCUACGUACACACCUCAACAAAAUGGAGUUGUUGAGAGGAAGAACUGGAUGCUCAUCGAAAUGGCGAGAACGAUGCUUGAUGAGUACAAGACACCAAAGCACUUUUGGGCAGAAGCGGUUGAGACAGCUUGUCAUGCAACAAAUCGCUUGUAUCUUCACAAGCUACUUGGCAAGACGGCAUACGAGCUCCUCACCGGUAACAAACCCCAAGCUGGAUACUUUCGAGUAUUCGGCUCAAAGUGCUACAUUCUUGAUAAGCAUCGUCGUUCUAAAUUUGCUCCUAAGUCUCAUGAAGGUUUCCUACUAGGUUAUGGCUCAAACUCUCACACGUCACCUGAAAGGUUGAAGAGACGGUAGAUGUGAAGUUUGAUGAAUCUAAUGGCUCGCAAGUAGAGCAAUUGCCAAUUGAUGUAGGAGACAAAGAUCCUUCGGAAGCAAUCCAAGACUUGUCUAUUGGCAAGGUUCGUCCAACGGAGGUGAAGGAGAGUACCUCGUCCAUCCAAGUGGAAGCUUCUACUUCAUGACAAGGUGAACCAAGAGUUGAUACGGAAGUAUCCACAAGUGGGACACACCAAGAUGAAGAAAACGAGGAAGUGCAUCAAGAUGAACGUCAACAACCUCCUUCUCCACCAUGACAAGAGAACGACAACGCUAACAAUGAAGAAAUCCAAGAAGAAGAACAAGAUGAAGAAGAAGUUCAACCAAGAAACAAGCAAAAGCUUUCACGAGUUAGAGCAAGAAUUGCUAAAGACCAUCCCGUCGAGCAAAUCUACAAUGAUAUUCAAACCGGGAGAAUCACUCGCUCUAAAACUCGUUUAGCUAACUUUGGUGAAAACUAUUCUUUCAUCUCUAGCAUUGAACCUAUGAAGGUCGAAGAAGCAUUGGAAGAUCCGGAUUGGAUAAAUGCUAUGCAUGACACAGCUACACAACUUUGAGAGGAACCAAGUUUGGACAUUGGUUGAGAAGCCCGACAACAACCACAACAUCAUCGGUACCAAAUGGGUGUUUCGCAACAAGCAAGAUGAAGACGGACAAGUAGUUCGCAACAAAGCACGUUUCGUCGCCCAAGGCUACACACAAGUCGAAGGUAUGGACUAUGGUGAGACUUAUGCUCCCGUUGCUAGACUUGAAUCCAUUCGCAUCUUACUUGCCUAUGCUAAUCACCAUGAUAUCACCUUGUGCCAAAUGGACAUUAAAAGUGCUUUUCUAAAUGGUGAAAUAGAGGAGGAAGUUUAUGUUAAGCAACCUCCAGGCUUUGUCAAUCUUAAGAAACCCAAUAAUGUUUACAAACUUCACAAAGCUCUUUAUGGUCUUAAACAAGCUCCUAGAGCAUGGUAUAAAUGCUUGACCAAGUUUCUUAUUGAAAAAGGCUUUGAAAUUGGGAAAAUUGAUUCCACACUUUUUACUAAAAGGGUUAAUGGAGAACUAUUUGUGUGCCAAAUCUAUGUUGAUGAUAUUAUAUUUGGUUCAACGAACCCUCAUUUUAGUGAAAAGUUUGGGAAGCUAAUGUCGGAGAAGUUUGAGAUGUCUAUGAUGAGUGAACUCAAAUUCUUUCUUGGUUUGCAAAUCAAGCAAACUAAGGAAGGUACCUUUGUCUCUCAAACAAAGUACACCAAGGACCUAUUCAAGAAGUUCAAUAUGCAAGAAUGCAAAGGUAUGACUACACCCAUGCCUACUAGUGGACAUCUUGACUUGACCAAAGAUGGUGAACCGGUUGAUCAAAAGGUUUAUCGCUCUAUGAUUGGUUCAUUGUUAUAUCUAUGUGCUUCACAUCCCGAUAUCAUGCUAAGUGUGUGCAUGUGUGCACGAUAUGAAGCUGCUCCUAAAGAAUGUCAUCUUAAGGCCGUGAAAAGGAUAGUGAGAUACUUAAUCCAUACACCAAAUUUUGGCAUUUGGUAUCCUAAGAGGGCCUCUUUCGAUCUUGUUGGCUACUCCAACUCGGACUAUGCCGGAGACAAGGUUGAUAGAAAGUCCACUUCGGGUACUUGUCAAUUUCUUGGUAGAUCUCUUGUGUCUUGGUCCUCCAAGAAACAAAACUCGGUAUCCUUAUCCACCGCCGAAGCGGAAUACAUUGCCGCUGGUUCAUGUUGUGCUCAAUUACUUUGGAUGACCCAAACUCUUAAAGAUUAUGGGAUAUAUGUGAAACAUGUUCCAUUGCUUUGUGACAAUGAAAGUGCUAUCAAAAUUGGUCAUAAUCCCGUACAACAUUCUCAAAGUAAGCAUAUCGAAGUUCGUCAUCAUUUCAUUCGAGAUCAUGUUGCUAAGGGUGAUAUUAAUCUUAAGCAUGUUCGCACCGAAAAGCAAUUAGCAGAUAUAUUCACUAAACCUCUUGAUGAGAAAGUGUUUUGCAGGUUGAGAGGAGAAUUGAACAUCAUAUAUGCUUCAAACUUGGAGUAGAAACUCCAUUGGAUACAUGCAAGACAUGAGCUUAUGACUAAUCCUUGAUAUUUCUCUUAUGAUGAAAAUCUGAUGUCUUGGAUAUAUUUGCAACUUGCAUGUUAUCUAACCCAUGUAGGUACUUGGUGGAAUCAAAUUCCAUGAGAUUGCAAUCUACUCACAUCUUGAGCAAUCUCUACAUCACCAAGUUUCUACACUAUGGUGGUUGAAGACAAGGAAGCACGAAACCACUCAAACAUAUCCUUUGACAAAUUCUAUGUUGAGCUUCAUGAUUGUCAUCUUUGGAUACACAAGUGAUCUUCCUUGCAAGAACUAACCCAUGUAGGUAGAUGGACUCAAAUUCCAAGUGGUGCUCCCAACUCUUGAUGAGCUACAUCAACCUUGAGAAACCCACACAAGUUCAACUACAUGGUCAACACCACCAACCAAGGUAUGUUAUUCCAUCUUAGAGAAGCUUUACUCCGAGUCAUGAGCUAAAGAAACUCGACAAGGUGUGAAUACAUCAAGAUGCUUAAACGAAAAAUGGCAACCCCAUUUUGAGCUUAAACGAUGAGUAUGACCUAUGAUCAAGUGAUCUCACUUGACUCCUAAGUCAAUAUACUCUAACAUAGGUGACUUUGUCGCUGACCAUCUCUAGAUAAAGUUCUCUUGUGUUCUUUUCUGUGUUUUUGCAUUUGUCUCAUGCAUAUUUGUUCCCCCUUUCAAAAAAAAAACUUCUUCUAGAUUUCUUUCUGUUUGCUCUGCAUUUUCUGCAUCCAAUUUAUUGCAUAUCAUUCAGUAAAUUCCUUGCAAAUCUUUGUGAGAUCUUACUAGUCUAGUGAGCUGAGGUGACAAGUGUUUUCUCUGUGAUGAACUCGGUUUCACCGAUUUGUUGUUUUAGGUCCAACCGAAGCAUACCACUCGGUGCCACCGAUUUCACAACAGGAAAAACAGUUUGCCACUUAUUCUGUGUUUCCUCUGAUCCAGCUCCACUCAAUGAAUCUUGUCCUCUACAAGCAUCACAUUUUUAUAAAUGCUUUGUGCUGUGACUCAAGGAUCAAACCCUUCUUGGAAAUUGAUGUCAAAGGUGGAGAGAGAGAGAUCACAUCAAAGCUUAUCACUUAGAGAGAUCACAUCAGAGAGAGAGAGAGAGUAUCACCUCCUCAGGGGGAGAAAGAGAUCUCCAGGGGGAGAGAAUACUCAAGUAGAAAGUAUUUCUCAAGGAUCCCAGAUGCUUGGUGUUCAAGAGGAGAGAUGCCACAUGUCUUCUUGAGGGGAAAGGCAUGUUCAUAUGUGCUUAUUUGCAUUAGCUCUGUUCAUUUAUAUCUUUCAGCUCUGAUUUUCUGUUCCCUAUCUUCUCCCAGUAUCCCAUGCUAGAUUCAGGGGAAGCAAGACAUCUAAGGGAAAGAAAUAAUUUAAAUUCAUUGCAUAUCUUUACUCUUGGGGACAUGUCUAAUCCAAUGUGGUACUUAGUACUCACUCUCUACAUGUCAUCCCAGUCUUGGUAUUCUUGUGGUUUCUUCUGAUUGCUCUGGCUAGUAGAUGUACCUGUGUUAUCUAACCUUGUUUGCGCAGGUUCAUUCCAUCCUAAGCCAACUCAAGACUACAAGGUAAGUAUAUGCAUCACAAUCAUGUGUACGAGGAAUUCUUGCUGAUGUACAUACUGUUUGCAAGAAGGACUCAUGAGCAUGAAGGUAUUUUCUUUAAUAUUCUUUGCUCUGAUGCAUAUGGCCAAGAUACAUGUAACACAUUUCCUACUCUAUCAUGGUUAUGCUCUCACAUGCUUCUACAUUCCAUAUUCACAUGAUUGCAUACAUGUAGGGGGAGCCUAUGCCUAUUACAUGUCUUUCCAAAGCUUUACUUGCUAUUCUUUAUAUCUUUAUCUAAAGCUUUGAUGUAUGUUGUCAUCAAUUACCAAAAAGGGGGAGAUUGAAAGCACAAGUGCUCCCUAGGUGGUUUUGGUAAUUAAUGUCAACAUAUCUCUUGUUGGACUAACACUUUUAUCUAGUAUGUUUCAGAUAAGUUCAACAAUGGAGUGGCAUGGACUAAAGGAUGUGGGAACUCCUUCAAGAUGCUAAGGACAAAGGAUUGGCUCAAGCUUCAAGCUCAAGACUCUUCAUUUUACAUUUUAGUGAUCCAAGAUCACAUUGAGUCUAUAGGAAAAGCCAAUACUAUCAAGAAGGGAUGAGGUGUUGCUUAAUGAGUUUCUUGCUCCAUAGUGCUUAGUGAUAUGCUCCGAAACCCUCAACUACUUUCCCACUUCCACACAUAUGACCUAAACCUAAAGUCAAACUCGGCCCCACGGAUUCUUUCUAUCUGGCACCACCGAGUUCAGAUGUCAUAGCCACUGCCACAAACCCUAGGCAAAUCGGUCUCACCGAUAGGGAUCUCGGUCUCACCAAGAUGGGAUUGUAAUCUCUAUGUGUAUGCCCAUUACCAAAAUUGGUUUCACCGAGUUUGAGCAAUCGGUACUACCGAGAUUACAAUGCAAACUUCCUGGUUGACUCAUUACCAAAAUCGGUCCUACCGAGUUUGUGUAAUUGGUCCAACCGAGUUUGCCUGACCAACUCUCUGGUUAGCUAAUUACCAAAAUCGGUCCAACCGAGUUUGUGUAAUCGGUCUCACCGAGAUUACGUUAUGCCCUAACCCUAACCAUAUCGGUCCUACCGAGUUGCAUAUCGGUCCCAUCGAAAAUCCUAACGGUCACUAGAUUUACUGAAUCGGUCCGACCGAGUUUGUUGAUUCGGUCCCACCGAGUUUGGUAAAUUGUGUGUAAUGGUUAGAUUUUGUGUGGAGGCUAUAUAUACCCCUCCACCUCCGCUUCAUUCGUGGAGAGAGCCAUCAGACUGAACCUACACUUCCAGCAUACAUUUUCUGAGAGAGAACUACCUACUCAUGUGUUGAGGCCAAGAUAUUCCAUUCCUACCAUAUGAAUCUUGAUCUCUAGCCUUCCCCAAGUUGUUUUCCACUCAAAUCUUCUUUCCACCAAAUCCAAAUCCAAAUCCUGUGAGAGAGAGUUGAGUGUUGGGGAGACUAUCAUUUGAAGCACAGGAGCAAGGAGUUCAUCAUGAACGCACCAUUUGUUACUUCUUGGAGAGUGGUGUCUCCUAGAUUGACUAGGUGUCACUUGGGAGCCUCCGACAAGAUUGUGGAGUUGAACCAAGGAGUUUGUAAGGGCAAGGAGAUCGCCUACUUCGUGAAGAUCUACCGCUAGUGAGGCAAGUCCUCCGUGGGCGACGGCCAUGGUGGGAUAGACAAGGUUGCUUCUUCGUGGACCCUUCGUGGGUGGAGCCCUUCGUGGACCCGCGCAACCGUUACCCUUCGUGGGUUGAAGUCUCCACCAACGUGGAUGUACGAUAGCACCACCUAUCGGAACCACGCCAAAAACAUCCGUGUCUCCAAUUGCGUUUGAAUCCUCCAAAACCCUUCCCUUUACAUUCUUGCAAGUUGCAUGCUUUACUUUCCGCUGCUCAUAUACUCUUUGCAUGCUUGCUUGUUAUGUAUUGUGAAUGUUAAACUUGUUCCUAAACUCCACUUAAACUUAAGGAAUCUUAAGAACUGCAACUUUGGUACUUAGUGUCUAAUCACCCCCCUCUAGACACCUCUUCUCAAGGUCCUACACUUCUUCGUGGACCCUUCGUGGGUGGAGCCCUCCGUGGACUCGCACAGCCAUUACCCUUCAUGGGUUGAAGUCUCCAUCAACGUGGAUGUACAAUAGCACCACCUAUCAGAACCACGCCAAAAAUCUGUGUGUCUACAUUGCGUUUGCUCCCUCCAAACUCCUCCUCUUUACCUUCAUAUACAAUGAUUUACAUUCUGCUGCUAUACUCUUAGAAUUGCAUGUGUAGGUUGAUUGCUUGACUUGUGUUAAGUUGCUAAAAUCCGCCAAGACAUAAAAUUGGGAAAAGGCUAGAUUUUUAUUCGGUCAAGUAGUCUAAUCACCCCCCUCUAGACAUACUUUCAAUCCUACAUAGGCGCCGGGCUUAGCCUGUGCGUGCGGCGGAGGCACUACUCCCUCUCGCGGGUCAAAGGGUUACGCAGGGCUCCCUGGAUCGAGGGUGUGAUCCCGAUCUGGGCUGUGGUGGCACCGAUCUGGUUCAUGACGGCCCAGAUCUGGACUUCGACGGUGUGGCGGCUGGCCGGCGUCCUAUCGACGGCUGUGUGGUAGUGCUGGCGCUGCUCCUACUGAUCUAGGGCAGAGGGCCUUGGAUCCGGGGUGGCGGCCCCAAGGUGGACCUUCCUGUCUGGUGGCGCAGAGGGGCGGGCGGGCUAUCUGGGAUCGGGUCAGAUGGCCGGCGAUCCACCGACGGGUUGGUACCGCAGCUUGUUGCCUCGACGGCCAACAACGUCGAGCUACUUCUUCCUUCAAUACUUGCAUCAUGCACUCCAUCCUAACGGACAUGGCUGCGCUGCUUGCCGGUCACUGGAUGGGGCGGAGCGGGAGGUGGGGACUCGGAUUGGGAUAAUUCCCUGGUUGGCUCCUGCCGACCGCGACGAUGGUGAUGCCCGAGGGUGUCGUUUCUCUUCCCGGAGACGUUGUUCGGGUCUGCCCCACCUUUUCCCACUCCACAGUUUCUCGGGUGAAAACCCUAGGGCGGCGAUGGCGCUCAUGGCGUCGUGUCCUUCUUAAAGGCACCAUUGAGAGAGCUAAGUGGUUGUGGCCACGGCUUGUGUUCGUGGGUAGUUGUAGUUGGCGUCCCCCUCUUCCUCCAGGAGGCAUCUGCUUUAGGGGAAACCCUGGAUCUGGGUCACCCAGGUGGGAUGAUGACGGAAACUAUGGUGCCAUUCUCCUUCUUGAGGGCAUCGUUUUGGAGCAGGUGCUGAUUGGAAGGGCCCAGAGGCGGAGCGGGGGUUUCAUCUUCCGCAUCGAUGACGACGGGUCUCGGCGGCAUGGCACAGUGGAGGCUUGGCGUCCAAUCUGGGUUGAUGGACUCGCGCAGGAGGGCGACACUGUCUGGCAUCAUGGUGGCGUCAAUGAUAGAGUGGCCUAGUAAGGUUGAUGCAUCAGUUCUGCUGUGAAGAUGGAUCGUUGGAAGAUGGAGGUGACGACCCUUGCAGCGUGCGGUGCUCACUAGGAGUGUGUUGGACCGGUGUGUGACCCAGUCUAGGUAGUGGCUUGGAUGGGGCAUCCGUCUUUAGAUGUUAGGCUUUGGUGCAAGGUCUGUUUGGUAUUAGGCUCGGACAUUCGGCACCCCUUCAUCAAGGGAGGAGUAGCAACAUGUGUUGCCAAGAUGGUGGCUUCAGACUUAUUGAUGUAUUACCUUGUAAGGUCUUUGGAAAUAAUUAAUAAUAUGGUUGCAUGCAUCGUCCAGAUGCAGAGGCCGGGGAUACAUCCUCCUUUUCUAAAAAAUAAAAAAAUGAUGCGAAUCCUGAUGAGGUCAAAAUGGGAUGCCAGGACUAUAGUGUAAUGGUCUGCGGCACUAUAUUAGCAUCCAAACUCAGUGCUUGUACAAGAACAUUUUCAUAUAGGCGAAUUGAGAUGGCAAGAUGGACAUAUCUACAACAAAAAGAUCAAUACAAGCAUACCUGAUUGUUUUCCCCCAAAUUGCAUGUUCUACUUGGUGCAGAUGUAGCUUUCCCAGCACAUGACCUUGAGCAAAUGAGAAGAACAGAAGUCAAAUGUUAUCAGGCACAAAAAGUACUGGUGAAAUAGAAAAAUAUGCGAUUAAAUCAACAAAUUUGUCCUAUCAUUGUCUAGAAGUUGUCGAAACAAAGAACUUACAAUGGAUCACAACCCAUAUUAGGUACAGAGGAAUCACCAUGGAUCUAUGUACAAAAAAAGUUAGCUGGUACAGAGUCUUCCAAACGAGGAAGGAAGCAGGUCACUUACGGUUGCAUUAUUGGGGCUAUUGUCGGGGAAAAUAUACAGGGGCAUAUGUUUUCCCCUGACUCGUGCACGGACAGGCCAAGAUCAAACCCAGAUGUACAAGAAACCAAGAGACUCGAAGAACCAACAAGCAGACUAGAGAGACCAAGGCUAAGCCAGAAGAACAAGAUAUCAUCAAUAAAGGGGCCUCCUUUGCUGGGCAGGCGAGCCCGACAAGGGGCGAGGCCACCCCUAGAAGAAGAUGGCCAAGGCGUCCCGGAGGGCCUGCCGGGACCUGCGGUGGCCAGAUCACCUCCCUGACUGCUCCACCACAACUCACGUCAUCGAUCAGUGCGGUGUCAAGCCGCAGAGUGAUUAAGUGACAACCAUUCACCACAUUGUAGCCACAUUCUACCAAUAGAACCCACAGAUGACACCCGUCCUAUGACAUGUCAGGAAAGCAGGCGUGGAGCUGGCAAGAUGGCCCGGCAAGCCUUGCCGGGCAACCGACGACGUGACACUAAGCGGCGCAUUAAAUGUGCACUAUCAGGCUACAGAGUUAGGUAUGAUAGCGUUGUUUGCUAUCUUAUCAGUGUCUAACGACUAAUUUACCACUAUGGUGACCCCUUAACCUAUAAAAGGAGACCCAUGGCAACGGUUCGAGAGGUUGGAAAGUUGGAUAACUCGCACCCCCGUAUGCGCGUAGUCGCUGCCGCCCUGAGGCAACCCUUGCCGAGCAAGUGUACUACACCCUGCCACCACAUUUCCACCAUCAAUCCACCAAAGCAGGAGUAGGGUUUUACGCCUCGCGGCGGCCCGAACCUGGAUAAAACUGCAUGUGUGAUCUCUGUCGUGCUGCCCCAUGUUGGUCUGCUCUUUGUGCAACGCGACGUCCCCCUGCCAUACCAGCAAGGGGCCUCCCUGGCCCCAUAGGUGGCCGUGGUUUCCCGCGACAUCUUUGGCACGCCAGGAAGGGGGAUUGCUUGUGCGAACCUGAAGACGUGAGUAGCGCGACACCUCCAUCGCCAUCUGCAUCUUCGGCGACACCGUCGACCGUGGCACCACAAGGACACAGAAGCAAAGCGGGGCCAUCCCCAUGCCACGUUGUUGGUCUUCAUGCCUCGCUGUGGCCACAUCUACAACGAUGAUCUCCACUGAUGGCAAGAGACCCGUCCCAGCGAUCCACAUGGUGUCCCCACCAUUCGGGCGCCGCUCGGAGAAAGGGCACGAAACGUGCGGGUGCAAGCUUUCUCCUCCCCGUCCCUUCCUUUCGUCAGCAGUCGAAUCGCUUUAGCCCUGGCGACAUCGAUGUCGAUGAUUACCGCGCAAUGCUCGGUCCAGUAUUUAUCCUAUCUAGGGUAAUCCUGAGUGAAGCGCUGGUAUGAGUCCGUCGAUAGAUUCCCCGGCAAGUGUAUUUCGGUGAGGCUGCCUGCAUCGGCACGACCCAUGCACUAGCAGCCGCUGGACUGACCCGAAAGGAGUAGAGAAAAAGGGAGGAGGACUAGAGAAACCCAACACUAUGCCCCGAUGGCCACUAGCCGUGUGAAAUGCAUAUCGGUCCCUGCCGGGAACGAGGAAACCACCUGAAUGGCUCUUGCUCUGCCAAGCACCGCUGACGCGCCUGGCGUGCGCGGCCCGAUAGAGGAGAAAGAAGCUCAGGACGAAAGCCAAGUUUUCAUUAUCACUCCUUGAUUUGACACAUUAGAGAAUUUUGCAAUUGUUUACCCCUUGGACCUAGCGAGCGUUCGUAUUGUGAAAAUCCUCAUGUGAUGGAACCUUGUUAGCUUCUUUGGUUGCUCCAUCGUCUUGUCCAGAGCCAUGCUCGCAGGACGAGAGGCUGCAUUGAGAACUACUUGGGAAAAACAUGCCGGGAUGCAUCCAUGCCAAGAUGACUGAUAAGGCCGGACCCUUACGACAAUCGCGACAAUAUGAUACUGGCAGGCAUCCAAAGCAUACAUAGGAGACGAUCAUACAAACGCAAACAUACGAGGCUCAGCGGGAUAAACACACAUCUAAGAUACAACUAGGAAUAUCAGUCUCGCACAAACAUCAGAAAUAGAAUAACUAAACACAAAAUGUAUGUCAUGUUUCAUUACAGGGCGACACAAAAGCAACAACGACCCGAUACUUGACUUGGCGACCAGAUGGAGUGAUUCAAACUUGGAGAACCCUGUCGGUCCGUGAUGCGACUUUCUCCUUGGCGGCUGCAAUGUUGGCACCCGCCGACAGCUUCUUGAAUCCGUCGUCGAGGUUGAGGUCUGGGUGGCGGCAGAUGAUAUUGCUCAAGACCAUGAAGAGGGCAUUGCGAGCAAGCUUUCGGGACUCUGUCGUGAAGUGUUGGGCCCUCCCUUCUUUGUGCACUCUCGGCUUCUCGAUCAGCUUGUUGAAGAAGACUCCCAACUUGGCACUUGGGACCUUGUGCUGGCUAAGCAAGAAAAUUGGGCCAUCCAUGCCCAUCUCCACAACUUGGGCACCAAGGUGCUCAGCUAUGUCGAUCAGGCUCUUGAUCCAAAGGUUGCUCAGAUUGACCUGAUUCUUCAGCUUGUCCUCAGCAUCCUGCCAAAGACGCUUGGCAGUGUCCAAAUCCUUGGACAGCAACUGCUGGCAGACUCAAGUGACUCCGCUGAGUGCUCCAAGGUGCCAAUCCUCGCCUUCAUGUUCGAGAUCUCGCCAUUGGCAGCUUCGAGGCUCUGAGUCUUGAAAGAGAUCUGCAAUUGCACGUCAAGAAAGAGAGCCUCCACCUUCCGCGCUUCUUCCUUGAGAGCUUCCAACUCCUUGGCGUUCCCGACAAGCUCUUCCGCCAUCUUGGACACCUGUUGGUCGAGAUCAGUCUUGGCGGUGGACGUGACAGCCAGGUCAUCAGCGAGCUUCUUCAGCCGGGCAGUGGAGUCAGCGGCAAUAGCGUCCAUAGCCUCUUCCUGCUUGUCCUCCAGGUCCUUGGUGCACUGGCAAACGAGAGCCUCCAAUUCACCUCCUUGGUGUGAAGGGUGGCUUCAAGCUUCUCCUCCCGGAGAGAAAUCUCUCACUCUCUGGCGUCCAGGGAUGCCUUGCGAUCUGCCAGGCACGCCUCGAGAGCCAUGACAUCCUCCCGCGUCACCUGGAGCGUCUCUUGCUGCCUCAGGAGCACCUUGAAUUGCUUGUCAUGCCACUCGCGCAGCUCCAAGCCCUUAUCCUUUAGCUCCUGGCUCAUCUUGUCGAGGGAUUCGCGCCAUUCCUUGAGUGCCAGCCACUUCUGAUUGUGCCGGGCCCGCAUCUCCUUCACUUUCGCCGCCAUGGAUUCACGAAGUACAAGUCCAUGGCGACGACAACUGAAUCGUUGGCCUCCCUAGCUCCCUAAUAAAGCGGAGCCAGGAUGCGUUGAAGCUCCUCACCAAGCUCGGCAUCCGUUGUCAGGGACAGGCCGAGGGCUCCAGCUCCGGGCGCCGACAGCAACAUGGCCAGCGUGCUCGAGGAGGACAGCUGGGUCUCAGCAAUGGGCCCGGUAGCAGGGAGUGGGCCCAUGGUCUAAAGAGAGAUCUUCACCUUUAUGACCACUCCCUCUACCGGGACGAUCCCCGGAGAAUGCUCCAUCACCACCAGGGAACCCUGCACUUCCCCGGCAACGAUCCUGUCCCUCCGCGGUAGCGAUGUCUGCUGCCUCCUCCGCGGCAGCCUUGCCUAUGUCAACCACCACCUCCAAUGGUUCUGGCUCUUCGGCUUGGUGGCAUGCGGGCGAGAAGAAUAGAGGACAACAAGGAAGUAGAAGUUAAAAAAAAGAGAAGAAGAAAGUGAAGAAGGAGCAAAUGAAGUACCUGGAGAAGUCUGCUGGGCAGAGGCCUCUGUUUCCCUAGCGACAGCUGUUGCCGGGACCUGAACUUUGCUCGUUGACGUGGUAGUCCCGGCAGUCUUCUAGGCAAAAUCACCUGCAAAGGGUUCCGUGGGGCUCUCUCCAGCUCAAGCAGCAGGGGAAGCAUGCCCCUCGGGGAGGGGCUCGCCCUGCAUCAUCUCACCUCCUCCACUUGGAGGGGCAGGAAGACCAUCUCCAUCACCUCCGACACGUGGAACCGAGUCUCCGCUUUCGGGCCUAGGGCUGGACUGGGGGCUCGGAAGGGGGUCCUCUGCAUCGCUCCCCGCCAAGACCGAGCUCUCUGUGCCCUUCAACGACCCGAGACGCUGGAGCUUCCUCUGGGAGCGAUGGACAAGGGUUUCCGUCUCCUCCUCCACCCCCUGUCGGCAGCAACAAAAGCAAGAGGUCAGUCAGCAAAAAUAAAUGGAUAUGCACAAGCUAUUCACAAAAGAAAUCCUCCUUACUCUUCUGCAAUGAGCAUGGAGUCCAAGUUGAACUCCAUGGGAGGUGAGGGCUCCCUUCUCCUCUUCGGGGGAAGAGGGGCAGAGCUCUCUGGAAGCUGUGGUGCCUGGCGCGGAGCCGGGGGAUCAGACGAAGAUGAGUCCUGUGAAGAACUCGAACUCAAGAUGGAGUCAAGGUCGUCCUACAUGACCGCCGCUCGCUCGGCGGGAGAGGUCUUGGUCUUGGCAAGACGAGGAGAUUGGUGGCACGUCACCUCAGCCUUGGAAGCUUUGGUGGUAGUCUUCUUCACCUUCUUGGUGGCUGGACCGGCAGCGACACGCUUGCGGGUGUGCUGCUCGGGGUCCCGCUCAAGGGCUUGCGGCCCAGCCGCAAGCCACUCCUCAGGCUCCGCCACCUCACCGACCUCAUCCUCCUCCUGGAUCUCGUUUGCUGUCGUGGCUAGGGCAUCUAGCCCGGCAAGAUUGUCCCCGACAAGAUCUUCCCUGGCAUCUCCUUCCGUGGCUUGCGUCUCACUGCUGCCUUUGGAAGAACUCCCGUCCCCAGCCUUCCCCUUGCUCUUUCCAGCCUUCGCAGCCUUCGCCAUCUCCGCAAGGCGGGCCACCUUGGCCUCCUCGAUCCUCCUCAAAAUAUACACCACCUCCAUAGAAGAGGUGGGCUUAUACAUCCUGGUCUCAAUCCUGGUGGCCCUCUCCUCCAGGGUAUUCGACCACUCGAGCUCCUCAUCCAGGGUGGGUAGCUGCCAAUUGCUUGCUACCCCAUCAGCAUUACAGUCCAGCAUCCAUUUCAAUAUCUGGUCUCGGGAAGAACUGAUGUUUAGGGGGAUGACGGUUGCCGGGAGCUUGAACAACUCGAAGUGACCGAAUAGUUGGUCGCACAACCAAUCAUGACCAUAAACCGAUAGGUUAUUGGCCAACCCGAGAAACAACCUCAUCUUGUCUGCCGCAUCGCCAUACAACCACACGGAUCUGUCCCUUUCCUGCAACAACGAGAUGCGGCGGAGAAGGAAGUCCGCUCCCACAUGCUCGAUGGUUAGCCCGGCAGCGCUCAAACGGGUGAUCCUGUUGAUUGCCGGGCGCAGCCUGUCCUCGGUAAGGCCUUUGGUGCUCCAAUCCUUGCCGCGCUCAACACAUUCCUUCCAGGCUUCACAGAAAUCGGGGGCUUCCUUAUCCUGGAUCCAGCACCAAUCACCUCUCCAUUCAUCCCACCUCUCGCGCUAGUACACAAGGAGGUAAUCCCAGAUCUUCCUCGUCAUGCGUGGCAUCCAACUAAUGAUCCCAGAGCAGUAGACUCUGCUCUCCACUCGCGGGACAAAAUAAUGCCGGAACAGAUCCACAUUGGGCUUGACUCCGACGAAAUUCUCGCACAAAUGCGCAAAGAUGGCUAUGGUCACCAUUGCAUUUGGCAUGAAAUCAAGGAGGUGGAAUUUGAAGAUGUUCAUGAUCGCCUCAAAGAACUCGGAGAAAGGGGGACAAAGACCGCAGAUGAAAUAAGCACAGAAGAAUCGAUAAGAAUCCUGUAGAGCCACCUUCGCCGACACAUAAACCACAGGCGCUCCAUGCCCUUUCUCAAUGGGCCUCCCCCACAAAUACCCAUACCUUGCUUGAAGGACUUGGCCGCUCAAAUUUGACGGGGUGAAGAUGACAUCUUCGCUCCACCUCUUGCUAAGCUCCGCCCCUCUCUUGCUCCCAUCGGUGGCGGCCUCCUUCGCCGCGGCCGUCUGCUUCUUCUUAUCCGCGGGUUUCUUCCUCAUUCCAGCGGCGGUGAUGCGGAAGGGAUUGAUAGGGAGGACGACGACAAAAGGGGGAGAGGAGGAACUGUUGCUUGGCUUGCGGAGGAACAUGGGAAAGCAGAGCAGGAGACAGAUGGAUCAUGCCGUUCCAUUUUUCCUUGCUCUUAAGGGGAGAAAGCAGAACGAAGGUGCGACGCUUCAGAAAGUUACCGUUUUACCUCAACUACUACAGUCCCACGACCCCACGAUGCACAGUAAUUACACGAAGUGGAUGUUGGAUUGACCAGUCAUCAUGGCAAACCGGCACGCACAACCCUUUCCUGCCACGUGUCCGCGCAUGGUUUGGGACCAGAACCAAUGUGCCCCGCGACACGUGUGGCUCAGACCCGGGGGCUUAUGUCGGGGAAAAUAUACAGGGGCAUAUGUUUUCUCCUGACUUGUGCACAGACAUGCCAAGAUCAAACCCAGAUGUACAAGAAACCAAGAGACUCGAAGAACCAAAAGCAGAUCAGAGAGACCAAGACCAAGCUAGAAGAACAAGGUAUCAUCAAGAAAGGGCCUCCUUUGCCUGGCAGGCGAGCCUAGCAAGGGGCGAGGCCACCCCCAGAAGAAGAUGACCAAGGCGUCCCGACAGGGCAUGCCGGGACCUGCGGAGGCCAGAUCACCUCCCCGAUCACUCCAUCACAACUCACGUCGUCGAUCAGUGCAGUUUCAAGCCGCAGAGUGAUUAAAUGGCAGCCAUUCGCCACAUGGCAGCCUCUUUCUACCAAUAGAACCCACAGAUGACACGAGUCCUAUGACGUGUCAGGCAAGUAGGCGUGGAGCUGGCAAGAUGGCCCGGCAAGCCUUGCCAGGCAACCGACAACGUGACGCUAAGCGGCGCAUUAAAUGCACAUUGUCAGCCUGCAGAUUUAGGUAUGAUAGCACUGUUUGCUAUCUUAUCAAUGUCUAAUGACUAAUUUGCCACUAUGGUGACCCCUUAACCUAUAAAAGGAGGCCAAUGGCAACGGUUCUAGAGGUUGGAAAGUUGGAUAACUCGCACCCCCGUACGCGCGUAGUCGCUGCCGCCCUGAGGCAACCGUUGUCGGGCGAGUGUACUACGCCCCGCCACCACAUUUCCACCAACAUUCCACCAAAGCAGGAGUAGGGUUUUACGCCUCAUGGCGGCCCGAACCUAGGUAAAAUUGUGUAAGUGCAUCUAGCGCCCCUUAGUGAUUUUGGUGUAUUGAAGACUUAUAGGUUAAGGGAUUGAUGCGUUUGUGAGUGUACACAGGUCUAUAAGUCUAUGAGGAGUUUGAUAUUUACAGAGAAAGUCGACCCCUAAAAAUGAAGUUUCUUCAACUGAAGACUUUGGAUUUCUAAAGACUUUCUGAAGACUUUGAAAGUGAAGAAAUUGGUGUGACCUUGAAGACUUGGAAAUUAUUUGAGGAACAUGAAGCGUGAAGACUGUUGUUUUUAUAGUUUCAUUUUCUCUUUCUUGAGUCAUAGGAAACAUCGUACUGUUAAAGGGGGUCGAGGAAAUACUAAGGAAAAAUUUGCAUGUGAUGCUCAACUCAAAAUCCUACACCUACCAAUCUCUUCGAGUGAAGCCAUUGGAAAUCUCAUAUAGUUCAGUCAUAUUCUUCAAUGACAGAGACGAAGUUCUUCUGGUCUCUGAGGAAUUUGUUCUGACUGAGGAGUUAGGAAUUCGCCAGUGCGGAUUGCCUACACAGUGAGGAACAUGAUAGCCCUGAGGAAUUUGAGAGUCUAAAUUCCGACCGUUGUUGUGCUAUGCGCCAGCUGUCCCAAAAUAUCUACCCACCUAAUGGUCAUAUCAUUGAAGGGCAUUUAUGUCUUAUCAUGUCGGGCUGCUCCCUAGGCUAUAAAUAGCCGCCCCCUACAACCACUAGCUGGUUGGCUGCUCCAAGAGAAACUGACACUUGUCAUUUGAGAGCAUCCCAUCCUCCGAGGACUUUGAGCAAAAAUCAUCGAGUGAGGAAAACCCAAACCCAACACCUACAAACCCAAAGUGAUUGAGCAUCACUGAAGAGAUUGAUCCUGCGUGGAUCCGACGCUUGUUACCUUUCAAGACUGUGCUUCUUCCAGAUGGUUAGGCGUCAUGGUCUAGAGCAUCCAAGAGGAAUUGUGGAUCACCGAGUGACCUAGUCUGUGAAGGUUUGGAAGUCAGCUGAAGACUUACCAUGAGUGAUUGGGCGAGGUCUGAGAGACCUUAGCUCAAGGAGAAUUCGGUGAGGACUAUGUGUCCUCGAGUUUAAAUACUCAGCCGCUCCAACCAGACGUACAACUAAGACAACAGUUGGAACUGGUCUACCAAAUCAUUGUCUUCACCAAGCUUACUGGUUCUAUUUCCUCAAAUCUUUCAUUUCCUCAUUUAUGUUGUUGUGUGCUUGUUCAUAUCUGUUUGAAGACUUUGACUGAAGACUUUCUCAAUUUCCUCAGUUCAAUUUCUUCAGUCUGUCCGUCUUCUUUCUGUGUUUACUGUGUUUACGCUUUCUGUACUCUGUGCUUGUCUUCAUUCCAUCAUGAUGACCAUGCUUGUGUUCUGUUAUGUUUACAUUUGAGUACUUAUUCCGCUGCUAGUAGUUCUUCAUUUAGGAAUUUCCUCACCAGCAAAUUCCUCAGUGAAGAAUUCAUAAAAAUCGCCUAUUCACCCCCUCUAGUCGAUAUAACGCACUUUCAAUUGGUAUCAGAGCAAGGUACUCCCUUGUUCUGUGUGAUUUUGGUUUAACCGCCUGCAGUUUUAGUUAUGUCGACCGCAGGUAUGAUCAAGGUCUCUGCUGGGUGUCCUACCUUCGAUGGAACGGACUACCCCUACUGGAAGAAUAAGAUGCGAAUGCAUCUUGAGACAAUUGAUAAUGAUCUCUGGUAUGUUGUGGAAAAUGGUGUUCCCUCAGUCACACCUUCUCUAAAUGCCACUGAUGUGAAGAGAUUCAAGCAACUCGAUUCUCAAGCGAAGAAUAUCAUAUGUGGCCAUCUGAGCAAAGGGCGGUAUGGAAGAGUGAGUGCUUUGGAAACUGCUAAGCUUAUCUGGGAUAGGAUGUCCAAAGUGAAUGAAGGAGUCUCAACUCAACAUGACUCUCGUGUUGACGUUCUUCGCAAUCUCUUCAACCGCUUCAAAAUACUCGACAAUGAAAAUGUUCUGCAAACCUUCGAUCACCUCACUGACAUCUCAAAUGAGCUUCAAGCGCUUGGCACCAUUGACAUCACCGACCAUGAGGUGGUGAAGAAAUUUCUGAGAUCUCUCGAUUCUUCAUUUGAUACUCUGGCACUGAUGAUUCAAGAACAUGCUGAUUACAUGUCACUUGAUCCCGUUGAUAUCCUCGAGAGGCUAAAUACUCAUGAGUUCCAGCUUGCUGAGAAGAGAGAUCUCUAUGGUUCGAGCUAUGGCAGAUCACGUGCUCUGAAGGCCAAGGCAACCUCUGAGUCUGAAGAUGAGGACUCUGCUAGCAGCCUUGGUGAUCCUAAAGAACUGAGCCAGGAACUAGCACUGCUCGUGAAGAAAUUUUAGAAGUUCUCAAGACGUGGUCGCUUUGGAAAAUCCUCAAGGAGCAAUGAUUCCUCAUCUAGUGACUACAAGAAGAGGCUUUGCCACAAAUGCAAGAAACCUAGUCACUACAUCCAAGAUUGUCCUCAGUGGGAUAAGGAAUCAAAGAAGAAGAAAUACAAGGACUACAACUCUGAUAACGCAAAGAAGAAGAAGAAAUCUUCAAAGUCUUCAUCAUCAAAAUCCUCGAAGUCUUCAUCUCACAAGAAGAGCAGCUCCAAGAAGGCUCGGGCAUUCACUGGUAAGGAAAUGGACUCUGAGGCUGAAUCUGAGGAACAUGAGGACAAGGAGGCAUCUGAGGAGUCCAAGUCUGGUGUGGCGAGCCUAGCUCUCGCUACUGCAUUCGUCAGCAAGUCUAUCUUCAACUCUGAAGAAAAUGGCUUCACCAACAAGGCUGAUGAAGGCAAUGAUGACUACGCUCCCACCUAUUGCUUCAUGCCAAAGGGUGCCAAGGUAACUAAAUACGCCUCCUCUGAAUCUAGUGAGGAUGAAUCUGAUGAAAACCUUAAGCCCAGCUACUCUAAACUUGCUAAGAUUGCUGUGAAACAACAAAAGGCUUUUGAAAAGGUUCAAAACAUGCUAGAUAAAAGUGAUGAUAUGUUGGGUGAAGAAAUGGAUCGCACUAAAACCUUGACUGAAAAUCUUCAGAGACUUCAGUCGAAGUUUGACAACCUUCAAGGUCAUCAUAACACUGUCUUAUCUGAUCACAAGAAACUUUCUUAUGAAUUUCUUCAAAGAAAGCAAGAUCUUGAGAAGUUAAGAGUGUAUUAUGAGGAUCUUCAGAAGGAGCGCAAUUCAUUACUUGCUCAACAAAUCAGCGCUACUCGGGAAGAAUUUGUUCCUCCAUGUUUGAAGUGCAUUGAACGAGAAUCUGCUAAUUCUUCACCUGAAUGUUCAAAUGCUUCUAAUGCUACAAAUUCUUCAUCUGUCUCUGCUAUCACUAAUUCCUCAUCUGAGGACAAUGCAAGUAUCACUGAUGAUGCAGGGCUGAAGGAAUUGUACAUGACAGGCAUGUACAAAAGCCUCAAAGGGCAUCAGACUCUUUGUGAUGUGCUCAAAAAGCAGAUCCUCAACAGAAACCCUAGGAAAGAGGGUAUUGCCUUUGAGAGGAAACUCAAUGCUGAUGGAACAUAUUGGAAGCCUGAGCAGUACCCCAAAACCUCAGGGGUUGCUGCAAAGGGACCUCCAGUUGAUCCAUCCAAUUUAUCUGGAUUUACAUGUUAAUCUCGUCAUUCUUCUGAUGAGUCAUUUGACUCCAACUAUAAACUGUUCAAAAAUCGGAAUGGUGAAGUAUUUGCUAGAUAUGUUGGCACUAACUGCAGGAACGGUUCCCCUAUGAAGAAAAUCUGGGUUCCCAAAAGUUGCCUUUAAAGUCUUCAGGUGAAUGUCCUCAUGACACCACCUGUGAAGAAUAGGAACUCCAGAUCAAAUUCUUCAUAUGGGCCCAAGUCCUCAUACGGACAAAAUUCCUCACGUGGAUCAAAUUCCUCAAAAAGAUCAAAAUCCUCAUAUGAUCAUCAUCGUGCUAACCCUUCUAUUUCGCAGGGUAGAGCUAAGGGCUAUGAAUAUGAGCAUUAUUCUUCUAAUCAUUAUGUUCAUAAGUCCUCGAAGAAUUUCUCUGCUUAUUCAUAUGCUUAUCCUAACCCCUCGUAUGUGAAAAGAAGUGGACUGGCUUCUAUGCCACCGUUCUCACAUGGUGCUCGCAGAGUGAUGAAUUUUUUGCCACCCCUUCAGAUGUGGGUGGUGAAGAAAAAGAACUAAUCUCUUAUGCAGGGUCAGGUCUCCAGACGUGCUUAAAAAGUCUGAGGAAUUUGCUGGAGACCUGAACAGUGCCUGAAAGGAUGCAGGCUAAUCAUGAUGAAAUGAACUUUCAUUUCACACGUCCUCAUACUGUUUAUCUGUUCUAUUGAUCUGAUGAUAUUGAUGUCAUAUUCUUCACUGAUGAAGUAUAUGAGUUCAUAAGUUGCACUAAUUCAUCUACAUGAUGAUCAACCCAAAGCCAAUGAGUGGGUCCUCGAUAGUGGUUGUACGAAUCACAUGACUGGUGACAAGAAUCUAUUGAUGGAUGCUCUUCUAUCACCGUCGCAUCUGAAGCAUAUCAUCUUUGCUGACAAAGGCAAAAGUGAGGUAUUGGGUCUAGGUAAGGUUGCAAUCUCAAAGGAUCGACACAUGGACAAAGUCAUGCUUGUCGAGUCCUUAGGAUACAACCUCAUGUCUGUCUCAAUGCUUUGUGAUCUUGAUAUGGUUGUUGUCUUUGGAAAAUAUCGUUGCGUUGUAAUCAUGGAAGCUGACAAUUCCAAAGUCUUCGAAGGCUUUAGGAGAGGAGACUUGUACAUUGUUGAUUUCUCUAUAGAACCACAACCAGCCGUAUGCCUACUUGCAAAAGCUUCAGAAGGCUGGCUAUGGCAUCGACAACUCGGUCAUGCUGGCAUGAGGAAUUUGCACAUUCUUGCGAAGAAGAAGCAUGUCAUUGGCAUUAAGAAUGUAAAAUUCCUCAAGGAUCACUUAUGCGGAGCCUGUGAAGCUGGAAAGAUGACAAAGGCCAAGCAUCCAGCAAAGACUAUCAUGACUACCACUCGACCAUUUGAAUUGCUUCACAUGGAUCUCUUUGGCCCUAAUCAUUAUUUUGCUGUUACAAAUGAUGCAUCUCUAUAUGGCUUUGUUAUAGUUGAUGAUUAUUCUCGUUACACAUGGGUGCACAUUGUCACUUACAAACAUGAGGUGCAGGAAGUCUUCAAACGAUUUUCCUCGAGGGCUUCAACCAACUUUGGUGUGAAGAUCAAGCACAUCAGAAGUGACAAUGGGACUGAGUUCAAGAAUUCUGGUCUUGAUGAACUUGGUAUUACUCAUGAGUUAUCUGCUCCUUAUACUCCUCAGCAGAAUGGAGUCGUGGAGCGCAAGAACAGAACUCUUGUUGAGAUGGCUCGCACCAUGCUUGAUGAAUACAAGACACCUCGUCGGUUCUGGAUUGAGGCUAUUGAUACUGCGUGCCACAUCAUCAACAGAGUAUAUCUUCACAAAUUCUUCAAGAAGACUGCUUAUGAACUCCUCACUGACAAGAAACCCAAUGUGAGUUACUUCAAGGUCUUCGGUGCUAAAUGUUGGAUUAGAGAUCCUCAUCACAAUUCUAAAUUUGCACCGACAGCACAUGAGGGUUUUAUGCUUGGUUACAGAAAGGACUCGCACACCUACAAAGUCUUCAACAACGUUCUUCACAAGACUGCUUAUGAACUCCUCACUGACAAGAAACCCAAUGUGAGUUACUUCAAGGUCUUCGGUGCUAAAUGUUGGAUUAGAGAUCCUCAUCACAAUUCUAAAUUUGCACCGACAGCACAUGAGGGUUUUAUGCUUGGUUACAGAAAGGACUCGCACACCUAGAAAGUCUUCAACAACGUUCUUCACAAGGUUGUUGAAACUGUAGAUGUGCGGUUCAAUGAAACUAAUGGCUCGCAAAGAGAGCACCUACCUUCUGUGUUAGAUGAACCAGCACCUGAGGAAUCUAUCAAGUUCAAGGCUAAUGAGGAUGUCAUUCCUACCGAAGAAUCUGCUGAAGAAUUCAUUCCAGAACGUCAAGAACGUCGAGCUGGCGCACCUGAAGAAAAUGGUGCUGAGGAAAAUGCUCCGGAAGAGAAUGUGGAUCAAAUUCCUCGAAGACAACCCGCUCAUCCUCGCAUUGCAAAUGAAGUGCAAAUCAAGAAGAUCAUCAAUGACAUUGAAGCACCAGGUCCUCUCACACGCUCAAAAUCUUCACAUUUGUCUAACUUUUGUGGGCACUUUGCUUUUGUCUCUAUCACAGAGCCCACUAAGGUAGAUGAAGCAUUUCUGGAGCCUGAGUGGAUUCAAGCUAUGCAAGAAGAAUUACAUCAGUUCAAGUUCAACAACGUUUGGGAACUGGUUAAACGUCCAGAUCCUCACAAGCACAACAUUGUUGGCACAAAGUGGAUCUACCGCAACAAGCAAGAUAAAAAUGGCCUUGUGGUGAGGAAUAAGGCACGGCUUGUAGCUCAAGGCUACACACAUGUUGAAGGAAUUGACUUCGAUGAAACUUUUGCACCUGUUGCUAGACUUGAGGCUAUUCGCGUAUUACUUGCUUAUGCUAACCAUCAUGAUAUUAUCUUACAACAAAUGGAUAUGAAAAGUGCAUUCCUCAAUGGUAAGCUUGAGGAAGAAGUAUAUGUUGCUCAACCCCCAGGUUUUGAAGAUCCAAAGCAUCCUGACAAAGUCUUCAGACUCAGUAAGGCCCUGUAUGGCCUCAAGCAGGCCCCUCGGUCGUGGUAUGACACUUUGAAGGAAUUUCUCAUGAAUAAAGGCUUCAAACCCGGUUCACUCGACCCUACUCUUUUCACUAAAUCUUAUGAUGGUGAAUUGUUUGUGUGCCAAAUUUAUGUUGAUGAUAUCAUUUUUGGCUGUACUGACCAACGAUACAUUGAUGAAUUUGCCUAUAUGAUGAGUGAAGAAUAUCAAAUGUCUAUGAUGGGAGAAUUGAAAUUCUUUUCAGGUCUUCAAAUUCGUCAACAGUGCAAUGCCAUAUUCAUAUCUCAGGAGAAAUACCUCAAGGAUGUAUUGAGGAAAUUCGGCAUGCAAGAUUGCAAAGGGGUCAAAAUUCCAAUGCCCGCAAAUGGCCAUCUAUGCACUGAUGAAAAUGGUAAAGACUUCGAUCAAAAGGUAUACCGCUCCAUGAUUGGCUCUUUAUUGUACCUAUGUGCAUCUAGGCUGGAUAUUAUGCUUAGUGUUUGCAUGUGUGCCUGAUUUCAAGCUACACCGAAGGAAUCACACCAUAAGGCUGUGAAGCAUAUUCUUCGAUAUCUAGCUCACACACCAACACUUGGAUUAUGGUAUCCCAAGGGCUCUUCGUUUGAUCUCAUUGGAUAUUCAGACUCUGACUAUGCUGGCGAUCGUGUGGACCGCAAAUCAACGUCAGGCACAUGCCAUUUCCUUGGACGAUCUUUGGUCUGUUGGUCCUCGAAGAAACAAAACUGCGUAUCACUCUGCAUUGUAGAAGCUGAGUACAUUGCUGCUGGAUCGUGCUGUGCUCAACUACUAUGGAUGAAGCAAACACUCAAGGACUAUGGCGUCAACGUGAAGAAUGUGCCUCUCUACUGCGACAAUGAGAGUGCCAUCAAGAUUGCUCAUAACCCAGUUCAGCACUCGAAGACCAAGCACAUCCAGAUUCGUCAUCAUUUUCUUCGUGAUCAUGUGUUGAAGGGCGACAUCUCCAUCAACCACGUUAGCACUGAAGACCAACUGGCCGAUAUCUUCACUAAGCCCUUGGAUGAGAAGAGAUUUAGCAAGUUGCGAUGUGAGCUAAAUAUCCUAGAAUCUUCUAAUGUUCUCUGAAAUGGACACACAUCCUAACACUUAUGCUGACUUGAUGACUUAGAUGCGCAACACACGAAGUAACAUUUUUCUUCAAUCAAUGAAGACUAACCCUCUAAGUGUGAAGAAAUUAAUGAAGAAAUUGAUUCUCAGAGCCCUACGACAAUUGUACGCGGUGUCUGAAAUCAUCUUUCUUAUACGGUGGGUUACGCCACCAACCAAAGUUGAAAAUCUUCAAUUUGAGUUUUUCUUUGUUUUUGAAAUUCCUCAGUUUUUCAAAUUCUUUAACUUUGCAUUGUCUUCACUCUUUCCGGUGUUGUUCUUCAUUUGAAUAGAUAUAUAUGAGUUUAUGUCCUCUACAACAUUCAAUUAUUGCUAUUUCUUCAAGUUGAGUUCUUCUGCUAAGUGAAUGUGAUCGGGCCCUUCCCCCUCUAUGCUAAACUCAACCCAGUCUGUUCACAAAUUCUUCAUGUGCGUUCUCUUUGAAACUCGUUCAAAAUCUUUACUGUGUCCUUGAUAGCUGAAGAAAUUGCGAACGAAACUUUUAACUUAUCUUAUCUGAAUUUUCAGCUUUGCCACUCAAACCGUUUCGCUUCUCACGACAAUACUUAUCUAUUCACCCACGAUCCUACACGAUCGCCACCUCUCAGUACGUGGGUGACACAUGUCAAGCGAAUGAGAAGGGCCAGGGGCACGUUCGUCCGAUUUCCUCGGGCGUACAGUUUUUCACUCCCACUAUAAAUACCCCUGCCUCUUCCUCACUUCGUUUUUACUCCACUCGCUCUCACUCUUGCUCGAGCUCCCCAAACCCUAGCACCGCUGCUACUUCAUCAUCGCUGGUGAGGAAGAGCUUCACUGCCUUGACCUCGUCGCUGUAGUACUCGCGCCGGUUGCAGAUUUCCUCACUCCGCCGCCGCCAUAGCCGUCUUCCUCUGCCGAGUUAGGGCGUGGAAGAUCUGAACUAACGAACUUCACAUCUACACUUCCCAGUUCAUCGUGUUCUUCAUCUCGGGUAAUUAAAAGUUACUUUUACUGCCCUAUUUGAUUCAUAUGUUUUCGUGAAAAUUUUCAAAGGUGUUUAUUCUUCAAAUCUUCACACACAUGAACACCUCACAUGUCAUCUGCUCUUGAUUCGUUUCUCUAAGCAAUGAUUUUCUUCAAGAUUCCUCAGUUGUGUGGAUUUUCAAUCUAUACAACUCUGGAACCUAAGAUAAAGAACGCUUAGUGAAAUUCCUCAAGACUCAUCUGGUCAAAUUCCUCAAACCUAUUCUUUUUUUGAAAAACCUUCUGAGAACGCAUAUGACCUCUCCAAAUUCCUUGCAACCAUACUCUAUUCACAGGUACAAAUGUCUGCUGCUGAAUCACUAGGUUCUCAUCAACUUAACUCAUUCACAGCGUUCCUCGAAGAAAAGUUGCACACCUCUUCAGAAACUUCAGUUGUUCAUAUUCCUCAGCUGAAGAAAACGGCUGAAGGUAAGAAGCCACAGAAGGGUGGAAAGAGGCCUGAGGUCAAUACUGCUUUCGAAAUCCCUGAGGACAUUUAUGCUGGAUACUGCACUCCUGAUGAGGCCAAAUUUGACAAGGAGGACAAAAAUCAGCGCAAGGUGCGCAUACAAAGGAUUGAGAGGAGAUGGGCACGGGAAUGGAGGGAGUACAGGUAUGUUACUCCCAAGUAUAUGAAGAAAUUCACACUCAAUCCUCCAUGCUCAAGACCUCCAUUGGCACCAGGCCAAUUGGCAGAUCCCACCAGCCUCAAGCGCGGUGAGGACUAUGCUGAUGAAUGGGCAAAGCGCCAGGCCAAACUAGCCAAGCAAGCAAAGGAAGCAGUGAGGAAAUUCAAUGCAGACUCUGCUGCUGCUGCUGCUGCUACCGCUGCUGAGGCCUCUGCUAGUCAGCCGAAGAAGGCGAUGCCUAAGAAGCCUGCGCAUAAGUCAAGUGCUUCUCCCUCAAUGCCCCCACGGCCAAGUUCCUCAGCAAUGCCCUCAAGGCCAGAUUCUUCAAAGCCCUCACGACCAAUUCCUCAGUCUGCGCCUCCUUCCAAGUCCUCAGCUCCUCCAACAAAGUCUUCAGCUGCUCCGACCAAAUCCUCUGCACCUGUGCAUCUCUCGAUGUGCCAAAGGACUACAGGCAUCUCAAUUGCCUCAGGAGCAUCUGCAAGUUCCUUAGCUGCUCCAAAUUCCUCAGCUGGCCCCUCUCCGUUGAAGAAAAAGGCCACUACUGGACGAGGCCUUCGACCAAGUCCUCACAAGAAGCAGGUCGCCUUCCAAGUGCCCUCUGAUGAUGAUGAGGCUGAUGAUGAAGAACUUGCCGAAAUCAUCAGAGACAGGCAGGCCAGGGCCGCUAGAGCCAAAUGCAGCAAUGUGCCACUGCUAUUGGAUCCAAAGUUGAUCCUCGACUUCAUUGAACUAUGGCACAAGGACCCUAACACGCCUUGGCCGGAGAUGAACCUCACUCCUGGUCAAAGUCAUGUUCUGACUGCCUUCAUUGAGGAAGAAAAAUGGAAAUUUUAAGAAGGCAGAAGGCUGAAGAAAGCGCAGUACAA